AAGGAGGAUUAUUUGUUGAUAAAAGGAUGCUGCGUGGGCCCCAAGAAACGUGUGGUAACACUGAGGCAGUCUCUGUUGAAGCAGACAUCUAGAGUUGCUAUGGAGGAAAUUAAACUCAAGUUCGUUGAUACAUCCUCCAAAUUUGGCCACGGACGAUUCCAGACCACUGAGGAAAAGGCCAAGUUUUACGGGCGGCUCAAGACUUGAUUUGCAAUGGAGAGAAUCAGCUUUGCUAGAUUUCUAUUACUGUUCAAUGGUCUUCAACUGUUGGUUUGAUUCUGGAUUCACUUGUCAUCCUUGUCUUCUUCAAUUUGGAAAUUCUUAUUUCUAAUAUAUUUUCGGUGCUAAAUUAUUAUCUUAAACCUUUCUUUUUACACCUUGAGCCAAAAAAGACCUUUGUUGGAGGUUAUUGUUGAAUACAAUUAUAACGUUUGGUAUCGUAAUUUCACAAAAUAAUAAGAAAAUCAAACCCGAAGGGGUAAUUUAUUAUUAUUAUAUUUUGAAAAUAAACACAUGCAUAUAAUAGUGGCAUCAAGAGGUAUUUUACCGAGAGUUAUAAGAAAAUUACCCAGGCUGUUGAUAUUUUACCGAGAGUUGUAAAACAAUUACCACCCAUGCCAUAAUCACUAAUGGAUUUAUUCCAUAAAAAAUAAAUAUUAGUUAUCUACUUAUACUUUGUCAUGGACAUAAAAAAUAAAUAUACAGAUUUUUUAAACAUAUUUUUUACAUUAAAAAAAUUAUAAUAGUUGAUAAAAAAGCUGAUAUAUAUAUAUAUAUAUAAUUUGAUAAUCCACAUUUAUUAUCAUUAACCUUCAUUUUUACCCCUUCUGAGGGGAAAAAAAACUUCUGCUGCAGUUUAUAGUUUAAUAUCAUUUUAACAAUUGGUAUCAUCAUGUCAAAAUAAUAAGAAAAUCAAACCCUAAGGGUAAUUUAUUAUUAUUAUAUUUUGAAAAUAAACACAUACAUAUAAUAGUGGCAAUCCUCUUGACAAUUUUAUAUUUUUUGGCCACUUGAAGAGAGAAGCAUGUCUAGAAUCGGGCGAGCUCUACACAUGAGCUCUAAGGGCUCAACUUUUGACAUGGUUAUUGCUGUCUUCUCUGCCAUGUCAAUCUUGUUUUCACCAACCCUUUCCCACUCAAAACACUGUAUCAACGAUCCCAAAGUUAAGAUCAUUGCUCUUUUUGCUAGGCCAUCUCCAGGACAAGCUCUCCUUCCCAUCCCCAAGGGGAUGAAGUUGCAUGCAUCAAUUCUGCCUGCAGAUUCAAAUCUCUCAGGCUUGAAACUUGUGGGCUCAUCCCACAGUGUAGGGUCUCUAUGGAGAGACCAUGCGUUCACAAAUAAUAUGGUCCCAGCUGGGACGUGGUAUCCUCCAAUGGUACAGUCGGAGGAUGGCAUGUGCGGUGGUAUAAGCGGUGUCACCGGACAUAAACGCAGAUUCUCGGAGAUGAUGCUCUGAAGGUAAUGUAGUUUUGCAAAAUCUGACUCUUCUAUCAAGCGGUCUCCAACUUGAGCGUCCAGUUCUGCUUUAGCUUUCCUUAGCACGUCUGGAUGGUUGAGUAGAUUGGCUAAUGCCCAUUCCAUAGAUGUAGCAACAGUCUCUGCUCCCCCAAGAAACAACACCUGCACAAAAUAUAUAGUGAAUUAACUCAAGCCAGCUCCGACCUCAAAGCUAAGAUGAGAAUGUUGUGGUAAACUCAAUCAGCCACUUGCAGCCAUCAAUUACCACCUGUAGUCACCAACUAUCAACCAUUCCAACCACCCCUUAAAAUUUAAAUUUUCUUACUUUCAGUUUGUGUAUAAAUGACAGCUAAGUUUAUGUUAUUAAGUGUGGAAAAUAGAAGAAAGAAACACUAGAGAGAGAGAGAGGGUGUGUAUUAAGAGUGUUUUGCUUGUAUUUUAUAAGCUUGUUGUUUUGAAAUAAAACCGGGUGUUUUAUCCCCUCUAAGUGUUCCAAAGCCACCACCAAUGAUUUCUCCCACCAACAAUUGGUAUCAGAGCCCCGUUCGUUAGAAAACAUAAGAGUUUUGGGAUAUACCCGAAUUUUUAAAGUUGUCAAAAACACAUUUUGAUCACUCCAUAGUAUAGAGUUCAUCCAUACGAACUCACUGGUGCAAAAAUCAUCUUCAUCGGAGCCCGCGGUAUCCAACACGCGUCGCCUGAAACUCAGGUACAAUAGCCCACACGCAGCCGACGCGCCUAGAGGAAGAAGACGACUGAGCCACACGCGUGCCAUAUUUAAGUCGUGCCGAGCCUCCAACCGAGCCGACCUCCAGCCGCUAGCCGAGCUGAAGAAUAUUCCUUAGAAUAUUCCCGGUUCAACCCCAACGAACUGCCCGACGUCCAGAAUCAGUUUUCUGACCGGUUCAGCCCAUUUCUACCCCAUUUUCAACCAAGUAUGACCAAUUCCCAACUGUUUUGAGCAUUCCGGAUCGAUUUACAGUGUCCAUUUUGCCAAAUUCAACUCCCAGAAGGUGAUAUAGUCAUUCAAAGAGCAAAAUGACUAUAGAAAAGGCACAAACACUCAUCCCAAAGCUAACCAAAGACAACUAUAAUAAUUGGUGUAUCAGAUUGAAGGAAUUUCUUGGUUCACAAGAGUGUAUAGAGAUUGUGGAAUAUGGUUAUGAUGAACCAGAGUCCAAAAAAGCAGAAAAUUCAUUACAAGAGGCACAAAAACAAGUCCUGAGAGCCAAUAGAAAGAAAGACAAGAAAUAUGGGAGGCUCUCCAAUAAAAUCAUAAAGGUGCUGACAGAAUCAAGAAGAUUCGUCUUCAAUCUUUGCGAGGUGAAUUUGAAUUAGUGCAAAUGAAGUCAUCAGAAUUCAUUUCUGAUUAUCAUAUAAGAAUUAUGGUGAUAGUCAAUCAGAUGAGAAGAGAUGGAGAAAUCCUCUCAGAUGCUUGAAUUACUGAGAAAACUUUGAGAUCCCUAGAUCCAAAAUUUGAUUUUGUUAUUGUUGGUAUUGAAGAAUCCAAAAAAGUGGACAAGUUGACAGUGGAUGAGCUUAUGAGUUCUUUGCAAGCUUACGUGCAAAAGAUUGUGAAAAGAAAUGGAGAUAAGGCAAUUGAGCAUGCCUUACAAUCAAAGUUGUCUCUCAAGGAGGGCAGAGAGACUUCAACAAGUGGAUAUACCACUCAAGGAAGGAGUCAACAAAGAUGAGGAGGAUUUCAACAAUUUCAAGGAAGAGGGUCUUGGAAUAAGGGAUUCAGAGGAAUAGGAGGUAAAAACACUACUAGAGAAGGCUGGGGACAACCUGCAUUUACUCCUAGAGGAAGAGGAGGCGGUUACAAUAACCGUGAUAAGAGAAAUAUCUAGUGUUAUAGUUGCAAUCAAUUUGGGCACUAUAGCACUGAAUGUAGAAGGAAAGCUCCAUCAGAGGUACAUGAACAAGCCAACUAUGCAGAGGAGGAUGUCAUCAUCAGAGGACCAGUUGCAUUAUUAGUCCAACAAGGACUAGGUGAGAAUCAUGAUAAUAUUUGGUAUCUAGAUUCUGGAGCCAGCAAUCACAUGUGUGGCCAACGGGAUCUAUUUGGUGAUCUAGAUGAGACCAUACAAGGUCUAGUCACAUUUGGAGAUACCUCAAAAGUUCCGGUAAAAGGUAAAGGCAACAUCCCAAUCAAGUUGAAGAAUGGCGAUCAUAGCGACAUCGUAAAUGUUUACUAUGUUCCAGCCAUAAAGCACAACAUGCUGAGUAUAGGUCAACUUAUAGAGAAAAGAUAUACUCUUUACACGAAGAAUUGUCAUCUAAUAGUCAAAGAUUACAAUGGGAGAUUAAUUACCUAUGUGAAGAUGUCUAAGAAUAGGAUGUUUCCUUUAAACAUUCAAUAUAAUGCUGCAAAGUGUUUGAGUGUCAUCACCAACAAUGAAGAGUGACUCUAGCACCUAAGGCUUGGACAUAUGAAUUUCACAAGUCUGAAGAUGCUAGCAAGAAAGAAGAUGGUCAAAGGUAUGCUCCACAUUGAUCAUCCAGAUGAAGUCUGUGAGAGUUGUGUCCUCAACAAACAUCACAGAUCCAGUUUUGCCAAAGAAGUCAACUGGAAAGCAAAUAAGCCACUAGAGUUAGUGCACACAGAUGUGUGUGGUCCUAUAAAGCCUAUGUCAACUGGACAAAAUAGGUACUUCCUUACUUUCAUUGAUGAUUUUAGCAGAAAAAUAUGGGUAUACUUUCUGAAAAGGAAGUCAGAAGUAUUCAAUUGUUUUAAAGAUUUUAAAGUAAUUGUUGAGAAGCAAAGUACUAUAAGAUCAGAACUGUGAGAUCUGAUCAAGGUGGAGAAUAUACAACAAAUGAGUUUGAAGCCUUUUGUACACAACAAGACAUCAGACAACAUCGACUUAUACACCACAACUGAAUGGUGUAGCUAAGAGAAAGAAUCGAACGAUUCUUGAUAUGGCAAGAAGUCUACUUAAAGCAAAAAAGCUGCCCAAACAAUACUUGGUUGAAGAUGUAUCAUGUGCAGUGUAUCUACUGAAUCGCUGCCCAACCAGAAGUUUGCAAGUUGUCACUCCGGAAGAAGCAUGAAGUGGUCACAAACCAAGUGUUACUCUUCUUCGAGUCUUUGGUUGUGUGGCAUAUGCAAAGAUUCUAGAUGCAAGAAGGACCAAACUCGAUGAUAAAAGCGAGAAAUGCAUCUUUGUCGGAUAUGGUGAUAGAAGGAUGGGAUACAAGCUAUAUAAUCCUAUCACAAAGAAUAUGAUAAUGAGUAGAGAUGUUAUCUUUGAAGAAGAUAAAUCUUGGCAGUGGAAUGGUGAUCAAGAAGAAGCAAAAUGCAUCAGUAUUGAUUUGAUCCUUGAAGAUAAAGUGGAAGUACCAACAGUACUUGUAGAAGGUUCGAUGUUACCAGCAGAUGAGCCACAAAGUCCGGCACACAGAUUCCCUGUAUUCAACAGGAGAAACACACCAGAAUCAUCAUCAACACCACCAUCAACAUCCUCAUCAGAAGGACCAAUAAGGAUGAGAAAUCUAGAAGAGUUGUACGAUGCCACUCAAGUAAUGGAAGAUACAACUCUAUUUUGUUUCUUUGCAAAAAGUGACCCACUUAGCUUCAAUGAAGCUAUCACAGAAGAGAAAUAGAUAAAAACAAUGGAUGAAGAAAUACAUGCCAUUGAGAAGAAUGAUACCUGAAAGCUGACUAAUCUACCAGAAAAUAAAAGGCAAUAGGUGUCAAAUGGGUCUAUAAGACGAAGAAGAAUGCAAAAGGAGAAGUAAAAAGAUACAAAGCAAGAUUAGUGGCAAAAGGCUACAAACAGAGAGAAGGCAUUGACUAUGGAGAAGUAUUUGCUCCAGUAGUCCAGCUAGAAACAAUCAGACUGAUGAUCUCACUAGCUGCACAACAUAGAUGGAAGAUCUAUCAACUCGAUGUGAAGUCAACAUUUCUGAAUGGCUUCCUAGAAGAAGAGAUCUAUGUUGAACAACCACUUGGAUACAUUGAAGCUGAAAAUGAAGGCAAAGUAUACAAGUUGAAGAAAGCCCUCUACGGUUUGAAGCAAGCUCCGCGUGCUUGGAAUACCAGAAUUGACAGGUAUUUUCAAGACAAUGGAUUUGAAAAAUGUCCAUAUGAACAUGCAAUAUAUGUGAAGAAAGAAGCAGAUGGCAGCAUAUUAUUUGCGUGCCUAUGUUUGAUGAUUUGAUAUUCACCGCAACAAUCCUACCAUGUUUGAAGACUUCAAGAAAAGCAUGGUACAGAGUUUGAGAUGACAGACAUUGGUCUAAUGUACAUUUUCUUGGCUUAGAAGUAACGCAGAAAGAAGAAGGGAUUUUUGUAUCCCAAAGCGGUUACGCCAAAGAUAUUCUUGAAAGGUUCAAGAUGGAAAGCUAAUCCGGUAUCAACUCCAGUUGAGAAUGGAGUAAUUGAGGAAGAGUAAGUUGGAAAUGUUGAUCCAACUUACUUCAAAAGCUUAGUAGGAAGCUUAAGGUACUUGACAUGUACCAGACCGAUAUACUCUACAGAGUUGGACUUAUCAGCAGAUAUAUGGAGACACCAGACCAGUCUUACUUGAAUGCAGCAAAGAGAAUUCUUUGCUACAUCAAAGGAACAAUAAAUGAAGGUAUGUUUUAUACCUCAAGUAAAACUUUAAUCUUGUUGGCUACUCGGAUAGUGAUUGGGGUAGAGAUCUGGAUGAAGAAAAGCACAAUUGAAAUUUGUCUUUUUCUAUGGGAGAUACAUCUUUCACAUGGUCAUCGAAGAAGCAAUUGAUAGUAUAACGUAUCAAGCUGUGAAUCUAAGUAUGUUGCUGCCAACUCAGCUGUAUACCAUUUAAUAUGGUUAAGGAAUAUGCUGAAGUUUUUGGGAUUUCCUCAAGAAAGUCCUACAAAUAUUGAUAAUCGAUCAGCAAUUGCAUUAGCCAAGAAUCCAGUGUAUCAUGAAAGAAGUAAACACAUCGAUACACGUCAUCAUUUUAUCCGAGAGCAUGUGAAGAACAAAGAAGUUGAACCGAUAUCCUGCAAACAAAUGAUCAAGUUGUAGAUAUCUUUACAAAGCCAUUGAAGGGAGAAAUAUUCAUCAGAUUGAAGUUCAUGCUUGGCAUGACAUCCCUCGAUUGUGUUUAAAGGGGGAAUUUGUUGUGGCAAACUCAAUUAGCCACGUGCAGCCACCAAUUACCACCUGCAACCACCAACUAUCAACCACCCAACCACCCCUUGAAAUUUGAAUUUUCUUACUUUCAGUUUGUGUAUAAAUAGGCAGCUAAGUUUAUGUUAUUAAGUGUGGAAAACAAAAGAAAGAAACACUAGAGAGAAAGAGAGGGUGUGUAUUAAGAGUGUUUUGCUUGUAUUUUGUAAGCUUGUUGUUUUGAAAUAAAACCGUGUAUUUUAUCCCCUCUAGGUGUUCCAAAGCCAUCACCAAUGGUUUCUCCCACCAACAGAGAAGGGUUUACCUGCAUAAAAUACUCAUAUUUCUUUGAAGUAUUUAGUGAGACUUGCAAGUAUGCUAGUAGUUGUUGCACCAAAUUCAUCAUAUAGAAAACAUAGAUUCAUCUACAUUAUACAAAGGCUUAAAUCAAGAGAAAGAUGCCCACCUGCGAUGAACAAGUUUGUUAUCUGAAAAUGGCUUAGAAUCUCCAUGGCAAUAUUUUUUUUUUCUCUUUUUCUCCCAUUAUUUGGCAUGGCAAUAUUUUUUUUCUCUUUUCUCCCAUUAUCUCCAUGCCAAUAUAUUUUUUCUCCCAUUAUUUGGCAUGCCAAUAAUUUUUUUCUCUUUUUCUCCAGUUAUUUUUCCUUAUCUUUCUCUUUCCUUAAUUUGGCUAAUUUAAAAACUGAAAUGAAAACACACAAGGAAAACUAUCUAGCACGUGUUUGCACACGUGUUAAAAAAGACAUCAUCUAAUGGCGAUGCAUGUCAUGCUACUAUCGAUUGUGAUCUUUAUUUUGUUAAUUUUAUCUUGUCAAAAGAAAUUUAUUAGUUUAAUACGUUGGGUUAGGUUGGGUUGAGAAAAAAACUUGAUGAAUUGUUUAAUACGUUUACACAAAAUUUGAUGAAGCGGUGGAGAGAAAAACAGGUGGCUUUAGGCAUCAUUUGUGGUUUUGUUCCCUUUUUAGUGAAUGAAACUCUAAGAAAUUGAAAGGGGAGAUGAUACCAAAAGAUCAAACCGUAAGAAAAAUUGAGUGAAUCAAAACAAAAACAUCAUUUUCCCUUAACAAGUUAAAUGAUUGAAUCAACAUAAAAAGGGUUAGGUUUGACUAACCAGAACAUGACCUUUGAUUAUGUCAUCAGUGUAGUAUUCAGGCUGUUCUUCUUGCAAAGCGAGAAACCGGUUUAUCAUAGUGUUUCUGUCCCUGUCAUCUCGAUGCUCAUCAACCAGUCCCUGUAAGAACACAUCCAUCUUCUUACUUAGUCUAUCCAACUUCUUCAAGAAGCCUGUAAUAUCAACCCACUGCAACAUUGGAAUCAGAUUCCCCACAUUUAUCAUGGAAAUAUAUGCAAAAAACUCUUCCAAGAUCUCCCUAAAAAUCCUGGCCUCUUCAAUUUCCUUAACAUCAACACCAUAAUACGUCUUUCCUGCAACCAUUCUCAAUAUAAUAUUACUCGUCAGGUCCAAGAGCAUGGAUCUCAACUCUACCUUAGCAUAGUUACCAUGCUUGGAAACACUGUGAAGUCUACGCAGUAAGACCAUGACUUCCUCUCUUCGGAUGCUAAAUAACGAAGUGAGGCGAGCAGGGGAGAAGAUUUCAAGAGCGCUUAUGCGGCGAAGUUUGCGCCAAUGGUCACCGUAUUCGACUGAGGCCAUGGUGGUGUUGCUGUAGUUUAAGUACUUGCUGACCAAAAAGUGAGGACGGUUGGCCAACACAAUAUCGUUCUUGGUGAAACAUUCUUCCACGGCCGAUGGUGAAGAUAUGACAACGGCAAGGCGGGAUCCGAGUUUUAGAGAGAAUAUGGGACCGUGUUUUUCUGAGAGGGAGUGGAGUGUUCGUUGGAGAGGUUGUUUGAGGAGAUGGAGAUGGCCAAUAAUUGGAAGAGCAAAAGGGCUUGGUGGGAGAUUACUGAUCUUGCCUUGCUUUCUUUUCUGGAGCAAGAACUUGGUUGAAAGAGCAAGAAACACAAAGCAUGGAAGAAGAAGAGAGUAGCAAAGGCGUUGCAAGGUACUGUAGUCUUCUUCCAUGCUUAACUUGCUUGAUUGUUGAUCAAGCGGCGAUUCUUCCAAUGCUUGUCUGUAAGCUUUGGAAACUCAAGGUCCACUUAAUUGUACCCGUCAAACAGGGCAGCUGAAGAUCCGAGUUCUUGGGUUCCUCAUGGCAACUCAUAUAUCAAUAUAUAAACUCUAAUAUUCUUUCUAUUAUUUUUAAUAGCAUUUUAAAUCCUUUUACGUUGUUUUCAACAACUGUACUCAGUAGGUUAUCAUGUUGACUUUGCACAUUUCAUAUGGUUUUUUUACAUAGAAAUUUCAGUAUCUGUACCCAGGAGCGGAGGCAGUGAAGCAGGGGCCGGCGCGAGGACAUUUUAAAACUUUUCAUUAGAUAAUUAAGUGUAAGCUGGAGAUGUUAACUCUUCUUACAAUCUUGCCAAACAGAUUUGAAUACACCACCACCAUCCCUUUUGAGGAUUAUCCAGUUUAUUUCCUUUAGCUACUUCUCCCCACAUUAGGAAGACUAUACCGACACUAACGACCUCCAUUAGUGUUUUUAGUUUUCCAUCCUGUGGUCAACUAAUCAAAUUCACGAAAAUGCCGACACUAACACGACUGUUGGUGUCAUUAAAUAUUUUUGGACCGAAAUAAUUAAUCACUGUUCUAUGCUACCUUGGGAGGUCCUCGGGUAUGCCGAUGUCAAGGAUUCUUGACAUCAUUAGCUUUCACCUCCGAAAGCUAAUCAAGUCUAUAAGUUUUGCUGAUAUCGACGGCACCCGCCGAUAUCAUUAACUAUUCUGAAUCUGAAUAGUUAAUCAAGUCUAUAAAUUUUGCCGAUAUUGACGUCACCCGACGAUAUCAUUAACUAUUCUGAAUCCGAAUAGUUAAUCAAGUUUCAUAUUUCUCCCCCCACGUACAGGUAAUGCCGAUGUUAACCAGCUUGGCUAACAUCAUUAGCCUCCCAUAUCAGGGAUAGGCUAAUCAAAUUCGAGAAACAAUCAUUAUCAAAAUUCGUUGUCACUGUUUGUUUCCUCCAAAAGGACCUAUAAUUUAAAUUUAGUCCUCCAUUUCUAUUUUCCCGUCAUUUAACCUUUCAUUUCUCCCUUUUUCUUUUCCUCGUCAAUAUGCACCAAGUCUUUUUUUUUUUUUUUUUAUAGUUCAAUAAUUAGUUAAAAUAAUUAUUAACAAGAGGAGAUAUAGGUACCGAGUACCUACCUGUUGUAGAUGCUCGACUUGCGUUCCCCUAUUGUUGUUGUACUCCUCCCGCGGUUCCUCCUGAAACCAUAAACACCCAUCAUUAUUCCAUAUUACUCCACAUAUCACAACACAAUAGUAAAAAUGGCAAUAAUAUUCAUUUCUCUUUUAUCAAUCUUUUCUUUCUCACUUACAUUCCUCAUUAUUAUCCUUUUACAUUUUCGGUCCAUUUGUAGUCCAAGUGGACAUCAUGAAUUUAAUUUUGAUCACAGUUUUAUUCUUCUUCUUCUUCUUCUUGUUUUUUUUUUGAAGAUCAAGACACACUUUAUGAAGGGUGAGAAAACAAAUUCUACCCUUAAUACGACUAAAUUUCGUUGUUUUAUCGACUUGGGCCGAAACUGCCAACCGGGGUGGUAGCUUGACCUCUCCUCAGAUUUUCAUUUGUAUCUAGAGUUCCAAGACUCCAAAUUAGGCGGGGUUGGACUCGUUGGAAAGCUAACACUCCCAGCUACAACUUCUAUGAAUGGACCCUCCCUAAAUUCUAUCAUCUUCAGGUCUAGAUUCCUUUAGGAACCAGGGAAAUGAACCUGCCCUGUUCUGUCAAUAAAGAAGGUACCUACAAUUUUUAUCUCCAAUCCUACUUCCCAUCAAUUUCAGCCAUGUUUUCCUUACCUGGAACGUAGGUUCCUCUCCCUUAUAAGUUACAAUUUGUAACUACAAUACAUCAACACACUUAAUUAAUUAUAUAUAUAGUCAAACACACACACACACACACACACACACACUCAAUCACCACAUUAAUUUCCUUAUUAUUCACCUCCUGAAACCUGUUUUAAUUUUUGCAUUAAGGAAAACAACGCAAAUUAUUAAAAUUUCCUUUCUUUCCUUACAAUCCCAUGGCCGGCCACUAUUUCCCCAUAGUCUUUGAUUUUGUUGAAAUCUUCUUUGCAUAAUUCCAUCCUUUUUAGGCAACUUAUGCUGCUCAACUCAUUUAAUUCCAAUCAAUUCCACAUUUCCCCAAAUUUUACUCAAGGACCCUGAUGCAACCAUAUUAUUCGAUAGUUUCACCCACAUUUAACUAGUGUGUUGCCUAUGUUUUAUAUAUAAAAUGGCUUGAUAUUCUUUGUUUUAUGUUUUGAAGGCACUUUUGGAUGAAAGAUGCAAAAAGGAGUAAAUUGAAUAAGGUAAUUGGCAGAUUUGACAUUCAGUCGAUGUUUUGUGCAGAGCGUGAGCUCUAAAGGUCGAAAUGAAGUGAUUCCAGUGGAAUUAAAAAGCUAACAUCCAUACCUUUCUGGAAAGCUAAGGCAAGGCAAUAAAAUAAGGAAGAGCAUGGACAUCGCAGCUUUCAAAUUCAAAUCUCACAAUCUGCCAAUAUUGACCUUUGAUCAUUCCAACUUGAAUAUCUAGAGCUACAAAAGUCCAAUUGAUGCAAACUAAAUUUUUUUGGAUUCCUGACUCAAAGGAAUAUAAACAAUCCAAAUUUCAUCUAAAAAAGAUAUCAUAUGAGGGAGAUAUGAUUUUUGAAAGAUGACAACUGAAUUCUGCCAGCAAACAGGUUUCGUGAAGAAACGAGUCCAAAUUACGUUCGGAAGUAUCUAAACCGACAUCCAAGUUUUUAUUUCAGCAAUGUAGCUCCUCUAAGUCAAAGCUUGAAGAUUUCAUGCAAAGCUAUUUCUCUUUUUUUAGGAAAAUAGUUAUUGAACUACUUAAAUGUAAAUUGUCUACUUAAGGGAGGACUAUUUUGUAAAAUAGAGAUUAGGGUUUCCUAGCAUAUAAAAAGAAUGAGAGAAGAGAAGGGGGGCAUCCACCCAAGAGGAGAAAAAACACCCUCAUCUAAGAAACCCUAAAUCAUGCAUUCUUCCAUAUUUUUGAUUAGUUGUUCAACAAACAUGCAAGGCUAAACCCAAGAGGAGUUGGAUGCUGUUUUGAGCUUUAAUGGACUAGAGAAUGUUGAUGAAGAAGAUGAUAAUCACAUUAAAGAUUGCGAUGAAGCUGACAAUAACAAUUCAAUUGAGGACGAAGAUGAAAAUUCUGACUAAACAUGUUGUAAAGUGUUAUUUUUAUAAUGUAAUAUUAAUGAUGAUAUUUUGGAACAUGAAAUAUUUAUUCUUCUUUAAUUGUCAGCUCUUGUUAUUGCACUGUGCAUGCUAUAAGUUUGCAAUUCAAGAUUUUGUGCAGGAGGAUAGACAGAGAUACAUAAAGAAGCUAUAAAAAUAUUGACAGUUUUACCGACGACUAUACCGACGACAUGGAACCUGUCGGUAUUAUAUGGAAAGUUGAAAAACAAUUACGAAAUUUUGCCACAACCACCGACGGGUAUACUGACGGAUUGGUACCCAUCGGUAUUUUAUAGAGAGUUGCAAAAAACUUAUGGAAUUUUGCCACUCUCACCGACGGCUAUACCGACGGACUGGUACCCGUCGAUACUUGACAUAGAGUUGCAAAAAAAUUACAGCCCCUGCCAUCAUCACCAAUGUAUAUACCAACGGAUUCACCAACGGUUGGUGCACAUCCAGAAGUGCACAGCAGUCAAACCGCCUAGUCGGUCGGCACAGUUACCGACAACAACGGCAAAUCCAAUGCUCUUGUGCUCUGAUACAUGUUUCCCGAUGGACCAAAAAAUCUGGUACGAUGUUCAAAACUUUUGGUGUGAAUAUCAAUUAAUUAUUGAUGGAAUUUAAUGCCACUGACAAAAAAAGAAAUUAUUCAAUGUUCUGUCGGUAACCCUGUCAGAAAAAUUGAGAUAUAAAACCCUCCCCGCUUUUCUGGUUCAUUUUUUUUCUCGACUUUUCAUUUCUAUUUCUCUUCUCCAUUGCCCACUCUGUUUACAUUUGGUGAUUUGCAAGAGGUUUUAUUGUUUUGUUGGUAGUUUUCAACAUAUUAAAAGGUAUGUAUUAUCUUUCUUUAUCUUUGUAUUUUCUAUUUUAAUUAUGAUUAUUUUUUUUAGUGUUCUUUGUUUUAUGUAUUGUUUGUAGAUAAAAUCUUAAAAUCAACACACUAUUAAGGUAAACAUUUUUAUUCCUAAAUUUAUUUUGAAUUUAUGUAGUGUUUUUUAGUUUUGUGUAUUGUUUGUUUUGUGUUUAUGAUGUUUUGUGUAGUGUUUUUUUAGUUUUUUCUUUUUAUUUAUUAAUUUUAUGUUAUUAUUGUUUAUAUUGCCAUAAUAAAGAAUGUUAUUAUUGAAUUUAUUUUUAAAAUGUUAAUUGAAAUAUAUAAUUAAUUUAAUUAGUUUUCUUAAUUUUAUGAUAUUAUUGUUUGUAUUGCCAUAAAUGUUAUUGUUGAAUUUAUAUUUAAAAUGUUAAUUGAAAUAUAGAAUUAAAAUUAAUUAGUUUAUCUUAAUUUUAGGAUAUUAUUGUUUGUAUUGCCAUAAUUGUUUUUAUUGAAUUUAUGUUUAAAAUGUUAAUUGAAAUAUAGAAUUAAAUUUAAUUAGUUUAUCUUACUUAUAGGAUAUUAUUGUUUGUUAUGUUUUUAUUAUUUUGAUUAAUUUUAAUAGUUAUUUAUGAAUUUGUAUUGAUGUUAGUUGAAAAUAUAUAGAUGUUGAAUUUAUAUAGAUGUUAGGUUGUAUAGAGUUGAUUUUUCAAUAUUUGUGUAAUUAUCAAUAUUUGUAGGUAUGAAAACUGUGGGUAGUCUCUAAUAUAGGGGAGCUGCUGUCGAAUUUUUUUAAAUGAUUGAAUUUCUAUAGAUGUUAGGUUGUAUAUAUGAUGUUGCUGGAGUCAAUUGGAUUGUGGUUAUUGUGAAAAUUGCAGGUUUGAAAACUGUGGGUAGUCUACAAUAUAGGGGACGUGGUGCCAAUUUUGUUUUUAAUUAAUCAAAGUUAAUUAUGUAAUUAUUCAUAUACAUUUGUGUAGAUACAUCGAAUUAAAUCUACGACACGUCGUCAGCAGACGGUUGCAGCUAGUUCUUCUAGUAGCGACGAGGACAUCACCUUAGGUGCUGAUCACGGUGAGGCAUCUGCGUAAUUGUGAUGCUGCCUCUUCUAGCAUGGUUCACAGCGCAUAGACGGUGUGCCUUCAUAGCGGGGUCAAUUCACCUGCAAGUACCAGGUACAAUGGAAGGAUGACCUCUCAAUGUAAGUUUGUUUAGGUUUUAGUUUAUUUAUUUAUUUAUUAAACUUAUAACAUAAUUUAUGAACAGCUAAUUAAUAUUUUAUUAAUUUUAUUUAAUUUCAAGCUCACAAACAUUGAGGCUGCCAGGACAAUAACAUCGACGUUUAAAUCGUUGAUGGAGAUUCCAUUGUUUCUAUGGAGUCAGGUCUCCAGAUAUCCUGAGUGGAGACCUAAUAUCAAUGUCUGGUUUCGGCGGUUUCAAGUAGGUGUUAACUUUUAAUUUCCAAUUUAUUUUUAAUAAAUAAUUUUUGUAAUUUUAUAUCUUGUACUAUUUUUAUUUUAAAUGAAUUAUUUAUAUACACAAAAUAAAUUUGAGUGGGAUAGCGCGGACAACAAUGUUGUCAGGAGGGUAUGGGAGAAUCACGCGGCAACUAGGUAACAUCGAAAAUAAUAUUUAUUUUUGAUUUAUAAUUUUAUGUUCUAAAUUCUAAUUAGUUACUAUGGAAGUAGGUUGCGUGAUUUUUGGUAUGACACCAAAAAAAAGUGAAAAGAUAUACGAGGGACAACGCUCUUGAAGGAUGGAAUGAGGUGGCGGUUUGGCGGGAAUUCAAACCGCCAUUCAUCUCGGGAGGUAUAUGGGCCGCAUAUAUUGAGCACUUGACAUUUGAGUGGUUCUUACGGUGCUCAAAGUUCGGAGCUGACAACCAGAACCAACAAAUUCAUGGUUCAGUGACCACGCACACUGACGGCUCCGUCCCGUUCAGCACACAUGCGAAGCGGAUGGUAAGAUUAAUUUAAAUGAAAUAUAUCGUUAAUUAAUUUGUUGUUGUUAUAAAUAUAUUUAACUUGCAACCUUUUUUGUUUCCUUAAUUACAGGCUAUGUUUCUUGAACGUGUGCCGAGUCCAAGUAGAGAUGCACAUGCGGAGUCAAGACCGCCAAAAGGGGGUGCAAUAGUACGUGGACAACCAUGCUCAGCAUUUCAUGGUAUGUUAGUUCAAUCAUUUUAUUUUGUAAGUUAUUAUUUUCUUGAAUUGAAUAUGAUGAUUUUUUUUUUAAAUUUUCAGGAGACCUAUAAUAGCCGGUUGAGGGAGAGAUAUGGGGACGAUCCUUCAACCCAUCCGGAUUUUGAUCCGGAUUUAUGAAUGGAGGUCGGAUCGUCUAGUGGACUUGAUAAAAAUCGGGUCUAUGGGCUCUUCAACACUACGGCCAAAAACUUACGGUCGACCUGUAGUGUCUCGUUGAGAGCUUUCUAUUAGUAUCGAGUACCCAGUCAGAGGAGUUCAUAGCCUUGAAACAACAAUAUGAACGUCUCUCGAAGGAUUAUGAUCAACUACGUCAAAUGGCCAUGGAGAUUAGAUCAAAGAUGGGUGAUGAUACAUGUGCAACUACUUUUUCGCCGUACGUUCCCGAAAACAACUAGCCUCCUCCUCUUCCUCCUCCUUCAGCUCUGCCACUAUUUUAGUUUAAUUUUGUUUUUUAAAACAUUACAUUUGUAAUGAAUUUUUGGAUGAAUAUUAUUUAACAUUAUUUUUACAUUUUUAAUGUUUAAUACAAAUUUAUUUGGUUAGUAAGUUUUUUUUACUGUUAAUAAAUAAUUUUUUUUAAAUAUUUUAAAUAAAUACCGAUGACUUUCCAAACGGAACCAGGCUGUUGGUAUUUUACCGAGAGUUACAAAAAAAUUACCACCCAUGCCACAAUCACUAACGGAUUUAUUCCAUAAAAAAUAAAUAUUAGUUAUCUACUUAUACUUUGUCAUGGACAUAAAAAAUAAAUAUACAGAUUUUUUAAACAUAUUUCUUACAUUAAAAAAAUUAUAAUAGUAGAUAAAAAAGCUGAUAUAUAUAUAUAUAUAUAUAUAUAUAUAUAUAUAUAUAUAUAUAUAAUUUGAUAAUCCACGUUUAUUAUCAUUAACCUUCAUUUUUACCCCUUCUUGAGGGGAAAAAAAAACUUUUGCUGCAGUUUAUAGUUUAAUAUCAUUUUAACAAUUGGUAUCAUCAUGUCCAAAAAUAAUAAGAAAAUCAAACCCUAAGGGGUAAUUUAUUAUUAUUAUAUUUUGAAAAUAAACACAUACAUAUAAUAGUGGCAAUCAAAUAAACUCUUGACAAUUUUAUAUAUUUUGAUCACUUAAGAGAGAAGCAUGUCUAGAAUCGGGCGAGCUCUACACAUGAGCUCUAACGGCUCAACUUUUGACAUGUUGACUGCUGUCUUCUCUGCCAUUUCAAUCUUGUUUUCACCAACCCUUUCCAAUUCAAAGCACUGUAUCAACGAUCCCAAAGUUAAGAUCAUUACUCUUUUUGCUAGGCCAUCUCCAGGACAAGCUCUCCUUCCCAUCCCGAAGGCGAUGUACUUGCAUGCAUCAACUCUUCCUGCAGAUUCAAAUCUCUCAGGCUUGAAACUCGUGGGCUCAUCCCACAGUGUAGGGUCUCUAUGGAGAGACCAUGCGUUUACAAAUAAUAUGGUCCCAGCUGGGACAUGGUAUCCUCCAAUGGUACAGUCGGAGGAUGGCAUGUGCGGUGGUAUAAGCGGUGUCACCGGACAUAAACGCAGAUUCUCCGAUAUGAUGCCCUGAAGGUAAUUUAGUUUUGCAAAAUCUGAAUCUUCUAUCAAGCGGUCUCCAACUUGAGCGUCCAGUUCUGCUUUAGCUUUCUGUAGCAUGUCUGGAUGGUUGAGUAGAUUGGCUAAAGCCCAUUCCAUAGAUGUAGCAGAAGUGUGUGUUCCCCCAAGAAACAACUCCUGCACAAAAUACUUAGUUAAAGUCAAGCCAGCUCCGAUCCAAAAGCAAAGAUAAGAAGGUUCUACCCGAAUGACUUGACAGGUUGAUACACAACCCAGAGCCCCGGAUUUUAACUUGGGUUAGGUCAGGUUGAGAAAAAAACUUGAUGAACUGACAUAGUUAUGUUUAGUAGGUUUACAUAAAAUUUGAUGAAGUGGUGGAGAGAAAAACAAGUGGCUUUAGGCAUCAUUUGUGGUUUUGUUUCCGUUUUUAGUGAAUGAAACUCUAAGAAAUUGAAAGGGGAGAUGAUACCAAAAGAUUAAACCUUAAGAAAAAAAAACAUUAUGUGUUUCCUUAACAAGUUAAAUGAUUGAAUCAACAUAAAGAGGGUUAGGUUUGACUAACCAGAACAUGGCCUUUGAUUAUGUCAUCAGUGUAGUAUCCAGGCUGUUCUUCUUGCAAAGCGAGAAACCGGUUUAUAAUAGUGUUUCUGUCCCUGCCAUCUCGAUGCUCAUCAACCAGUCCCUGUAAGAACACAUCCAUCUUCUUACUUAGUCUAUCCAACUUCUUCAAGUGGCCUGUAAUAUCAACCCACUGCAACAUUGGAAUCAGAUCCCCCACAUUUAUCAUGGAAAUAUAUGCAAAAAACUCUUCCAAGAUCUCCCUAAAAAUCCUGGCCUCUUCAAUUUCCUUAACAUCAACGCCAUAAUACCUCUUUCCCGUAACCAUUCUCAUUAUAAUAUUACUCGUCAGGUCCAAGAGCAUGGAUCUCAACUCUACCUUAGCAUAGUUACCAUGCUUGGAAACACCGUGAAGUCUACGCAGUAAGACCAUGACUUCCUCUCUUCGGAUGCUAAAUAACGAAGUGAGGCGUGGAGAGGAGAAGAUUUCAAGAGCGUUUAUGCGGCGGAGGUUGCGCCAAUGGUCGCCGUAUUCGACUGUGCCCAUGGUGGUGUUGUUGUAGUUUAAGUACUUGCUGACCGAAAAGUGAGGACGGUUGACCAAGACAAUAUCGUUCUUGGUGAAACAUUCUUCCACAGCCGAUGGUGAAGAUAUGACAACGGCAAGGCGGGAACCUAGUUUGAGAGAGAAUAUGGGACCGUGUUUUUCUGAGAGGGAGUGGAGUGUUCGCUGGAUAGGUUGUUUGAGGAGAUGGAGAUGGCCUAUAAUUGGAAGAGCAAAAGGGCUUGGUGGGAGAUUACUGAUCUUGCCUUGAUUUCCUUUCUGGAGCAAGAACUUGGUUGAAAGAACAAGAAACACAAAGCAUGGAAGAAGAAGAGAGUAGCAAAUGGUGAGGGGGGGUCUAAGGAAUGUCUCAGAAAUCAGUGUUGGUGGCUAGUAUGAAGCAGAGGGAUGCAAAUACAGGGAAUAAGAUGGUUUAUGAACUCCAUCCUGUGACGACACUCACAUCCAGUAAUCCUAAUUGUAUGCAGGGAUUAUGAUGGGAAAGUUACUCCUGAGGAGGUGGCAGCUGCUGCGAUGUACUUGAAGGAUACAUCAGGCCAGGAAGGCAUCCAAGAACUCAUCAGCUGCUGCGAUGUACUUGAAGGCUGUAUCAUUUUGAAUGUGUCUGCAUGUUUCAACAUUCAUCACUUUCUUCUUAUUAGAGGAUUAAUGCAUUUGUUCUCUUGAGCUCAGCUCCUACAUGCAAACUGGUUUUGGUUCUAAGAAGCCACAUCUUAUUUUGCUGAAUUAUAGAAGACAUCUUAUCAUCUUUCCUCUUUUUACCAUGCCACAUGAAAAAAUAUUUCUUCGCCGCUAAAGCAAAUAAUUUUCUCAAUCCAAUUGGGUGUUUUGAGUUGCUUAUGAAAAUCUAUCAAGGGUCAGAAAAUUAACAUGAUGCUUUUCUUCUACCUUGUGGUUUUUCUCUGCUUCUUGUCAUUUUGACCGAAAAGUGAGGACGGUUGGCCAAGACAAUAUCGUUCUUGGUGAAACAUUCUUCCACAGCCGAUGGUGAAGAUAUGACAACGGCAAGGCGGGAGCCGAGUUUGAGAGAGAAUAUGGGACCGUGUUUUUCUGAGAGGGAGUGGAGUGUUCGUUGGAGAGGUUGUUUGAGGAGAUGGAGAUGGCCAAUAAUUGGAAGAGCAAAAGGGCUUGGUGGGAGAUUACUGAUCUUGCCUUGCUUUCUUUUCUGGAGCAAGAACUUGGUUGAAAGAGCAAGAAACACAAGGCAUGGAAGAAGAAGAGAGUAGCAAAGGCGUUGCAAGGUACUGUAGUCUUCUUCCAUGCUUAACUUGCUUGAAUAUUGUUGAUCAAUGCUUGUAUGUAAGCUUUGGAAACUCAUAUAUCAAUAUAUAUAUCAAUAAAUGGAACCCUGUUUGAGAGGGAAUAUGGGACCGUGUUUUUCUAAGAGGGAGUGUUCGCUGGAUAGGUUGUUUGAGGAGAUGGAAUAUGUCAACUCAUAUAUCUGUACCCCCAAGACAUUUUAAAACUUUUCAUUAGAUAAUUAAGUGUAAGUUGGAGGUGUUAACUCUUCAGAUCAUACUUACAAUCUUGUCAAACAGAUUUGUUUUCUAGUUUUUUUCUUUGUAUUUGUUCUGUCUUCUAUGGUUGCGUUCCAUGUAAGGUUCCUUUCAUUGACCAAGAUACACACACUCAUAAAUUAUUUUCCAAAUCAUUUAUAAUAAUUUUACUUUAUUUUUAUGUUAAAAUAAAAUAAAAAUGACAUUGGCAAAAUUUGAUUGAUAGAAUUUUUUAUUUUUAAAAAGAUGGUUUUAUUAAAGUAAUUAAAUGUAACUUUAAUUUUAAUUUUAUAUUUACUCUUUACCGAGAAAAGAAAAAAAAUAUAAGGUCAUUAUCUUGUGUAGCCCUAAUAUCAAUAUUGCAGUUUAUAAAAACACAAAUCAUGAAUAAAAUUUUUCUUUUAAAAUUAAAGUAAACCAAAUUAAUUUAUCUUCAUCAAAUAAAAUAAGAUAACUUAAUUUAAAAUUUAUUUUUGUUUUAUUUUGAGAUGUUUGUUAAUAAUUUGAUGAGGUUUUUAUUUUUAUUUUUUAUUUCUACCAUUUUUGCUCAUUUUUUUUUCUCAAAUCUGCUAGUUCUACCAUUGUGUUUUUAAAUUCUUGUUAUGGUGAUUUUUUUAAUUAAUUAGAUAUAUUUUAUUGGUUUUUUUUAUUAUGCUUAGAUUUUUUUUUAUGUUUUUUUAAUCAGAGCCACCAAAAUUAUCAAUUUUUUUCUCACGAUAUAUGUUUUUGAAUUUUAGAACAUGUCAUCCAAUCAUGUACCAAUCAUCCAAAGUUAAAGAACAUGUCAUUGAUUGCUAAUUUACAUCAAGGAUUGGUUGAAACAGAAAAAUCAACAAUUUAUCCGCUAGUUGACAGGUUGAUUCGGGUUAUUUUGAUUUUUCCUGUUUCGACAACUACUUAACGAGUUUUUCAGCGAUAAAGAUUGUUAAAACAAGAUUUCACAAUCGGUGUUGUUACUGUUCAGACUUUUUAAAAGGAAAGACACAUUCAUGAAACGAACAUGACGGGAGACAUAGACACGACCAGACUCUAAAUCAAGACACCGAUAACCAAGAUGAGACGAGCUAUAGCCUAAAAACACACAAGGAGAAGACCGAAAAUCUAUUUUGAGCAUGAUAUGGACGUAAAAUGGAAAACAAAGACGCCCAAAAGUGCGUAGAAAGUUAUAAUCAGGAGUGCGAUGAAACAGACACGCAAAAGGAGAUUUAUUUUGAAGAACAGGAGUAGGCAUGUGAUUAUUAAGAUAGACCGAUGAUUCCAUAGCAUAGUUUCAAAAACGCAAUGGGGCAUUACACUGGCCUAAGAGGGUUAGGCCAGUUUCAACAAUAUGUCUAUGACGACGUUCAACUAUGCCAUUUUGUUCAUGAGUAUGAGGACAAAUUAAUCGAUGAUGAAUACCAAUUGUUUGAAAAAAUGUAUUUAAUUUACGAUAUUCACCACCCCAAUCAGUUUGAACAUAUUUAAUUUUAAGAGAAAACUGACGCUCAACAAGUGUCUGAAAACGUUGAAACGUGGAAAAUACAUCAGAUUUCGCAACAAGCGGAUAAUACCAGAUAUAUUUGGUGUGCGCAUCAACAAAGAUAAAAAAAUAACGAAAACCAUCAGAAGAAAACAUUGGAGCAGGGCCCCAAAAUCACUAAAAAUUAAUUCAAGUGGGGUAGAAGUUUUGUGACCCGUCGGUCGUAAUGACAAACGGGAUGACUUGCCUAAUGGACAUGCUUGACAUUGAGUAAAAGAUCGUUUAGACGUACAAAUAAUUUUAUUAUCAGAAACUAACAAAUUUAGAAUGCGAGGAGUUGGAUGACCUAAACGACGAUGCCACAAGUCGGCAGUCGCGGAAAUGCAAGGAGACCAAAAAGCUUGAGGAACUGACGUAGCCGAGGACUCGGAGAGAACAUAAAGACCAUCAUGACUCCGACCGGAAAGAAGAACUUCCUUGGUGACGAGAUCCUUCACAUAAAACACAGAAUCGUGAAAUUCAAAAUAAACAUGAUUAUCACGACAGAAUUUCUGAACAGAUAACAACGGUUUGGUAAUGUGAGGCACACGAAGAACAUUAGUUAAUGUAAACAAGCGUUUGGGGGAAUAUAAAGUAGUAUGUCCAACAUGGGAUAUGUCAAGGGCCUUACCAUCACCAACAUGCAAGAAAUCAUUACCAAGAUAAGGAGCAGAAUCAGUUAGAGUUGCAAGAUCAGGCGUCACAUGUUGAUUCGCGCCGGUGUCGGGAAACCAAGUCGUUGCAGCAGAAUCAUUCGCAACAGCAAGGUGAGCAGAGGGCUGUUGUGUGCUGCUGCGAAACUGAUAGCAUUGAAGAGCUGAAUGGCCAGGAGUGGAACAUAAUUGGCAGCGGACAUGUCCAGACCACUGCCCCUGAUUUGGCCGAAAUCUGCAGCAGAGGUGCGCCUGUUCUGCCACUGAUUUUGCCUCCAAUCUGCAGCGGAGUGACCUCUGUUUGGGGCCUGAAAUCGGUUGGUGUUUGAGCGCCAAUUACCUCUAGAACGUCCCCUGUUUCGGCUGUGAUUAGUCAUGGCAUAAUAAGCAGAAUUCGGAGGUGUUGGCAGCAAUGGUGGCUGCUGCGGCAGAGAAGAAGAAGACAGCAGUGAUGAAGAGGAUGAACCGACAGCCAUGGAGUGAAAGGAUUCUUGUGCAGAAACUCAUGGGUAAGGAGAUGGCUAUGAAGAUCAGCAUACGAUAGCGGUUCAGCCUUGGUUAUGAGACUAGUUACCAAGUCUUUGAACUCACCGCGAAGUCCAUGAAACACAUAGAGAUUGAAAUCUUCAAGGGACAUUGGGCGACCAGCAGCAGCCAAUUCGUCAAAUAACGAUUUGGCUUGCUGCAUAUACAUACUAACCGAUGCAUCACCUUGCCGAAGGUCUUGAAAGGAGCCAUGUAGUUGCAUGAUCCGGGAAUUAGAUGGAGAGGCAAGUGCCUUCUCAAGCGUGCGCCAAACACAAUGUGAAGUAGAACAAUCUACUACAAGAUGCAACACAUCCACGGAAAGAGAGGAGAAUAGAGCACUCAAAAUAAGUUGAUCUUGUUGCUUCCAACGAAGAAAAGAGGGGCUGAUGGCAGAAGAAGAAUCAGCCAAAGCAUCAAUCAUAUGAGAUGGAGGACACGACAAGGAGCCGUCAACAAAGUGAAAAACACCUUGACCAAGGAGAUAUGGCUUCAUUUGCAUUCUCCAAUAAAGAUAGUUUGUGUUCGUAAGUUUCAACGACACAAGAUGGUGGGUGUUGAUAGAGGAACCAUUGUUGUAGAUGUGUUCCAUGAGAGGCAAAGGAACAGACAGAGCCAGCAAGAGAGGGCUGGCCGGUGAUGAUGCAGCACCGGUGGAGGGAGAGAUUGGAUCAACGGCAGCAAGAGGAGAGUCCAUGGGGAGAAAAUUAGGGCCGGCUGCAAGAGAGAAAAAAUUAGGAGCUCUGGUACCAAGUUGAGAAUAAUUAGGAGGCUUAACCUAAUAGGUUAGCCAACCCUUUUAUAAUAUGAGUAGGGCAAUAUACAAUAGUAAAGGUGGAGUUACCACAUAAGAAUAUGACUACAAUAUUUCCUAUAUAAUUACAUUCUAUAAUAGAUGGAAGAUGAUUUUCUUGUAAAUUAUUUGAUUGUCUAUAUAGAAAAAAAAAUUGCUAAAAAAUUCACAAUUGAUAUGAUAAUCGAUGAUUUCUAUUUUAUGAAAGAACAACGAGUACAAUUAAAAUAAACAUGUAAGUUAUUUGAUAGAUAUAAGACAACAACAUUAAAGUGAUGGAUACAUUAUGAAGAUGAAAUUAACUUCAUUGCUUAAACUUAAUUUGAUAUUGCUUCAAACUUCUUACAUUAUAAAACUUUUUAUUAGAUAAUUAAGUUUGAGCUGGAGGUGUUAACUCUUCAGAUCAUGCUUGCAAUCUUGCCAAAUAGGUUAGCCCUUUAGUUUUUAUCUUUGCAUUUGUUCUGUCUUUUAUGGUUGCGUUUCAAUUAUGGUUCCUUUCAUUUUAUGGUUGCGUUCCAAUUAUGGUUCCUUUCAUUGACCAAGAUACACACACUCACAAAUUAUUUUCCAACUAAUAUAUAAUAAUUUUAUUUUAUUUUUAUAUUAAAAUAAAAUAAAAAUGACAUGACAAGAUUUGAUUGAUAGAAUUUUUUAUUUUAAAAAGGUGGCUUUAUUAAGAGUAAUUAAAUGUAACUUUAGUUUUAAUUUUUUAUUUACUCUUAAAAAAAUAUAAAAGACCGAUGUGAAAAGAAAAAAAUAUAACGUCAUUAGCUUGUGUAGCCCUAAUAUAAAUAUUACAGUCGAUAAAAACACAAAUUAUGAAUAAAAGUUUUCUACAAAAAAAUUAAAGUAGAGCCACCGAUUAAUUUAUUUUUCAUCAAAACAAGGUAACUUAAAUUUAAAAUUUAUUUUUAUUUUAUUUUGAGAUGUUAGUUAAUAAUUUGAUGAUGUUUUUUUUUUUAUUUUAAUUCUACUAUUUUUGCUUAUAUUGUUUUCUCAAAUAUGCUUGUUCUACCAAUUAUAUGUUUUUGAAUUCAGACUGUACCCAUUAUUGUUAUUUCCUUCAUGAUGGAAAAAUAGAAAUCUUUGCAAAAAAACUUAUUAAAACACCAAAUUCCAAGUUUUCUAUCGUCCAAUAAAUAAUUUUUUAAAUUAAAUUGCAAUAUUAUUCAGUCAAUGUUUAACUUAUUCAAUAAAACGGGAGAAUAAAUUGAAUAUUUUUAGUUGUCCAUGAUUUGAUGAGAUUAGUUCCUUUAUAUCACACCAGUUGUUCAAUCAACAAUAUCCCAUUUACAUCUUCACUAUCAACAUGGAUUGCGUUACACAAUGGGUUACAUUAAAAAAAAUGUCUAGGUUACAAGAAAGCUUUUUAGUGGCUAAUGGGUUAAUCCUGAAACCUUCCAUGCUUAAGUUGCUUGAUUGUUGAUCAAGUGGCGAUUCUUUCUUACUGGUUUGGUGAGGUUCAAUGCUUGUAUGUAAGCUUUGGAAACUCAUGUCAACUCAUAUAUCAAUAUAUAAACUCUAAUAUUCUUUUUAUUAUUUUUAAUAGCAUUUUUAAAUUCUUUUACGUUGUUUUCAACGUUAAUCAGGAGGUUAUCAUGGUUACUUUGCACAUUUCAUAUGGUUUUUUUAUUGUACCAAUUAUUCUUAUUUCCUUCAUGAAAAUCUUUGCUAAAAACUUAUUAAAACACCAAAUAAUUAUUUUUAAUCAAUGAUUAACUUAUUCAAUAAUUAAAACACCAAAUAAUUGCACUAUUCUUCGGUCAAUGAUUAACUUAUUCAAUAAAACGGGAGAGUAAGUUGAAUAUUUUUAGUUGUCAAUGAUUUGAGAUUAUUUCCUUUAUAUCACACCAGUUGUUUAAUCAACAAAAUCCCAUUUAGAUCUUCACUAUCAACAUGGAUUGCAUUACACAAUGGGUUCCGAUAAAAAAAAAUGCCUACAUUACAAGAAAGCAUUUUAGUGGCAAAUGGGUUAAUCCUAAAACCUCCCAAUUGGUUUGCUUAGGAAGCCCAUGUUUCAAAUCAAAUAGUUCUAGAGUUGUCUAGAUAUGAUGUUGUCGACUUAGCUAGUUUAAAAACAAGUUGGAUAAGUGGUAUAAAUAUAGUUUGAUUUUUAAUAUAAAUCUUGAGGUGACAUAAUUUUUUUUAAAAACUAUUUAAAACUAUUGAGACUAUUAUAGAAUGUAUAGCAUGUAUAUCUCUGAAUAGGAAAUUAAUAUAGGAUUAUUCUAAUGUUGUAAUCCCUACGGUUACUGACGUGUUAUGCCCCACAUAUAUAAAUAGGAAAGGUUGGCUAAGGCCAACCUAAGUCAUUUUAUUAUUCUCAACUUGGUAUCAGAGCUCUAAAUAAACUAAAACACCUCUUCUGCUCUCUGCAAUGGAUUCCUCCCAGCCGGUAGCCAUCUCUCCCUCUACAGCAGCACCAGUGGUGCCAUCCUCCUCUCCUGCCGCAGCACCACCUUCUUCUUUAACUUCGGUUCCGCAGUGGCCACAACCUACAAAUGUUGGCCAUGCUCUUUUCAACCCCAAUAAUGCUCCUCUGCUGCUGUCCUUUUCUGCAGAAGCCAUUGUCGCUUCUGCUGUGGCAAUUGUGUCCCUCUCCCACACUCAUUAGGUCAUCUCUUUGAAACUAACAAACACCAAUUAUUUGUAUUGGCGAAUGUAGAUGAAAUAAUAUCUUCAAGGCCAAGGAGUUUUCAGCUUUGUUGAUGGUUCAAACUCCUGCCCCUCUCCACAUAUUCUUACUAUCGAUGGUGUUUCUCUACAGGUAUCUCAACACUUUCUUCGUUGGAAACAACAAGACCAACUCAUUCUAAGUGCCCUGCUCUCUUCGUUAUCCAUGGAAGUUCUUCAUCUUGUUGUUGAUUGUCUAACCUCAUGCUCUGUCUGGCACACACUUGAACAAGCUCUAGCUUCCACAUUCAAUUCAUGUAUUAUGCAACUUCAUGACUCUCUUCAAGACCUUCGACAAGGUGAUGAAUCGGUAACUCAAUUUCCACAAAAGGCUAAGGCUUUAUUUGAUGAGCUAGCAGCUGCUGGCCGGCUUAUUUCGCUAGCAGAUUUCAACUUAUAUAUGUUUCUUGGCCUUCACGUAGAAUUUAAGGACUUAGUGACAAGUCUUGUUACAAGGGCAGAUCCUCUUCCAUAUGCAUAUUUUCUUAGUAAUUUUCUAACACAUGAAUUUAUUCAUAAAUCCUCCCAUUUGUCCACGGGGUCUACUGCAAUUCAUGCACCCUUGUUGCCCAUGCCAAACAUCCCUCCUUCAGCACUUAUCUCUCACCGUCAGCCUGAUGCUUAGUUUGGUCGAAAUAGGGGUCGUUUUAAUGGCAACUGGCAUCCUUAACAGUUCAAUCACAAAGAGCCUCGCAUUUCUGGUUACAGGCAUGAAUUUUGCAGCUUCCACAGCACUCCCAACAACAAACAAAGCAACUGGUAAGGAAAUUAGCAGCGCAGUAGGGGAUCCAAUUCCUGCUGCUAGUUAUGUCAAGCUUUCGAACAUAUUGCUUCUUAGUGCUCCCAACUUCAACAACGCGGUUAUGGUUAGCAGUAUAAUGCCAAUCUAGUACUGCACAAUCAUGCAAGUACUGCUGAAUGGUUUUCGGACACCGGUGCAAAUCAACACGUCACACCUGACCUUGCAACCUUGACUGCUUCAAAACCAUACAAUGGUAAUGAUAAUUUGCAUGUUGGUGAUGGUAAGGGACAUCCCAAAUCAUAUCAGUCAUACCAAACUAUAUACCCCACAUCGUUCUUUCACUUUAUCUAAUGUCUUGCAUGUUCCUGCAAUCAUGAAACCUCUACUUUCUGUUCAAAAUUUUUGUCUCGAUAAUAAUGUUUGUUUUGAAUUUCACCCUUUUCUGUUUUAUGUCAAGGAUCUCAACACCAUUGAAGGACUCCUCUCAGGACAGGGUAAACAUGGUCUCUAUACUUUGUCCAGGUUCAGGUCUUUUAUCCCAUCAAUUCCUCAAGCCUAUUGGUCUCCCUGCAUUUUUGCUUCUACUGAUUUGUGGCGCAUGGAGAAGACGCGUCGCCACUGUUUCCAUGACCAAAACCUUCCAUCACUGUUCUUGUGACUGCAUAGUUCCUGAUUCUGUUUUAGAGGUUGUUUUUUGUAACUUUUAAAUUGUUUAUUGUAAUUUUUGUUUAGUUUUUGAAUUUUUUAUAAUUUUUAUUGUGGAUGUAAAAAAAGAAGAAAAGAAAAACAUAGUGAAAGUGAAUGUGUUGUUUGUAUUUUUUUAUGAAUGUUUUUUUUAUGAUUAAAUCGUAAAGAAUAAAGAAGAAUUUAAUAUUUUGAUUUGUUCACGGUCAAGAAUUAUGAACUUAGAAGGUUGUUUUCUAGUCCAAAUUAUAGCAACAACGGAGAAGUCUGAAUCUGUCCCGCAACCCAGACAUUGUUAAGUGUUCAGCCCAUAUCUCGAGUUUUAGAAGUCCAAAUGACCUCAAUUGUUUUUUGUUGGAAAGCUAAGACAAUUUCCUACAACUUUUAUGAGAACAAGUGGAUCCAGUUCUGAUGUUAGCAAUAACGUUUUAUUCAACAAGAAGAUAAGGAUUUUCACCAAGUCAAGAGUUGGCCAUCCACUCAACAAUUAGUCAUCAAAUCAAUAGUUCCAAAUUUUGACCUAUAAAAAGAGGUAUUUGCCAUGCAUUUAGGGGCUUGGUUAUUCAGAUCAAGAACUUCUUGCUCUCUCUCUUUAUAUUUUUUUUUUUGUAAUUCUUAAGUUUUGCUUUCAUUAAUAUCUUGUUUAUGCUUUUCAUUUCCUUUCCUUUACUUAGUUAACUUGUAUCUUAUUUAUGUUCUUGUUUUGUUUAUUUAUAUUUCUCUUCUUCAUUAUGUUUAGCUAAGUUUAUUAUGUCAAGGUGAAAAUGUUACAUUAAUGGUGUAAGAAUAAGUAUAGUGUAAACUCAACAUGGACCUUAAUGUUUAAUAUUAACAUGCCUUAUCUUUUUAUCUUACUAAUUCUUAAUACCUUGCUUGUUAAAUGGUUAAUCUAGAUUUGUGUUGUAUAACACUUGGUACAACAAAUGCUUGGCACUCUCAUAGCCCAACUGUAUGGUAUUACCUACACAUGUGCUAUGAAAGGAACUUGAUUUGUUGUUAACAUAAGUUAGCAUCAUGAAUUCCUGACAAUAUUUAAAUUUUGGUGUUACUUAAAUAAGAUAAUUAAUAUGAUCAUGUUAAUAAUUUAUAAUGAGCUAUUAAUGAUAAACCAUCUGAUUGGAACCUCCUUUGUGUGUGGUUUCCAGUUGAAUAAUAAGAGUUUAUAUUAUACUUGUUUGAAAUACCAUUAGUGGAUCCUCUAACCUUAACAUUUGUUUUUAUCAUUGUUUAUUCCUUACAUUAAUCUUCCAUCUCAAAGCUCUCAUUAACUUAUUCUUCAUCUUUAUUAUUAUUAUUAUUAUUAUUAUUAUUAUUAUUAUUAUUAUUAGUACUACUACUACUACUACUACUACUACUAAUACUAUUGUUGUUGUUGUUGUUGUAUUAUUGUUGUCUAUAAUUUAUACAAUUAACCUCCCUAUGGUUCGACCCCGGUCUUGCCAGGUUAUUUAUUACUUCGACACUCUUACACUUAGGAGAAGACAUCAAUCUUUCGGUCAUGUCACGUGCCUUAUGUACAAGAAUCGAACCUUAUGCAUUUUUCUUGAUUCUAUAAACCCAUUUACAACCUACAAGAUUUUUGGCAUGUGGCCAAGUCCUAAAUGCCAUGUGCAUGAAGAACAUCAAUUUCCUCCUGCAUAGCAGACUGCCAUUCAAUAAUUUUAGAAGUAGUCUUGAAUGAACUAGGUUCAACUAGAGAGAAAUCAAUAGACUGGACAGUAGUAGAAUAAGACUUCCUUUUUUAGAUAUUCAUAGGUGACAGAGACAAGACUACAUAAAGAUUCUUAGGAUGGAAAUCAGGAUCCUCAGGGAGAGAAAAUUAUGUAGCAAAAUCCAAACCUGACAGAGUUUGAGAAAUGGUAGGGGAAGGCAAUGUAUCCAAAGAGGCAGCAAUGUUUAUGAUGGAUGAUGAAGUAGAGCAUGCAGGUAAGACAAUAUUGUGCAGAGAAUCAAAAGGUGGAGAAAGAAGGGACGAAUGAGAAGGAGAAGAAGAAAUUGUAGACACAGAAGUGUAUGGAAACACAGAUUCAUCAAAGAUGACAUGACGAGUCACAAAGAAUUUAUUAGUAAGGAGAGAAAAACAUAUAUACCCUUUAUAUUGACCUGCAUAACCCAAAAAAAUGCAAGUGAAAGUUUUAGGCUGAAGUUUAUGAGUGUUGUAAGGCUUGAGUAGAGGAAAACAUGCACAACCAAAGAUGUUUAAAUGAGUGAGGACUAGUAUAGAACCAUACAGUAAAAGAUAAUGAGAUUUUAGCUGAAGAAUUGGACAAGGCAUCUGAUUAAUCAAGUAGAUAGAAGUAGCACAAGCAUGAAACCAAAAUUUAGAAGGGAGAUUGGUAGUUUGCAACAAAGUGAUUGUUGUUUCUAAAAUAUGUCUGCUUCCUCUCUAUAAGACCAUUCUGUUUAGGAGUGUAUGGACAAGACAUGUGAUGAAUAAUGCCUUUAAUAAGGAGAUAUUGCUUCAAGGAAUUAUUGAGGUACUCUCCACCUCCAUCACUCUAAAAAAUUCAAAGAUUGGCAGAAAACUGAGUGACUAAGAAAGCAUGAAAUGAGAUAAAUAUGGAAUAAACCUCUCAUUUAUUUUUCAUUGGAAAAAUCCAAGUGAACCGAGUACAUUCAUCUAUGAAACUAACAUAGUAUUGAAAACCAUCAACAUAAAUAGUAGGAGAAGGACCCCACACAUCACCAUGAAUUACUUUUAAAGGUGUUGCAGACUUAAUUGCUGGAUAAGGGAUAGGAAGUUUUGCAAAUUUGCCUUCUAAACAAGCAAUGCAAACUGAUUUGGAAUGGUCUGAAGUAAAAAGAAUAUGAGAUUCAUGUAAAAGAACAUAAGUAAUUUUGUUAGAAAGAUGGUCAAAAUGCUUGUGCCAGAAACUUGUUUUUACUUGGUGACCAAGAUCGCACAAUUGAUUAUUGGAAAAGGAAAAUGAUUGUGAUAGUCGAGAUUGUGGAAUGGAGAAAGCAAUAGGAUACAAACCAUCUCUACACAUGCCUUGGAGAAGAACCCUCCCUUUAAUCUUGUCCUGAAUGCAAAAGCCAAAUGCAUUAUAGAUAAAUCUGCACAAUCGUUAUCUUUACAUAACCUACAAACUGAUAGCAAGUGUUGUGACAGCUUAGGCACAUGCAGAACUUGUUUUAAUUUGAAAGAGCACCAUGGAACAUCCAGAAUAGAAGAACCAACAUUAGAAAUGCUCAAACCUGAACCUUCUGCAGUGGCAAUAGUAUCUGAUCCUGAGAAAGGAGUAGCUAGGUUGAGUUAAACUAAAUCAGAAGUCAUAUGAGUUGUUGCUCCAGUGUCAGCAACCCAAAAUUACUUAGUAGAAGUAGAAGAAGGAAAAUUUACAUGCAUUGCACUAAGAUUAGUGGAAGGCGGUCUGCCUUGAUAGGAGAAAUUCCCAGUAUGAUAGCACUGAAUAGCAGAAUGCCUAAAUUUACAACAAAUCUGACAUUGGACUGAAGAGGUGGAAGAAGACGAUUGAUUAUGUCAUUGAUAGCAAUCAGCAGUUACAUGUCCUUUCUUGCUACAAAUUUGACAGAUGGGAAUGUCAAUUCCAGGACCAAGAAUACCAGAACUAGAAGAAGGAACUUGAUAAAGGCGUGGACCAAGUUAAUAAUGACCACAGCUCGCAGGCAUCGAAGUGAGAUAAAAUCAUUUUAGAGAACAGAAUCUGGCAGUAAUCUAGUUGGUAAAAAAGGAUCUCUAGGUCUAAUUCAGAAACUAACAAUGUCGAGCAUCCCGAUAUGAUUGAGAGUAUGAACUAAGAACAAAAAUCACAAAAUUUGUGAUGGAAAUAGAGUAUUUCAGUGCAAAUUCGGGUAAGUAUCCUUCUCGCGGUAGAAUUUUCUACCUUCUCAUUAGAUACAGGAAUAUCUUGAGCUUCUGAUAUCGAAAUCAAGCGACCCAAAAGCCCAAAAUUAUCUACACGUCUAGGAAUACAACUUUGAUGAAGGAAUCAAAGUGAGAUAAAAUUAUUUUAGAGAAUAGAACCUGGCAGUAAUCUAGGUGGUUAAAAAGGAUCUCCGGGUCUAAUUCAGAAAAUGACAAUGUCGAGCGCCCCGAUAAGACUGAGAGUAUGAAAUAAGAACAAAAAUCACAAAAUUUGUGAUGGAAAUAGUUUCUUAGUGCAAACUCGGGUCAGUAUCCUUCUCGCGGCAGAAUUCUCUACCUUCUUGUUAGAUAUUGAAACGAGAAUAUCUUGAGCUUCUGAUAUCAAAAUCAAAUGAUUCAAAAGCCCAAAAUUAUCUAAACAUCCAGGACUACAACUUUGAUGAAGAAGUCGAAGUGAGAUAAAAAAAAUUUAGAGAACAUAAUCUGACAGUAAUCUAGUUGGUCAAAAAGGUUCUUGAUCUGACAAUGCUGAGCAUCCAAAUCUAACUGAGAAUCUGCCCUAAGAAAAAUGAUCCCUAGGACCUAAUAAAGGUGUAGGUUAAUAUUUUAACAUAUCAUGAGUGACAUAAUAUAGCUAGGAUGGUCAGAUAUCAUAUGAAACCAAGUCAGAAUCAGAGCCUAAGUUGGAACCAAAAAUUGCAACAGCAGCAGAACCAUUUUUUUUAUUGCAAAUUCUAAGGGAUUUAUCCAUCCUUAAAGACCAUAUAAAGAAAGAACGAAUUUAGCAUUAUUAAGAUUCCUGACUAAUCUAAUAAAACCUUAUGAUUUUGGUAGCAAAGGGGAAGGAUAAAAAGAGCAUAAAAUAGCUCAAACAAGGUUUCAAAAAAAAAUAUUUAUUUCUCUACUUUUGUCAAUCUUCUAGCAAACAUGAGCUAAACUUCUACACUCAGUUCAAAAGAGGUAUACAUCAUCACCAGCAUGUGGGGUCCAAAAUUGAGUAAUAACAUGAGUCAACGUUGAUAUUGCUCGUUUUUAAAAAAUACAAGAAAAAUCAAAAUUUAUAAAAAAAGAAAGAAAGUUGAGGGACCAAUUUUGAGGUCCAAACAACAUUUUACUUUUAAAUAUAGGUCCACAACUCAGAAUACAGGGGGGGGAUUUUGAACAUUUGGAGAAGGCAACUUAAAAACAAAAACCCUAAAAAGCUUAACUCUCACCCGAAGCAUUCGCCGCCCCCAUCAUCCAAAAGCUUUUUUUCUUUCCCUAGCUUCCAGUCGCCGCUCACCAUCACCUCUCACUCUCCCUUUCCAUCUGCCCAAAUAAAACCAGCCGCACAAGUUCCCCCUAGCGGUUACCCGAUCUUCUCCUCCUUACCCGGCCAUUUUCCCCUUUCCUUUUGAAAAAAACCAGAAGACCAAGGCAACCACCCCUGAUCUCCUUCAUCCCUCUCUUGGCUGAAAAUCAGAUAGCCCUUCCUAGCACAAUCCUCUAUUUUCCCCUCUCAACACCGUCCUCACCGUCAGCCUCAGCACCGUCAUUGUUCCUGCGGUUGCAGAAGGCCUUCUUCCCAGCAAUUUUUCGAAUUUUAGGGGCUAUUUUGUAAAUUUUAAAUUACUUAAUGUAAUUUUUUGUUUAGUUUUGAAUUUUUUUAUAAUUUGUAGUGUGGAUGUACAAAAAAAAGAGAACAGAAAAAGAAAAGAAAAAUAUAGUGAAAGUGAAUGUGUUGUUUGUAUUUUUUUUUAUGAAUGUUUCUUUUAUGAUAAAAUUGCAUAAAAUAAAGAAGAAUUUAAUAUUUUGAUUUGCUCACAGUUAAGGAUUAUGAACUUACACGUAAGUCGUAUUUCUAAUAUCCGAUGAAAGAACAAAAUUUUUAAAACUUCUUUAACACAUCAAAGCCACGAAGCAGCUUACCUCAAGUAGGGUGCGUUAGGGGUGUUAAUACCUUCCCUAACCACAACCAGUCCCUUACCCAUGAAUCUCUGACAAGACCAGUAAACCCGGGUUUCCUAGUAGCCCUCAAUUAAAUAUUAAGUGGCGGCUCCCAACGAAUCAAUUAAAGAUAAAAAAUGCAUGGCAAAGCAUAAAUAUUGCUAGAAAAGCUUAUCUAAGAAUGGUGCUGAAUUGUCAAUCAUUUUGUUGUAGAGUUUUGCCCUUCUGCAUUUUGUUUUGGGAUCAUAUCUCAUCGUUUAAAGAAACAUGUCUUUUUCUUGGUCUCUUUGUUGUUCUGAAGUCAGAAGAUGUUUAGCAUUUCAUUUUUGAUAAAAUAUUUUGAUUGAACUCUAACACAUGAUUUAGGCUAAUCAAUCUUAAAGAUUAAAAGUAUUUUGAUUGCAGAAAUGACUCGAUAUUUGUUAAAUUAGCAAGAUAAACAAUUAAUGGAUCAAGGGGAAGGCUUAAAACAAAAGUCUAAGGAUUGAGAGAGGGCUAAGAGAAAAUACAUAGACUGGGGGCAUAUAAGAAAAUUUUGAGGAAGGCUAUGAGAAAGCAAAAAAAAAAAAGAUUGAAAAAAGAAGAAGUUGAAAUUGCCUUCACUUAAAGACAAAUCAAAGAUAAAUGAAGGAGAAUGCCUAUCAAGUCUAUGAAGAGUAAAAGAAAUUUCAAUCAAGGAAAGGCACACCAAAAGUCAAUACCAAAAAAAAAAAAAAAAACUAAGCUAUAAACUUGACUUUUGGUAUCCAUUAUAAAGCCUAUAAUGUUAUCCAAUGAUAGAGGUUGGUUAUUCAUCACGGAAAGGUGGAUUUGUAUUAUGACUUAUGUUAAGAGAAGUCUGAUCUUUGAGGUUAGCAAGGUUAUAUGUCGUUUCCUCUACAAAGACAAUAAUAGAAAAAGAGUUGAUGAAUAGUUGAUGUUGAUCCUGGGUCUUUGAAACCCUCAAACACCUUUUGAGCCUGUGAAAUUCCUUUCUUUCAUAAGCCAUGAACCAUAGCCACAUUACGUGCUUUUAAAAGCCCUUUUUAAUAAGCAAACAAUUUGAACCGAUAAAUGGCGCUCUCUAAACUUGAAGAGCUUUUCUAUAAAGGUCGUGACUUCAUGAAUUAAGCUAUGGGUUAUUAUGCAUGCUGAUAAAAUAAGUGCUAAGAAAAGAAACAACCUUUCUUGAUAAAGCCUAACUGUUGACUUGGGUGUCUUGUUUUUGAAAUUCACGCAAAUGUCACCUCAUCAUAGACCAUCAAAUGAUAUACCCAAUAUCAAGGAUUCAAAUUGAUACAAAGAACUAUGGAAAAAGCCAUUUUAAUCCUACAUUAGGUCAAUUUUUGUUUUCAAAAUACUUGACAAUCAAAGGACUAUAUAUUUUGAAUAACGUGUGUUGAAUCUUUGAUAAAAAAAAAAAAAAAGCUUGAUUUUCAAAAGGUCUUCUAAAACAAGAACAUCUUUGAUUUCAUUUCAACAAACUAGACUUUGAAUAGACAUGAUCUUUGAAAUAUGAGAGUUGAUUCCCAAACAAGAAGAUUAUCGAACACACAAGAACAUUUUUUUAGUCUGCAAAAUCCUUGACAAAAAUGACAUCAACAUUUCUCAACACUCCUUAAAAAGUUGACCACCUGGGGGCAAUAUAGUAGACCUUGAGAAGGAAAACAAACAAUAUUUAAAUCAGUUGAGGAUAAAAAAAGAAUCGAACGAUGAGUUGGCGAAGUCCAUCACAGUCAUUCCUUGCGAUCACAAAAGCCAUUUGGGUAUAGACAAAAGAAAGAGCAUGUUUAGAUCAAUUGGGGGAAUGUUGUUUGAAGACAGUCCAUGAUUUAGUGGACUUCAGCAACCAUUGAUGAGUAAUGCUGCACUUGAAGGAUAUUUUCAUAUCUUCAUCUUGGUUUAUCAUCUCCAACAUGGCUAUGACUUUUGAACGAUGUUAUUGCAUAGUUGAAUUUAAAUGAAUGUUGAAAGGAUGCACCUACCAAUUGACUGUGGGACCAUCUGUUUUGAAGCUCCAAAGUGCACUUCACCGCAUGAAUAUGGGUGAUAAAGUGAACAUCAUUAAUAAUUCCAAUGCAUUUCUUUUCAUAAUCCGAUUAGAUGGGUUGGGAAGAACUUAUUAAGAAACCCUUAGCAUACAAUGAUGAGUCUUUCACUGCAAGCUAUGAGAUGCAUGUUUGGACGAUUGGAUGAUUUCCAAGAAGGCUGAUGAUAACAUGUACUAGAAGAGUACUGUUUUGACUUGAGGCAAGUUCAUGACUGAUUGACAAUUUUGAUGGGCAUUGGCACGAUGCACACAUUCAAUCAAAGAACAAUUCUUGAAAGAAUCUAGGAGCUCAUUAAUGGAAUCAAGCUACAUCACACAUGGAAGCAUGGUCAAGCUUGAGAAGCAACGAGAGCAGUAAUCGUCAUGGAUAACCAAAGAUAGGCACUACACUUACAUCUGAGUGGAAGGCUAGCAAACGACUGAACCAGUGCAUUGAAAGAAUAAAGAAAGCUUUGAAUAACAAACAAAGGCACGCUGUAAUGAUGGAACAUCAAAGAGGGGGGGACCUAUAUUUCAAAUCAGGUAAGGAUACAUGCAUGUCAUCUAACAUCGAAGCAUUGCAAAUAUUUUUUAUUUGUUGCAGGAAAAAUCCUCAAUGUUGUCCAACAAGAUUGGGGACAAAGAAAGAAUCAUUGAGUUGAAGAACAACAAAGAAUCAUGUUUUUGAACCUGGGACGGGAGGAAGAUGAGAUAAACCCUAACAUUAGGGAAAUCUCAAAGAAAUAAGAAGAUCAACGAAGAAGAGUGUUCAAUUUAAACCCAAUGAUCUUGAAGAAGAAACAUAUUUUUUUGGUUAAAGGAGAUUGCUAGAAGGAAUCUCAAGUUAACCACCAAGAAGAUGUUAGCUUUGGUUGAAGGGACUCGCCAGAUGGGAUUCCAGUUUGACCAAGCUACACAUGAUUUUGGUUCUGGUUAAAGAGGAUCAGUGAAGGGAUCUGAGUUUAGCCUAACCACACACAGAUUUUGAUUCUGGUUAAAGGGGAUCGGCGAAAGGGAUCUCAGUUUAACCUAACCACACACAGACUUUGGUUCUGGUUAAAAGGGAUCGACGAAGGGAUCUUAAUUUAGCCUAACUACAAAGGAUUUUGGUUCUGGUUAAAGGGGAUCGGCAAAGGGAUCUCAGUUUAGCCUAACCACACACAGACUUUGGUACUAGUUAAAGAGGAUCGGCAAAUGGAUCUCAGUUUAGCCUAACUACAAAGGAUUUUGGUUCUAAUUAAAGGGGAUCGGCGAAGGGAUCUCAGUUUAGCCUAACCACGCAAAAUUUAGCUUUAGUUAAAGGGAAUCGCUAGAUAGGAUUUCAAGUUCACCGAGCUACACACCGAUUUUGGCUCUUGUUAGAUCGCUAGAUGGGAUCUCAGGUAAACCCAAUCAAACAGGCAGGUCGCCUUUGAAAAUAGACCAAAUGAGUAUGUGUGGGCAGGUCGCUCGUGAAAAUAGACUAGUGUGAGUGUGUGGGCUAGUCGCCCUUGAAAAUAGACCACUUUGAGUAUGGGUGGGCAGGUCGCCCGUGAAAAUAAACCAGUGUGAGUGUGUGGGCUGGUCGCCCAUGAGAAUAGACCACUUUGAGUAUAUGUGGGCAGGCCGCUCAUGAAAAUAGACCAGUGUGAGUAUGUGGGUUAGUCGCCCGUGAAAAAAGACCACUUUUUUUCAAAAGAAACAGGUCGUCCAAGAUAAUGAGAUCGUUUUCCUUUUCUUUUCUUUACAAAGCUUACUAUGCAAAACAUGAAGAGUUUUGCUUCGUAAGCAUUGUAAAGAGGAGGCAUCUGCUGUUACCUAAGUUUUUACCCACCUUUUUGAUAAAAUUUUUGAAAAAUCAAAAAACUAUGAAAAACAACGAAAAUCCAAAAAAAAAAUUAAUAUAUUUGUAUCAUUUUUUUAGCAUUUUCAAUGUCGUCUAAAAAAUAAAUUAAAUUUUCAAAAGUCUUUCGAACACGUUCCACUUUUCACGCGUCAUUUUUAAAAUAAUUGAUUUUCCUCAUUUUGAGCCAAUGUUGAUAUUGCUCGUUUUCAAAAAAUACAAGAAAAAUCAAAAUUUAUUAAAAAAAAGAAAGAAAGAAAGUUGAGGGACCAAUUUUGAGGCCCAAACAACAUUUUACCUAUAAAUAUAGGUCCACAACUCAAAAUACAGGGGGGCAAUUUUGAACAUUUAGGGUAGGCAACACAAAAAACAAAAACCAUAAAAAGCUUAACUCUUUCUUCUCCCUCACUCGAAGUAGCCGCCGCCCCCCAUCAUCCAAAAUCUUUUCUUCUUUUCCCAGCUUCCAACCGUUGCUCACCAUCUCCUCCCACUCUUCCUUACCCUCUGCCCAAAUAAAACUAGCCGCUCAAGUCCCCCCCUGUGGUUGCCCGAUCUUCUCCUCCUUACCCGGCCACCUUCCCCCGCCCUUUUGAAAAAAACCAGAAAACCAAGGCAGCCACCCCUGAUCUCCUUCAUCCCUCUUUUGGCCACGCCUUUAUUUCAGUUGAAAAUCAGAGAGCCCUUCCCCGCACAAGCCUCCAUUUUCCCCUCUCAACACCGUCCUCACCGUCAGUUGCAGUAGCGCUGUCCUCACCAGAGAUCUAGCAGCCGACAAAUAUUCGUUCUUCAACCAGCCUUCAACAAUGCCCACAUACCAGCCUUUAAUAGCACCCACAACCAUAGCCUCUCACUAGAAUCUUUCUCACUCGGCCAACCACAAACUCCAUCUCCACCAGAUGCCGCCCAACAUUUGCUCCUCCUUAUCGCAGACUACCUAAAGUUGAGGAGAAGACGGCGAAGCCCAAAGAACUUAUUUGAGAAAGAAGAAAGUGAAGCAGAAUAGAAUGGAAAGCAGAAGAAAACAGAUCUAAAAAAAUAACUAAAAUAGACUAGUUGUGCGUUUUCUUUUGGUUGCAAGUGACUAGGAUCUUCAUCGCCGGCGAGGAAGGGAAGGAGGAGGGAAGCCAAGCCAGAUCCACCCAUCUUCCCUUUUAUGGUAGCGGCGCGUGGAUGCACACGCCACUAGUGGCGGUGGCGCGUGGAGGAGACGUGCCUCCAUUGUACCUGCAAUUUAGGGGAUACUUUGUAAAUUUUAAAAUAUUUAAUGUAAUUUUUUUUUAGUUUUGAAUUUUUUUUAUAAUUUCUAGUGUGGAUGUACAAAAAAAAGAACAGAAAAAGAAAAGAAAAAUAUAGUGAAAGUGAAUGUGUUGUUUGUAUUUUGUUUAUGAAUGUUUUUUUUAUGAUAAAAUUUCAAAAAAUAAAGAAGAAUUUAAUAUUUUGAUUUGCUCACGGCUAAGGAUUAUGAACUUAUACGUAAGUCGUAUUUCUAAUAUCCGAUGAAAGAAUAAAAUUUUUAAAACUUCUUUAACACAUCAAAGCCACGAUGCAGCUUACUUCAGGUAAGGUGCGUUAGGGGUGAUAAUACCUUCCCUAACCACAAUCAGUCCCUUAGCCGUGAAUCUCUAACAAGACCAGUACACUCGGGUUUUCUAGUAGCCCUCAAUUAAAUACUAGGUGGCAACUCCCAACAAAUAAAUCAAGCGAACAAAAAAUCACCAGCCGACGCUACGCAGGUGACGUGCGACAAUCAUUAACCUUCAUUUUUACCUUAUGGAAAAAAAAUUUGUAUUUUAUUAACCUUCAUUUUUAUUAUUAUGUUUUGAAAAUUAAAAAAAUACAUAUAAUAUUGGCAGCACUCUUGACAAUUUUAUAUUUUUUGACCACUUAAAGAAAGAAGCAUGUCUAGAAUCGGGCGAGCACUACACAUGAGCUCUAAGGGCUCAACUUUUGACAUGGUUAUUACUGUCUUCUCUGCCAUGUCAAUCUUGUUUUCACCAACCCUUUCCAACUCAAAACACUGUAUUAACGAUCCCGAAGUUAAGAUCAUUGCUCUUUUUGCUAGGCCAUCUCCAGGACAAGCUCUCCUUCCCAUCCCGAAGGGGAUGAACUUGCAAGCAUCAACUCUGCCUGCAGAUUCAAAUCUCUCAGGCUUGAAACUUGUGGGCUCAUCCCACAGUGCAGGGUCUCUAUGGGAGAGACCAUGCGUUUACAAAUAAUAUGGUCCCAGCUGGGACAUGGUAUCCUCCAAUGGUACAGUCGGAGGAUGGCAUGUGCGGUGGUAUAAGCGGUGUCACCGGACAUAAACGCAGAUUCUCCGAUAUGAUGCUCUGAAGGUAAUUUAGUUUUGCAAAAUCUGACUCUUCUAUCAAGCGGUCUCCAACUUGAGCGUCCAGUUCUGCUUUAGCUUUCCUUAGCACGUCUGGAUGGUUGAGUAGAUUGGCUAAUGCCAAUUCCAUAGAUGUAGCAGCAGUAACAUAACCUUGUAUAACUGAUGCCUAGAUCAUUUUGAAUGGAACAGAUGGAAAGAUUCUUGUGGAAGACAUUGUCAAAUUAGGCAGUUGGACGCGCUUGCUAGUGCUGUAAAAGUGAAUUCUGAUGAAUAUAUAAAUGAUAUAGGUGCACAGUACAGAACAAGAAAUCGAUAUAUUGGGCGUGACAGUUAUAUCUCGUGCCUUAGGAAAUAAAAUGCUCUGUGCAAGUUUAUUCUUGAGAUUGAGAAAUCAUGCUUUUGAAUUAGGUGGAUCUGUAAUCAAGUUUAUGAUUGAGGCAAACUAAAUCAGCUAAAUAAGAUGCAUUUUAAAGUUUUAAGGCCAUGCAUAUGUAGGCUUUCACACCUUUGAAUCUUUGGUUUCAUGGAACUUCCUUGCAAGUUCUGCUGCAAAUUCCGUAAUAUUCUUAUCAGAGCUUCCGCCUUCAUCCACUGCUGUUUUGGCCAGUUUCAUCCAUUUCUCAGAGUUCCUUCUCAUCUCAUUCCCUCUUUCACCUUCCAUGACUUCCCUUAUACACCCUUCUACGUCUUCUUUAGUGACAAUCCCCAUUUCAUUUUCCUUCACUCUAACCCCUGCAUGCCAAACAUCGGCAAUGCACUUUGCAUUUGUUGGUGGAUCAGUCCACUCUGGCAUUGCCACCAUUGGCACUCCUAAGCUCAACGGCUCGAGUGUUGAGUUCCACCCACAAUGAGUCAUGAAGCAACCAACGACGGAUCACUUGUGAGCCAGAACCUCUAGCUGCGGGCUCCAGGUCACAAGCAGAGACUUCUUUGAUGACUCCUCCACAAAGUUGCUUGGAAGUUUUUUCCUUUCCGAUUCUCUGACUACCCACAGGAAGCAGCAGACACUCCUCUUUAGGCCCCAAGCAAUUUCUGCCAUUUGCUCCUCUCCAAGUGCAGCCAUGCUUCCAAAUGACACAUAAACCACUAAGCCAGUUUCCUUUGAAUCUAGCCACUCAUUGCACCCCUCCGGAUUGGGAUUGAAGCGGCUGAGACCGUACUCUUUAUCGUCCUCCAGCUGCUUGUCCAAGUAAAACGAUGGGAUCAUUGGUCCUAUUGGCUUUAUUGACCUUUGGCUUGCCAACCAGUUUACCGCCUGUGGAAAUCAACAAAAUUUUGAGUGCCACUGAAGUAAAAGGAGCAUACUUUGAAAUAUGGUAUCGUCUUGUGAGCAAAGAAAAGAGAUUGUAAGUAGGAAUUUGAAGCAUUGCUGCUCUCGUUUAUGUUGCUUUGCUUGUCAAUCAUUUGUUGACUGCUUGCUUGUUUGAUCACACUUAUUUUCAAGUAUUAUUUGUCAUAAUACUUGAAAACUUUGUGGACUUUUGUUGAAACUCAAGGCAACUGCUGAGCCACUUUGAGCCCGUUUGGCUCUGCGGCUGCAUUUUAUUUAAAACGCAGUUCGCAACUAUUUGGUUAAGGAAAAAAUCAAUUUAUUGUUCAUUGGGCCCCACUUAAUUUCUGCGUUAAAAACACAGGAAAAGAAAAGCAGCCAUUUCUUACUCUCUUUUUUCACUGUUCAUGUUAAUUGCACUGUUUAUUGGACAGUGCAAUUAACAUGAACAGUGUAUAGUGCACACUGUUCACUUAAAAAAUCGUGAACAGUGCAAUUAUCUUGCAUUGUUCACUUGCCUGCGUAAACUUUUUUUUUUUUUAGUGUGUUAUUUUUUAAACAUUUUUUUAAAAAAAAACUAGUUUAGAGUGAAUUUUAUACCUGAUAAUAUUUUAUUUAAUUUUAUUACAUGCUAAAAAUAUUAUGAAAACUGUAGUUUUUAUCGGAUAUAUUUCGUACGUAAUGGAAUUAUAAAUGGUUUAAUGGAAUAAUAAAAAAUAUUUUAUAUAAAGUAUGAUUUAUUUCAUGAUAUAAUAGCAAUAAUUAAAUCCACAAUAUUUAAAUUAAAAAUCAUCAGUAUUAAUAUAUAUUUUUAAAAUUAUUUUAUAACCUCAAUUUUAAAAGUAUUCUUAACCAAACACAUUAAACUAUUUUUUCUUCAACUUCAAUUUCAAUCACAGUUUUAACCAAAUACCUAUUUUUUCAAAUCAACCUCAACUAAAAGUACUUUUUAUAAAACAAUUUUUUUCAAAUCACAACAACAACAGCUACCGCAAUACCAAACACACUCUUUUUAUACGAGGUGUGCUCAAUAAGUAAGCAUAGAGGCCCAUUCCUCCUCGUGUCUGGUCUUCUUUGUCCAGCUCUCAAUUAUGUACUCAUAUUUGACUACAAGGCUGCUGGCAUGGUAUCUUUAUAUUAACACGAAAACAUUGUUUUUCAUGGGUUUUUCUACCCAGUUCUCAAUAAAUUAGGCCUAUGUUAUGUAGCGAGUACUUUGCUAAUCGGUACUUUGCUAAAGUCACAACAACCACAUGCGAGUGAUGUUGAAAUUGAAAAAUUAUGAGAAGAGAUCUUUCCAAAUUGGUUAAAAAAUAAUGUAAGUAUUUUAAUAAAAUUAAUUUAUAUUUUAUGUCAAUUAGUUACUUUAAAAACAUUACUAAUCUCUUUUAAAUCACUAUUUUUUAUGAAGUUAACUAUUAUGCUAGGUGGAAUACCAAUGUAACAUAAUUGAAAAUUAACUCUUUGGACUUGCUAUGGGCCCUUCAACUUCAGUGAAAUGUUAUAAUGGGUAUUAUGUGAAUGGUUUUAAAUUUCAUACUCAAAGUUAUGGGCGUUUUAAAAAGACAAUGAAUAGUGGAGUUUGUGUGAAGGGAAGUUGUUAUGAUGAUAAUGAACGUGAUUAUUAUGGAAUGCUUAAAGAAGUUGUUCGGCUUAAAAACUUGGGGAGUAAGUGCAAGUUAUUUAUGUUUAAAUGUAAUUGGUAUUAUUAGAGUGCAUCGUUCGAAUGGUUUGAUUGAAAUCAAGCACACAUCUCAACUACACGGAAAUGAAGAUUUUGUGUUAGCACAACAAUGUCAACAAGUCUACUAUACAUAUCCACUUGGUAAUAAAUCAUCUGAAUGGUGGACGGUUAUUAAGACAACUGCUAGAAGUCGUUAUAAUGUUGACAUGGGUGAAUUUAUUGAAGAUGCCAACAAUGUGAGAUCAUUUGAUGUUGAUCAAUCAGAUGAGAUUUAUCAACCAUGUCGUGUCCUUCCUACCCAAACACUUGAUGAUCAAAAUAUACUUGUUGAAUCAUCUUAUUAUGAAGAAAUCAACAUGAAUUGAUUCAACUUGACAUAAAUUGGGGAAACAAUGAAAAGAAGAAGAAAAAGAUGAGAGAAUGAUGAUGGUGAUGAGGAUGAUUGAGGUGAUGAGAGAAAAAACAUGAUUGUUGUGAUGAUUGAGGUUAGGAGUGAUGAUAAUAAUGAGUAGCACAAGUUAAUUAUAUUUCGUAGUAUAUGUAAUGAAUUAUCUUUAUUAUAUGUAUGGAUGAUUUCAUAUUAUUUGACAAUUUAUUUAGGCUUUCAAUGUUUUUUUAUUAUUUUAUUGAAGUGUGUGUUAUGCAUCACAUUACAUAUCAUUUUCAUUGACCUUUGAAACCAUUUAUAACCUUUCAAGUAUCAAUCUUUAAAUUGUGAUUCUGAUGUUAUAGUUUAUUUGUGAUUUGUCUUCUUUUUGAUAGAUGCUGGAGCAUGAAUGAAAGGGUUCUCCUACUCAAUGUUUGGAUUUAUAGGAAAAACAUUAAGGUAAGCAUACUCAUAAAUUUUGAUUUUGCUUAAUUAAUUAUUUAGAUUUUUAUUUUUUAUUGUUUGUGUUAAUUGGCUUUUGACAAUUUAAACUUCAUGGCUGAUUUUUAUUAUUGCAAGGAAUGCUUAAUGAAAUGGUCUUGAUGUUAUUUAUAUAUUUGUUUUUAUUAUAGUAAUUAUUUUAUUUGAAGUAUAAUAUUUUUUGAAGUUAUGGCUAUUAAGUGGACAAUCCAUACUGAUUUUGAAAAUCAUAAACUGGAUAUUGUUUGUAAUGAAUUGAAAAACAAAUGAGAUUUAACAGUUUGUUUUCAUUCUAGUUAUGGCAGUCUUGGGAAAAUAUCUGUGAAUUUUUUGUUCUUGAUAGUUUAACUAUGAGCUAAUUUAUUAUUAUGCUGUAUAUAUUCAUAUGAUAAUGUAUAUGUUUUUUCUGGUUUUUAGCAUGCCUCGACGAGGAUCCAUAUUAGAUUCUAGGAGUGACAGGUCCACUUCAGAUUAUGGGAGGGUUGAAUUCUAGGUCCACUUCAAGGAGUGACAGGUCCACUUCAUCCAAAUCAUUUCAAACUACAUCAAGGCAUAAUAACAAAGGAUCCACAUCUCAUCAACCUGUGUAUCAAAACGCAAAUGAGUAUUAUAUACCUACUUUUGGGAGUACACAUCCUCCUCAACAUGAUUAUGGGAGGAUUGAAGCAUAUCAAUAUUGUGAGGGCUUUCGGUUCCAAGAUUUGCUUCAAACUCAAGGAGGUUUCCCUCAAGAUAACCAACUUGUUUAUGGAGGACGUAAUUCAUAUAUGAGUUAUGGGAGAGUUGAUGGUGAUGAUGGUGAUGGUGAUGAUGUGAACAUUAGAGAUGAAGAUGAGGGAGACGGUAGUAAUGAGAGAGGUGUAUGUGAUGAGGAUCCAGAUGGUGUGCCAUCAAACCACGGUUCAACAUCUUCUCUAUACAAUUAUGAUCAAAAUAUUAAAAUGAAGGGUUUUGACACACCAAUAGAUCCAAUUACAAGAAAAAAAAAGCUUUGUUUGUUUGAGACUCAGUUAACCACUGAGCCACUUUAUGUGAGGUUUGCUUAAUAAGUAAGCAUAGAGGGCCAUUCCUCCUCGUGUCUGGUCUUCUUUAUCCAGCUCUCAAUUAUGUACUCAUAUUUGACUAGAAUCACAACAAGGCUGCUGGCAUGGUAUCUUCAUAUUAACACGAAAACAUUGUUUUUCAUGGGUUUUUCUACCCAGUUCUCAGUAAACCAGGCCUAUGUUAUGUAGUGAGUACUUUGCUAAUCAGUAUACUUCCAUGAUAGGUUUCCAUGCAAAUAGCUUGACUCGUAGCUUGAUCUGGGCUAGUUUUCAAGUUGAAUUGAAACGAACUUUAGCAUAAAUGGCUCGGUUGAAUUCACACGCGAUAAUCUAAUGAUCCAAACUAGAUUUGAUAAUUAUACUUCUCGUGCUAUUAUAUCUAGUUCGAUCUCCAGGGGGGAAAAUGCUAACUUUAAAAGAUUAUAGUAUGAUGGUUAUUAAGAAUGUUUACUAUAUUUUUGGAUUUAAACUUUAGCAACAACGUCCAAAAAAACAAUUAGAUCUGUUAAUAUAUGUAUUAGGCUGGCAUGGGAGUGCGAUGUAAAUACUACAAAAACACCUUGGAUCAAAGAGGAAUUCUUUAAUAGCAGCUUGUUAUCACAUGCUUAGCAAGAUUGCAAGCUACGAAAAACAAGUAGUAGAUUUUUCUCAGCCUUAAUUCACACGAUUGAGAUCAAGUAGAAGCAUUAAUUUCUCCUCGUUUUUCUUCUUGAAGCAGAUAAUCAUAUUUGGUUUAUUGAUAAAAAGAGAAGAUAUGUUUUUUUUAUUGUUGUUAUAUGUUUUAUAUUUUUUUUUGAGAUCAAGUAUAUAAGCUGGAAACUCGUGAUAAAAUCUUAAGAUUAUUCUUAGAUGUAACAAAGCCAUGUACUGAUCUUUGUUUUAUAUUUAUAUUUUUAUAAAUAUUUUUUGUGUUUUAAAAUCUAUUUUUAUAUUCCAAGAUAUAUAUAUUUAAUCACAUUUCUAAUAAUAUUGAUUUUUUUUUUUGAAAUAAUAAUGACAAACCUUGCAAACUUGAGUUCGUGACAUUUUGAUAUUACGGUAAAAGUCUUUUUGGUGCGUUUUGAUUUUUGUCAAGAAGGAUAGAUUGGAAGUAUCCAUUAAUUUUGUGUAUUCUAAUAUAAUCGUCUGUUAAGCUUGGCUUAACAAAAUUAAUGAAGUAGAAGGAAAACAGAGAAAUGAGAGAAGAAUGAUUCUGUUAUUUCUUGCGUGACUCUUACAUAAUCCUCCUAUGUACCAUUAUAUACUUAAACGAUUUAUUAUAUUGUAAACUAACUCUAACCGUAUUAAGGAAAAAGACCCUAUACAAUGUAAUAGUUAUAGUAUGUAAUACAUCCCACCAUUAUAUUGUACACAACCCUACAAGUAUAAAUACAAAGGAUGGCUGCUACCCUUAUGCAACCAACACAAUUAAACACAAAAUUAUCUCUCAAUUAAUCUUAACUUGGUAUCAGAGCUGCGUUAAUUGUUCAACAGCCUUCUUCCGCAACAACUGCAACUCUCCUGCGUAGCUGUUUCAACCAGCAGCCAUCCUCCUUUUUAGCAGUCGUUCUUCCUCUAUUAGAUUCACAAGCAGCAGUUUCAGUUUCUCCUUAGCAUAGAUCACUCAUCUUCUUCCUCUGUCACUUCUCAUGAAAUAAAAACUGCAACUUCUCCUCCCUAGCAACAUGGACAAUCAAGAACUUCAACAGUCUGCUGGCUCUGCAUCAGCUCUUCAAUCUUCUUUCUCCCUUGUGGCACAAUCAGUUAUGUAUGGGGCAUCGCCUACUGGCUCCAUUAUUCCUCUUCCUAACACACACCAGGUAGUCUCUUUAAAACUCUCCAACCAUAAUUUCCUGUAUUGGAGGAUGCAGAUGAAACCUUUUCUCUUGGGACAAGGCGUUUAUUCAUUUGUUGAUGGCACAUCACCAUGUCCUCCUUCACAUUUGGCAUCUGCUGAGACACCUACACUCUCUGUCAACCCUGCAUAUUUGUCAUGGAAGCAGCAAGAUCACCUAAUCAUGAGUGCCUUCUUAUCUUCUCUCUCGGUGGAAGUUAUGCACUUACUUGUAGAUUGUAACACUUCCCAUGCCAACUAGACAACGCUAGAAACAACUCUUGCCUCUCCCUCAAAUUCCAGGAUUAUGCAACUCCACGGAUCAUUCUGGGAUUUACGACAAAAUGAUGAUUCUACCAGCAUUUACUUGAAGGCUAAGGCCUUGUUUGAUGAACUGGUUGCCGCUGGCAGACCAAUCUCCCUGGCAGAAUUUAACUUGUAUGUUUUUCGUGGAUUGCGUAGUGAGUUUAAGGAUCUUGUCACCAGCUUGUCCACUAAGGAUGCUGCUAUCAGCUAUACUGAUCUCUAUAGCAGCCUUCUUACACAUGAGUUCCUUCACAAAGCCUCUCUCCAGCCAUCUGGAACAACCCCUCUGUUACCAACUCCAACGCAGCAGCCAGCUGUGUUCUUUGUGCAGCAUCAAUUUGGCAGACGGGGUUGUUUUCGUGGGGGCUGGAGACCUAACAAUCAUAGCAAUUUUUAUCGUGGCAAUGGUUAUGCUUCAGGACAACAAUAUAGCCCACAUGGAAACCGAUUCUCAUCUGGCACUUCUUCACGGCCAACAGGUAGUUUUGGGCAGCAAGGAAAUCGCUUUGGUGGCUAUCCUCGCAAUAUAAAAUGCCAGAUGUGUUCUCAGUUGGCUACUCAUCAUAUGCAUGCUAAUGCUAAUCUUGCAUUUAAUAUUGCCUCUUCCACCACUCCUGUUACUUGGUUUCCUGAUACAAGUGCAAAUCAUCAUGUCACGCUGGACCUUGUAAGUAUGACGAGUUCAGAACCUUAUAUUGGAAAUGAUCAUCUGCAUGUUGGUGAUGGUAAGGGCCUUGUUAUCUCAAAUAUUGCUCACUCUAAAAUUCGCUCACCAAACCACAUGUUUACUUUAUCCAAUAUCUUACAUGUUUUUACCAUUAAAAAACCUCUGCUAUCUGUUCAAAAAUUUUUUCUUGAGAAUAACGUGUUGUUUGAAUUUCAUUCCUCUCUAUUUUAUGUUAAAGAUCUCAUGACAAAUGAAGUUCUUCUUUCUGGUCAGAGUAGAGAUGGCCUAUAUGUUUUGUCCACGUCGUCUGCAACGUCGUUGCCUCGAGCUUUUUCCUCUACCUGUCUAUCUACUUCAGCUGAUGUCUGGCAUCGUCGCCUUGGACAUCCUAGUCCAUGUAUUCUGCAUUUGCUGGUGAAAAAUAAAAAAAGGGUCAUGUAUGUCCACUCAGUUUAAUUUUCAGUGUCCCACGUGCCCUCUGGGCAAGUCAUCGCGUCUGACUCUAAAAACUACGGGUCAUCAAACUCGAGCUCCUUUUGACUUGAUUUUUAGUGAUGUUUGGGGUCCAUCCCCUAUGUUAUCAUUUGAUGGUUUUUUGCUAUUUUGUUAUUUUUGUGAAUGCUCGUACAAAGUUUAUAUGGUUUUAUCCCUUGGUUGCCAAGUCUGAUUUUUUUGCAAUUUUUCAUCAGUUUCAGGCGCUUGUGGAGCGCCAAUUCUCCUUAAAAAUUAAGUUCAUACAAACCAAUUGGGGUGGUGAAUAUCGAAAACUAAAUACAUAUUUUAAAAUGAUUGGUAUUCAUCAUCGUGUGAUCUGCCCACACACUCAUUGUUGUAACUCAUUUUUGGGUCUUCACCUAAAACUACAAAAAAAUUCAAAAAAAAUACAUUUAUAAAAAAAAAUAUAACAGAAAGAAAAAUGCCAGAGCGCCUUAAAAAUGUUUAAAAAUUGAUUGAGGAUGUGCAAAAAAAUAAAAAUAAAAAUUUGACAGUAUAUCAUUGACUGAUGCGAGCCCUAAUGAUAAAGAAAAUUCAAUUUGAGGAAGAAAAAUGCAAAAUUAGAAGUUUAUGGACUCAAUUAAAUUUUAUUGAAGGUUUAAUUGAAUUUAUAGAGGUUUUACUUGCAAAAACAAUUGAUUUUGGAGUUAUUUUGGGCUUUAAUUGGAAGAAAUUAAUUUUCUGGGGUCAAAUUAUAAUUUUUAGAAGUUAAUUUGGUCAAAUCAGGGGCUUAAUUGCAUAAAAAAUGAAGUUUAAUGGCCAAUUAGGGACUAAAUUGAAGAAAUCCGAGACCAAGGACGAAAUUGUAAAACGCGCGCAAUUUGAGGGCCUUCUUUGAAAUCUGACGCAUUUUGGCGCCUUUUUCUUUUAAAUGAAACGGCGCGUUUUGACCAAAACGGCGUCGUUUCAUUCACUGUUGCAAAAAAAAAAAAAAAAAAAAAAAAAAACAGAAGCCCAAAACGGCGCCGUUUUGACGGCACUGUAGGUCUUCUUCUUCCCCUGGACGCGCGAGGCAGGGGAAGAAGAAGAUUUUUCUUCUCCCUUUUCGCCUAACUUCUUUCCCCAUUUCUACGCAAUAAGACGCCCACCAUUCGACGCCCACUUGCCUCCUUUUUAUCCGUUGAACGGCUAGUGGAGGGGCGGCCAACAGUGGCCGCCCCACCACCAUUGUCCCCCCUGUUUUUGCCUAUAAAAACAGGGGAGGACCGAACAAAAAAAAAAAAAAAAAGAGAAGGGAGAGGGAAGAGAGAAGAGAAGAGAAGAGAAAGAAGAGAGGAAAAGAAAAGAAAAGAAAAGAAAAAAACAGAAACAGAAGAAGAAAGAAAGAAGCAGGGGAGAAGAGAGAAGAAAUCGUCGCCUCUGCCACCCUUCGAUCACCAGCAGCACCGCCGGCCACCGCUCCAGUUGGAAGCUCCACCGCGUCAGGUAACCUCCUGCUCCCUCGCCAUCACUUUUUUUUUUCUUCUCGCCCUCGCUGUCCCUGCCUGCACUUGCAUGCAGAACGUGAAUAAUUCACGUUCUGCUGCAAAAUGCAGCGUGGGCUGGUUACUGUGCUGAUGCACAGUAACCAGCCCAUUUGGGCCUGGGCUGGGCCGUUCAGCCCAGCCCCUGUAAACGGGCUUGGUUGGCCCAGCCCAUGCAUUUGGGCUGGGUCCGGCCCAUGUUUUUAUUUAUUUAUUUAUUUAUUAUUAUUAUUAUUAUUAUUAUUAUUAUUUUGUUUGUUAUUAUUUAUAUUUUUAUUUUUUUUUAAAAAGACACAUUUUCUUCUAUCAUUUUACUGUUCAUACGGUACUGUUCAUCCGGCCCAUAAAAAAGGAAAAAAUCAAAAAUACUUGUUUUAUUUAUAAUUUUUCCCCGUAUUUUUUAUGUCAUUUUUAUGUAAUAUGGGACAAUAUUCCUAUGUCGUAAAAUACAAAUCCGGUACUGAAAUACCCGGUUUUCGACUUUCAAGAAUACAAAAACAAAUAAAAAAAAAAUGUUUUUUUGUGCAUACGGCCAAAUGUCUCAAAAAAAAAAAUCAUUUUGUAUUUUUCAUACAAAAAAAAAAUCAAUGUUUUAGCAUGCAUUUUGGCUUUAAUAACCAGUUUAUUAAAGUCAAGAGAAUAUUGGCCAAAAUUUCAAAAAAACAACAAAAAUUUUAUUUUGUUUAUCUUUUAAUAUCCGGGGUAUGACAUUAUACGUAAUACAUAUUCCGGAUAUUUAUUUAAUUUUUAUAUAUUUUUUUUAUAUAGAACUUGGGAUAUGACAUUACAUGUAAUGCGUAUUCCGAACAAUAAAACACGACCUUAGAUGUUAUCAGACAUUAAAACAAUGCAGCCUACCUUAGGUAGGGCGUAGUUGGGGUGCUAAUACCUUCCCUUUACGCAACUAGUCUCCGUACCCGAUCUCUAAAGACCAGUUAAGGUUCCUAGUAACCAGAAUACUAGGUGGCGACUUCCAGUCCAUAUUUUCACUUAUAGAGACAAGAAUUCCUUGUCUCUCCUUUUUUUGUUGGGAAUAAAUAUUUCCGAUUUUUUUUUCCUUGAGGGUGGACGAUCGUCGCGCCGCCGCACACGUGCGACACUCAUGAACAAAAUGGCAUGGUUGAACGCCGUCAUAGACAUAUUGUUGAAAUUGGACUCACUCUCCUUGGGUAGUGUCAUGCUUCCCUUAAAUAUUGGAGUUAUGCUUUUGAAAGUUCUGUUUAUUUGAUUAAUCGUAUGCCCACUCCAGUUCUUAAUAAUAAGACAUCGUUUGAAUGUCUUCUAAAAUCGACUCCUGAUUAUGUGUUUCUUCGUACUUUCAGGUGUCUCUGCUUUCCUUUUCUUCCUCCAUACAAUGCUCAUAAAUUAGAUUUUCGGUCCACUUCUUGUGUUUUUCUAGGAUAUAGUACCUCGCAUGUCGGUUAUCGAUGUCUUGAUUUGUCAUCCAAACAAAUUUAUCUUGCACGUCAUGUCCGGUUUCAUGAAACUGUUUUUCCUCUUAAUAAAACUGAACAGAUUGCAGCAACACCCAACCAGCCCUCUGCUCCCUCUAUACCCAUCACUUUACAUCCUCUCAUGCAACCCUCUUCAGUCCCUUCACCACUGCCCCAUACACUGCCUACACCUUCUUCGGCUCGUUUACCAUUAUCUACAUGUUAUUAUGAUCAUUCUUCAAUUGCAGGUUCAGAUUCGUCACACUCACAGGCGUCGUCUGAUGCUGCUGCCAGCUCCCCUGGUUUCUCCCCUGUUCGCUUCCUUGUUGUGGGUGCUUCUUCUGCUGGGUCUCUCUCACGGUCUGCGCUUAUAUUGAGUUCUUCACCCACAAGUUCUUUCUCUCUUUCCCCUCUUGGAAUUAACGUAUGUGUUGAUCUAUCUAAGUUCAAUCUUCAGCACGUCCCUGCCGCUAUCUCCUCUCCAUCUUAGCGGGCUUGCACCCAUCCAUUGGUGCUUCGCCCACGGCCAGAAAAAAAUGCUAAUCUUAGCAUUGUGGCUGUCUCACGAGUCACGACCUUACCUCAGUAGGAGCCAUUGCCAUUUAAGGACGUAAACAAGUAUGUGACUUGGGACACUGCCAUGCAGGAGGAACUUCGAGCACUUCACUCUAAUCAGACUUGGACGUUGGUGCCUCCCCAUCCAACUAUGAAUGUGAUUGGCAGUAGAUGGGUUUACAAGAUAAAAAGACAUGCUAAUGGUUAGGUCGCCCGAUAUAAAGCACGGUUAGUUGCUCGCGGCUUAACUCAGCAAGAAGGGAUUGAUUAUUUAGAGACGUUCAGUCCAGUGAUCAAGCCUACAACGGUUCGCCUUGUGCUCACUAUUGUUGUCUCAUAUGGUUGGACCAUUCAUCAGUUGGAUGUUCAUAAUGCUUUCCUAAAUGGCAUUCUUCAGGAAGAGGUAUACAUGGCGCAAUCGCCUGGGUUUGUUGAUCCUACACUCCCAUCUCAUGUGUGUUGUCUCUAUAAAUCUCUAUAUGGUUUGAAACAAGCCGCUCGUGCUUGGUACAACCGGUUGAGUGAGUUCUUACUCUCCAUUGGAUUUCAGGCAUCCAAGGGUGAUACUUCUCUAUUUAUUCUCUCUCAAGAUGGUGCCAUGAUUUACCUGCUUGUGUAUGUUGAUGAUAUUUUAUUAACCGGGAGUAACUCAGCUAUGCUUUAUAGAUUGAUUAUUUUGCUGCAAUCAGAAUUAAGCUUCUGGAUUUGGGUUUUGUUCAUUUCUUCUUGGGUAUUGAAGUUAAACCUACUGCUAUGGGUAUCUUAUUAAGCCAACAUAAGUAUGUUCUUGAUAUCAUCCAACGAGCAGGUAUGACUUCGUGCAAACCAGUUGAUACUCCUCUAUCUGCCUCCUCCAAAUUAGGACUCAUACCGGGUACUCUCUACUCUGAUCCCACACGGUAUCGACAAAUUGUUGGGGCAUUACAAUAUCUUACCUUCACUAGACCUGAUAUCUGCUAUGCGGUCAACAAGGUCUGUCAAUUUAUGCAUGCCCCCACUGAGGAUCAUUGGUUUGCUGUCAAACGCAUCCUGCGUUACCUCCAGGCUACAGCAACUUAUGGCCUGCACAUCACUAGGGAUUCUCCUCUGUCUCUUCAUGGUUUCACAGAUGCUGAUUGGGCAGGUAGUAUUGAUGAUCGAAAAUCCACAGGUGGUUACCUUGUGUACCUUGGCUCUACCCCUAUCUCUUGGAAAUCCGGGAAACAACGCACUGUUGCGAGAUCCUCCACUGAAGCGGAAUACAAAGCCUUAGCUGAUGGUACUGCUGAGAUUUUGUGGAUUCACUCAUUAUUGACAGAACUUCGGAUUCCUUCUUCGACUGUGACCACGUUAUGGUGUGAUAAUUUAGGGGCCACCUUCUUAUCUGCAAAUCCAGUAUUUCACGCUCGUACUAAACAUGUUGAAGUUGAUUAUCACUUUGUCCGUGAUCGUGUUACUAAGCAAGAAAUUCAGGUACGGUUUAUAUCUUCCAAAGAUCAACUAGUUGAUGUCCUUACCAAGCCUCUUCCUCAAGUCUCGUUUGCUUACUUUCGAUCCAAGCUUCGGGUGGAAUCUCCACCUUCAGCUUGACGGGGUGUAUCAAGGAAAGAGACCCUAUACAAUGUAAACACUCUUAUAUAGUAAUAGUUAUACUAUGUAAUACAUCCCACCAUUAUAUUGUACACAACCCUACAAAUAUAAAUACAAAGGAUGGCUGCUACCCUUAUGCAACCAACACAAUUAAACACAAAACUAUCUCUCAAUUAAUCUUAACUAACCGACUCCUACCCUAAUUAAUAUGCACUAGCAGUUCUCCAACUUGUUGUGUAAACUACUUUGCUUUUUCUUUAUAGACAUGCAUCAACUUGUUGUGUUCUGAACAAUUUAUUUGAUCUUGUGGAAUAAAAAAGUUUCUUCCUUGACUUUUUUAAUAGAUUGAAGUGAUUUGCCGACAGUUUCAUCAUCCACCUCACUUCUUUUUCUUCGUAGACUUGUGAAGUCAAGAUUCCCGAAGAUCAAUAUCAUCAAUUAAUUGUUGCUAAUUUUGUUGAAGAAAGAAAUAUUUGUUAGUCUGAUUUACUUCCAUAUUAAUUAUUGUUGGAUUCUUAAUCUGAAUUUUAGAGUGGUUCUAACUUCUUAAUCUGAAUUGAUGGAUUUCUUAAUUAUUGUUAAUACGAUUCGAUAUGUAACUAGUGUAUUUAUAUACCUUUUUUCUCAACCAAAUCCUUCAACUCCAUAAUAUUUGACAAAAAUAAAAAUACAAACCCAUUAAUUCUCUGUGGUAAAAAUCCGUCGAUAAAUAUAAAGAUUGUGGUAAUGACAGAGAUUCCUCAAAAGAAGUAAUGGAUGCUUGUUUGUUUAGUUAGUAAGUUAUUUUUAGACUUAAGAUAAUUAAAAUAUUUUAUAAAUAGAGUCUUGUGUUUUGAUCCUACUACAUGUUGUCCUAAUCUAGGGUAACGGAUGAAUAGAUAUUCGUUAUAACAUGAAUUAUAUGAAGAUAUUUUAAUAAUCAAGAGAAGAUUCAUCACCAUAGGUGAAUUAGAGAAAAUAUUUCAUAUAUUCACAAAUAAUAUUGAUUGUAAAUUCUUGCGAAAGGUAGAAUGAGAUUUGAAAAGAGUUUUAAAUCUUAUUUUGUAACAUAGUAUAAAAAUGGGACAACAUUACAAUUACUAUAGUGAAACAUCAUUUCUUUUUAUUAUUUGUAUAAUAAUUUUCAAAAAAAAAAAGUGUAAGGGAAAAAAUAUAAAAAAAAUUACAAAAUAAUGAAGAUAAAAACACAAAGAAAUGUUUAUAAAUUAAAUAGGCCAAAUUUAAAGUGUUAAAUAUGCCAAGUAUAAAGAGGGAAAAAAUCUAACAAAAAUAUGUCUAAAAAACCCAAAAAAACAUAUAUUUGUCAUCACUACAAUACCCACUACAACAAAAAAAGAAAAAAAAUAUAUAUUUGUAUCAUUUCUAUUAGAAUUUACCAUUUCCUUUUACUUUUUAGUACGUGUAUAAUUUUUCUUGGAUAAAAAGAUUAAAAUAAUAAUAAUGAUUGAUUUAUUUUUCACUUAAAAACACCACAACACUCCCCCAAAUCAUAUAAUAACCUAAAAAAACCCUCAAAAUCAUUUAAAAAACUACAAAUUAAAAAAAUUAAAAUUCUUCAAACGAAGCUCAAUCUCCUUCUAAAAAAUAUUUAAAUAAAAUAAUAAUCACUAUCAAACUUUCAUUAUCAAAUAAAAACAUCAAGUAAAUAAUAAUCGCUAAUUUUAUAAGUGUCAUCUCUAAAAAGUAGCGCAAAUGAUUAUUAUUUUUUUCUCUUUUAAAGCGACUUUCUUUCUUCUCUUAAAUACAAUAAUUCAAAAUUAAAUAAAAUAAAUUUUUGGAUUAAAAUAAAAAUUCUCAUAAAUUUUAUGUGAGGCAAGUAAUUAUUUUUCUAGUUUUACUUUUCAGUCCUCUUUCUUUAAGUUUUUUUUUUUAUGAUAAUUUGAACCUAAUUCAAUUUAAUUCGGUGUGAAAUUGAAAGGAAAAAAAGGUUAAAAUAAAACAACAAGCAAAAUUAAACUGGCCCAUGUCUUUGCUAAUAUUAAAGUACUAUGCUCUUCACUGUGUUUAAUUUAUAAUUUUAUAGAGGUCAAAGUCUGUUUAUAUUUUAAUUGUAUGAACGGUCCAAGACGACCACUACCUUGAUUUUGUAAUUGCUGCAAAGUCGUAAAAGCUGCCUUCACUUUCAUUGGUGGGUACCCCUUUUGUGCAUUUUUAUAAAAUUCAAAGUUGGCUUCCCCUUUUCUUUGGUGGGAACUCCUCUUGUAAUUUCCUAAUGCUUCAGUAGUAACCAUGCCAUAAUUAAUUCGUAGACUUGACCUAUGAUCGGCCACUUUCGUAUUGAAUGAGGAUGGACCCUGUUUAUAUAAAUAUCCAGUUUAAUUAAUUCAUAUGGUUAAUUACUGUUUUUUAUAAAUAAAAUUACUGAGAUUAAAAAGUUGUUAGUGUUAUUUAAUGAUUUUCUAAAAAAUUUAAAUAAAAUUAAAAUUUUAAAUUAAAUAUUAUAUACGGAAUGAUUACCAAAUUAAAAAAUUAAAAAGUGAUCGUUGAUAUUUUGUAAUUGCUUUCACUUUCGUUGGUGCGAACUCAUGUAAUUUCCUAAUGCUUCAGUAGUAACCAUGCAAUUAUUAAUUCGUCGACUUGACCCAUGAUCGAUCCCCUUUUGUAUUGAAUGAGGAUGGACCCAGUUUAUAAAAGAGUAUUGUUCUCAAGACCACAUAAUAUAUAUAUAUAUAUAUAUAUAUAUAUAUAUAUAUAUGUAUAUGUGUGUGUGUGUGUGCAGGCAGAGUAACAAAACAAAACCAUUAUUUUAUGUUGAGUGGAAUAUCAAAGCACCUUUUCGGUGCAUACCCAGCCCUUCUUCUUCUAGUCAUCCUAGUCGGUCACCAGAGUUGCAGUGCUAGAAAGAACAGUGUUUAAGCUACUUUGCUUCUUUUUUGUUUUGCAUAGACUUGGGAAGUCAUUUGUUCAAAUAAUUGAUUUUUCGACAAGUCUCUUAAUCUCAUCAUCUUUUAUCUUUAAAAUGUAAAACCCAACCAUAAUUUAUCUUUGACAUUUCAAGCAACUUGUUGUCGAUCAUCUUUUCAUGGAUCCUACAAUUAUUUUCAUUAGUCUAUUAUUUGUUGUUGUUUUUCUUCAGCCUUGUGGAACGGGAUGUCCAUCAACUUGUUGUUUAAGCUACUUUGCUUCUUCUUUUUUCAUAGACUUGGAAAGUCAUUCCGACAAGUCUCUUAAUCUUAUCAUCCAGACAAGUCAUCAACUCAAGGAUUAUAAUCUCUUCUCAUUUGUUUUUUGAUUAGGCCCUAAUAACAUUAAGAUAUAUUCCAGUUUUGAUCAUUUCUUAGGGAAUAGGUUAAAAAAAAUACCCUAAAAUUUGGAUCGAUAUGAGAUUAGAAAUUUAGAUAAAACAUGGAUGUGUUUGAAUGAAGAAAUUUAGGGCAGAGAUGUCGUAUACAGACAGAGUAUGCCAAGAACCAGUAAGUUACUAUUUUUUUAUUUUCACCAGUAAGUUAUCCUAGUGCUUGCUAGGACUAGCCCAACAAACAGAUUAAAAGUAUGAAGUUUCACCAAUCUGUCAUCAGAGUCUGUAAAUAUUGUUACAGAUGAUUUAAGUUUGUUUGCCAAAUUUUUCAAGAACAUGUUUGUCUUUGAUGGCUUAUUGUCAUAGCUGUUAACUCUGAAGAAAAAUGAUCUUAGAAACCAAAGUCCUGCAAUGUAAUUCCAUGUUGUUCUCUUUUUUAGCUAAUCUUUCUGGGUAGGUUCUCUGGUUUGAGGCUGGUGCUGAAGAAAGGGGAAGCCGACGCUGCUACUUUUUAGUUUUCUCUGCUUCUUGGAUAUUCCUGGGCUGGGUUCCUUUGGCUCAGUCUCCUUCUUGCGUCUGUCUCUCUCUCUCUCUCUCUCUCUCUCUCCCUCUCUCUUUUUCACCAGUUUUUCCUCCCCGUUUGCGUCUUCGUCCUCCUGUGCUCCCUUCUAAGUUCUCUCCCCGUUUUUUCCCCCUGUUUAAGCUUUCUUGUACUGCUCGCUCUGCCUCUCUGUUUUCUCCUUCCCUUGGUUCUGCUUUUUUUCUCCUCUCUGUUCUGCUUUAUAGCCAGAGAAUGCCUCCAUAAUAAAGUGACUGUUAUUGCAGGAUUAAUGGCGAUGCAUCGUUGGGCAUCCGUUUUUUUGGGUCGGGCGAAGAAGAUGAACAGUGUUGAUGGCCAUUUGCGUUUUGGUCCUUGACUUUUGAAAGUUCUGCAAUCAAGCUCCCUGGAUAAACUUUAAUUGGACCCCUGGAUUUUAUCACCAUUUACAGAAUGGUCCUUAAACUUCAAUUUCUUGCAGUUUUAACCUGAAUCAGCCCCAAGCUUUAGUAUUUCUUCAAUUAAGCCCCUGAUUUCAUAAAUUAAACUAAUUCCAAGUUCAAUUAAGUCCAAAACUUAUCAAUUCUUCACUUAAGCUUUUAAUUUGGUUAAUAAAACUAAUUCAAAGUUUAAUUAAAUCCCAAAACUUCUAACCAUGUUGUCCUUACCCAAAAUUUAAUUCAUUCUUUAUUUAUUUCAUCAUUUUUUUAUUUGUUUUUUUCUAUUUUCAUCAUCAUUUUUUUUUCAUUUUUUAUUAUCAUGUUUCAGGAAAUAAAAUAAUAAUAACAAUAAUAAUUUUUAUUACCAAAGUCUUCUCGACGGACAAAAAAUUAUUAUUAAAAAAUUCACCGGCGGAGAAUUCCUGUAAGUGAUUUUGUUGGUAAAUUAAUUACCAAUGGAAUGAUAGUGCAAAUACCGAUGGAAAAAUCCAUCGAUAAAUAUAAAGAUUGUGGUAAUGACAGAGAUUCCUCAAAAGAAGUAAUGGAUGCUUGUUUGUUUAGUUAGUAAGUUAUUUUUAGACUUAAGAUAAUUAAAAUAUUUUAUAAACAGAGUCUUGUGUUUUGAUCCUACUACAUGUUGUCAUAAUCUAGGGUAACAGAUGAAUAAAUAUUUGUUAUAACAUGAGUUAUAUGAAGAUAUUUUAAUAAUCAAGAGAAGAUUCAUCACCAUAGGUAAAUUAGAGAAAAUAUUUCAUAUAUUCACAAAUAAUAUUGAUUGUAAAUUCUUGCGAAAGGUAGAAUGAGAUUUGAAAAGAGUUUUAAAUCUUAUUUUGUAACAUAGUAUAAAAAUGGGACAACAUUACAAUUACUAUAGUGAAACAUCAUUUCUUUUUAUUAUUUGUAUAAUAAUUUUAAAAAAAAAAGUGUAAGGGAAAAAAUAUAAAAACAAUUACAAAAUAAUGAAGAUAAAAACACAAAGAAAUGUUUAAGCUUUCUUGUACUGCUCGCUCUGCCUCUCUGUUUUCUCCUUCCCUCGGUUCUGCUUUUUUUCUCCUCUCUGUUCUGCUUUCUUUCUCUGGCUUUAUAGCCAGAGAAUGCCCCCGUUACCCAGGUAAUAAAGUGACUGUUAUUGCAGGAUUAAUGGCGAUGCAUCUUUGGGCAUCCGUUUUUUGGGUCGGGCGAAGAAGAUGAACAGUGUUGAUGGUCAUUUGUGUUUUGGUCCUUGACGUUUUGAAAGUUCUGCAAUCAAGCUCCCUAGAUUAAACUUUAAUUGGACACCUGGAUUUUAUCACCAUUUACAGAAUGGUCCUUAGACUUCAAUUUCUUGCAGUUUUAACCUGAAUCAGCCCCAAGCUUUUGUAUUUCUUCAAUCAAGUGUAAGGGAAAAAAUAUAAAAAAAUUAUAAAAUAAUGAAGAUAAAAACACAAAGAAAUGUUUAUAAAUUAAAUAGGCCAAAUUUAAAGUGUUAAAUAUACCAAGUGUCGCACCCGACAUCGCGACGACCCUAAAAAUAAUAAUUCUCGUUCAUGGAAAAAAGAACAGAUUCUGGCAUCCGGUUCUUUUAGAAAAAAUGUCUUGUUCGAGGAGUCGCCACCUAGUAUUAUGGUCACUAGGAACCCUAACUAGUCAAUAGAGAUUAUAUGGUUCAGGACUGGUUACAUAAAAGGGAAGAUAUUAUCGCCCCUUAAACGUUCUGCCUAAGGCAAACUGCAUUGCUGUUUUUGUCUUAAAUUGCUAAAUUUUAUUGGUUCAUGUUUUGACGAUUUAUUCACAAUAUUCCUGACUCUGGCGUUAGUGAAUGUUUAACAACGGAUAAUUCUAACUCUGGCGUUGGUAAUUAUUACGUAGUUAAUAAAAUAAAUUUAGAUUAAUAUUUUCUAUUUUUGACUCUAAAACUAGUGAAUAAACUAAAUGUACACAUUCACAUAUUUUUCUAUUUUUUUUUAUAUAAAUUAAAAAAAGGACAAAAUAAUAAUAAUAAUAAUAAUAAUAAUAAUAAAAUUAAAAUAAAAUAAAAUCAGUGUUUUUAUUGUAUUCCCGACUCUGGCGUCAGUGAAUAAAUAAGUAAAUAAAACAAAUUUAUUUUUUUUAUACAUGCACAUAUAUUUUGUUGCUAAAUAAAAAAACAUAAUGAAUAAAAAUAAUAUAAGCUCAAACCAGUAUUUUAUUCCCGACUCUGGCGUUGGUGAAUAAACCAGUAAAUUUAUAUUACUUUUAUUCAUGCAUACAAACAUUUUUUAUUUUUUUUAUUUUUUUUUCUCCUAUUUUUAUUCUAUUUUAUUUUUUUAUUUUUUUCUAUUUUUUUUAUUUUUUGGGGAUGGGCCCAGCUCAGCCCACAUGGGCUGGGCUAGACCCAGCCGGCCCAGCCCAGUCACUGGCCCAAGCCAGUGACCCGGCUGGGCCACAGCAGGCACGCAUGAUCUAAAUCACGCGUGCAUAGCCUGUAAUUAAGAAACAGCCGGUGCAACAACGAAAUGAAACGAAGCGGGGAAACAGAGCUGAAAACUUACCCGUUUCGUUUGCAGGGGAUUUGCAUGUGAUUGCUGAGGACGAAGCUUCUGCCUUCGAGUUUCUUCGUACUCCUUCUGUUCUUUCACGUUGUAUUCCUUUCCUGCUCCUCUGUUUCGGUUUGUUUUUCCUCGUCUCUUUUUACUCUGUUUUCUGAACAAAACCUCUCUCUCUCUCGGUCAGUUUCGUUUUUGUUGUUUUAAGCCUGUAUUGGUGAUGGAAGGCUUUGCUUCUGGCGUGGGGUUAUAAAGAAAAAGGUUAAAAAUCUUGCUGGUAAUAUGUGUGUCUCUCUCCUCUGGUUUUGUUCGUCUCUCUCUACAACUCUGCAACGGGUCGUAGGCUGAAGAACGACCACCAUUAAACGCUCAUAACUGAGGCCCCUCAAGUGUGGUAUUGCUUGAUUCAUCAUGAAGGAUUUUCUCUCUGGCUUCUUCUGAGAAUUAUCCUCUGAUUGAUUGUGUGUAUCAUGCCAACACCCAUCAAGAUUGUUAAUCAGUCAUGAACUUGCCUUCGGUUGAAACACCAUUCAAGUAUGUAUGGUCACCAGCCUUCAUGGAACUGCCAAGUCAUCCAGACAUGGAUCUCAUGCUUUGCAGUAAACAGCUCAUCAUUGUAAGCACGAUGUAUUUCUCUAUGGAUUCCUCUUAGCUUGUCAAAUCAGAUCAUGAAAAUAACUGCUUUGGCAUCAUCAAUGGUGUUCAUGUUAUCACCCAUAUUCAUGCGGUGAAGCGUGCAUUUGAGCUUCAGAAUAGAUGGUCCCAUAGUCAAUCUUGGUGGUAUGCAUAUGUUCGAUGUUCAUUCAAAUGCACUCACCCGAUAACAUCUGUCAGGAGUCAUAGCCAUGUUUUAUAGGGUAUCCCAAGAUGAAGAUAUGAAAAUAUCCUUCAAGUGCAGUGUUGCUCAUCAAUUGCUGCUGAAAUGCACUAGAUCAUGGAUUGUCUUUGAACAAUAUUGGCCCCAACAAUGAUAUGAAUGCUCGUUCAUCAGUUUAUACUAAAAAAGGUCUUUCUUUGUCAUUGUCAGAUGCUAAACAUAACUUUGAUGAACUUUGACGACUCAUCAUCUGAUUCUUUCUUUGCCCCCAGCUGAUCUGGAUACUGUCUGUUUUCCUUCUUAGGGUCCACUGUAUUGCCCCCAAGUGGUUAACCUUUCAAGGAGUUUUGAGAAGAGUUGAUGUCAUUUCAUGUCAAGGAUUCCGCAAACUCAAUAAAUGUUCUUCUUUGUUUGACAAUCUUUAUUGUUCUAGAAUCAAAUCUCAUACUUCAAAGGUCAUGUCUAUUCAAGUCUAAAUGUUGAAAUGAAAUCAGAGAGAUGUCUAUUUUUGAAAAAAUUUGAAAUUCAAACUUCUUUGGUCAAAGACCCAACACACGUCAUUCAAUGUAGUCCUUCGAUUGUCUUGUAUUUUGAAAACAGAAAUCGACCCGUUGUAAGAUUAAAAUGGUUUUUCCCAUGGUUCUUUCUAUCCACUUUAAACUCUGAUUUUGGGUAUAUCUUUUGAUGGUCUGUGAUGAGGUGACAUUUUUAUGAAUUUAAAAACAAGAUGUUCAGGCUUUAUCAAGAAAGGUUGUUUCUUUUCUUAGCAUUUAUUUUAUCAGCAUGCAUAAUAACCAGUAGCUUAAUUCAUGAAGUCACGACCCUUAUGGAAAAACUCUUCAAGUUUUGAGAGUGCCAUUUAUCGAUUCAAAUUGCUUGCUUGAUUAAAAAGGGCUUUUAAAAGCAUGUAAUGCAGGCUAUGGUUCAUGGCUAUGAAAGAAAAGAAUUUCAAAGGCUCAAAAGGUGUUUGAGGGUUUCAAAAAUCUAGGAUCAACAUUGAUUAUUCAUCAACUCGUUUUCUAUUCUUGUCUUUGUAGAGGAAACGACAUAGAACCUUGUUAACCUCAAAGAUCAGACUUCUAUUAACAUAAGUCAUAAUGCAAAUCCAACUUUCUUUGAGGAAUAACCAACCUUAAUCAUCUGAUAAUAUCAUAGGCUUUAUAAUGGAUACCAAAAGUCAACGCUUAUAGCUUAGUCUUCUUUUUUUUUCCUUUUGGUAUUGACUUUUGUUGUGUCUUUCCUUGAUUGAAAUUUCUUUUGCUCUUCCUAGACUUGAUAGGCAUUCUCCUUUUUUUUUUUUUAUUCCCUCUCUUUUUCUGUUUUUUUUUCUUUCUUUUUUUUGCUUUGCUUUCUCAUAGCCUUCCUCAAAAUUUCCUUAUAUGCCUAUAGUUUAUGUGUUUUCUUUUAGCUCUCUCUCAAUCAUUGGACUUUUGUUCUAAGCCUUCCCCUUUAUCCAUUAAUUAUAUCAAUGCCUUCAAAAUACCUCUCAUUUGCCCCCAGUGUGGGGUGUGAUCCUAGUCAGGGUUUCUUUUUGAAAGAAAAUAUUUUACCAGGCUCAAAAUGGGACUGCAAGGGAUAUAAUCUUUAGAAAGUGAAGGGAUAUCAAAGAUGGCCUUUUCUCCAGUGUAAUGAUUUGGACUUGUAAGAGUCAAUGAUUCACGAGUCCAUAGCUACCGAAACCACUACAUGUCAUUAUGCAUACUACUAAAACUUAGCUAAAUGAUGUGUGGUUCAAUUUUAUAUGUGAGCUCAAAAAUUUGUUCGGUCACCUCAUGUCAUUUCAACAAGAAUCGAGUCAUUUCUGCAAUCAAAACACUUUUAAUCUUCAGAUUGAUUAACCUUUAUCGCAUGUUGGAGUUUGAUCAAAAUAUUUUGUCGAAAAAAAUGUUAAACAUCUGUUGAUUUCAAAACAACAAAGAGACAAAAGCAAGGCAUGUUUCGUUAAAGGAUGAGAUGUGAUCCCAAAACAAAAUGCAGAAUUCCAUAACAAUAUGAUUGACAUUUCAUCACCAUUCUUGAAUCAGCUUUUCUGGCAAUAUCAGUGUUCGGCCAAGCACUUUCGAUCAACAUGUCAUUCUGAGGAUGUUCUGGUGACAACAUGAUUGAUGCCAUCAUCUUUCGCAAACUCAGCUCGAUUCUUGAAACUCUUGUGUCUGUUCAAUUGAAAUGGUCCGGGAACCCUCCAUGAUAUACACAUCUGGUUUGAAUUAUACCACGGUGGUUGCAUGCAAUUUGUCGAAGUCCGGGACACUAAGUCUGAAAUCUAGCAGUGCUGGUAAAUAAACCCACAUGGCAAAGGAAUGUCUAUCUUUGGCAAAGACAUUGGAGUAGUUGAUGCUUGAGCGAGACUUUACUAGGCAAAAUAACUGAGGUUUCUCGAUUGAGAGUCAUCUUCUGAUUCAACUCUCUUCUGGUUCUGGAAUCCAUGGCAGAUCCUUCAAUCUUUCCUCUCUGCAUAGCUUGUUCAAUUCUCCGGCAAAUCCUCACAACAUCAUUUCAAUCUUCCAAUGUUGUUGUGGUUGGUUGAGGAUUGUUAGAAAACUUUCCAACGGCUUGGUAAUCUUGGCAGCGCCCAGAAACUUGUAGUAUCGCCACUACCAACACGUGGAAUCAUGCCUUAUCUCUUCUAUGAGAGAAAAUGAUGAACAUGAAUCUCCUCUAUUUCUUCUUCGAUUCCUCUCGAAUGGUGCAGCAAACAAGCACCAAUAGAGGGAGUUCUGCUAUGUGGAAGUUUCAGUCUUCUUCAUGUUUUUCAGUCUAGGCAUGUCUCUUCUCUCUACUUUUGCGUUUUAAUACUGACACUGUUGGAGGAAAAUCAUAGAUAAUCUGAAACUACUGUAUUCCUUCUUGGAUUUCCCACUUGCGGAUCCACAAACAGAUUCCUGCUGAGAGAGCUCUACGUUGAAGUUUGAUGUCUGCUCAUAUUUUUCAGACCAAGUCUGGCUCUUUAACUUACUAAGAGGUUUUCGUGCUGAAACUGAUGAGAGAAAUAUUGGUAGCAUAUGCAACUUAUAAAUCCCCUCUUGCAUUCUCAAUUUGCAGAGCCAUAAAUGGAUUUUUGUAGAGAGAGCUCUGCCACAUUGAAGUUCAGUGUUUAAUCAUGGUUUUUCAGACCAACAUCUUGUGCUGCUGAACUGGAAUUGAGCUCAUAAUUGGGGUAACUUCAACAGCAGACUAAUGCACCAUGUACAUGAGGCUAGUAGUCAUUUGGUUCCAUUAGAUGAUGUGGAGGUGAUGAACACUUAACAAUGCAACUAGACAAGAAUCAGAGUUGUCAUUAGUUGAUGACUGAAGGCGUUGUUGUUUGUUCAUGACUGAAAAGGAGAGAUACAGCUUCAAUUGGACGUGAACAAGCAGUGUUCCCACAGAAGAAACAUUCUCUUUCCAUUUGAUGCUCAACACUUAUUCGAGCAUAUCUGAGUCCAUCUACUUCCCCUUUGAAGCUCUCAACCUUAAUAUGAUAAUGAGCCUCUAUCUGACACAUUUUUCACUUCCAUCAUCUUUCUUCAAUCACGUGCAGCACAGCUUAUGUGGGGACCUACCUUUCGACCCGGUACAUGCAUGAUAAAUGUAUGAACAUGUAAUCUAUAUGAUGAACUCACCCUUCGAGAGGUGACAAUAUGGCCGUAACUCUUGUAUGAUGGACAAGAAUCGUGAUUUUUGCCCAAACUCUAUAAUGAAAAUUUUCAGAGCAACGACCAAUGUGUCACCCACAAGUCUUGAGUUCAAGAUGCUUCAAGAAGGGUUUGCUGAUGCAAAAACGAAUACACAUACACCUAAGACAAGUUCUAUUCAUUUUACGUGAGACAGGGUAGGUUUGCUAUUUGGUCUCUAAAAGGGGUCUCUUGUUGUCCCGGUGAUUGCCCUCGUAAAGGCAAUAUAGGGGCCCAGUAGGUAAUUGGUUGGCACGUGUCCAACUAUUACCAGUCUAAGCACUCAACGAAGAGUUGGGGUUUACACAAACUUAAACCUUGACUCAAGUCAUAAGGUAAGCUGCUAGUCCCCUACCUAACUUAAAGUUUAAUGUGUGUGCUCAAAAAUAAAUACAGGUGAUGCAUGAGACAAUUCUAUAAAAUGCAUUGAAAUAACAAAAAUAAAAUAAGACAAAACACAAAAAACUUGAACACAUCAAAACACAAAGCUUAGUCCAAUAAUGUCAGAAUCAGAAACAGUACCCUCCCCAGUGGAGUCGCCAUUCUGUCGCACCCCAAAAAAAUCCGGCGCGCGGCAUUGGCUGGCGAUUUUUUCCUCGUUUGUUGUGUUGGCUUUGAAUUUGUUCGUUGGAGUCGCCACCUAGUAAUUCAUUGAGGGCUACUAGGAAACCUGAUGUACUGGUCUUUUCAGAGAUCGCGGGUAAGGGACUGGUUGUGGUUAGGGAAGGUAUUAGCACCCCUAACGCACCCUACCUGAGGUAAGCUGCUUUGUGUUCUGAUGUGAUUUGAAAAUUUAAAAUAUUAAUUAAAUUCUAAGGCUUGAAUAAAUCAGUUAUUAAAUCCCCGAAUAUAUGUAAAAACUUGUUCUUACAUUUUCAUGGAAAAUACAACUUGAUUUUAUUUGUCCUUGAGAUAUUUAACCAUAUUUAAGAAAAUUUAAAAUAUUAAUUAAAUUCUAAGGCUUGAAUAAAUCAGUUAUUAAAUCCCCGAAUAUAUGUAAAAAACUUGUUCUUACAUUUUCGUGGAAAAUACAACUUAAUUUUAUUUGUCCUUAAGAUAUUUAACCAUAUUUAAAUUAACAAUUAAUUCCUUUUGUUUUUUUUAUAAUUCAAUAAUAUAAAUAAAAAAUGCAAACACACACACAACUUUCUUUUUAUUAUUCAUUUUUUUCUUUUCUUUUUUCUUUUCUUUUCUUUUCCUUUACAUCCACAAAAUACAAAUAAUAAAAAUUCAAAAUUACAGAAAAGACAUUACACAAAUAAAAAAUUACAUAACAGCCCCUAAAAAAUCUAGGAAGCUGCUGGGAAGGCUUCUGGACCACAAAAACACUGGCGGCACGUCUCCUCCACGCGCCGCCACCACUAGCGGCGCGUCUCCUCCACGCGCCGCCGUGAAAACGACCGGAAAACAGGGGGGGUCUGUAACAGCCUCCUCCCCUAUUCCCUUCCUUGCCGGCGGUAGGAAACGUCACCUGCAAAGCCAAACACAAGCAGUCGUUUUCAAAUUUUUUUACUCCACGAUUUACGAGCCAUGAAAGUAUGAAAUAUUAAGGCAAAAGGAGGCUUUUAAAGCGCUUUGAAUUUCCUUAGAUUUCUAAAAAAAAUUUGUCCCUCCUUCUUGCGAUUUACGAGUCGCAAACUCUUGAAAUACUAAGGGAAAAAUGAGCUUUCAAAGCACAUGGAAUCUCCUUGGAUUUCUAUCCAAAUAAAUUUUAUUUGAAUCAAACCUAGGAAAAUUGAUGGGAUUAGAAAACACCAACACCAUAGCAAUUAUAGAGCAAACCAAACAUCAAGCAGCUUACCUUAGGUAGGGCGUACUAGGGGUGCUAAUACCUUCCCUUUACGUAACCAGUCCCUUGCCUUAGAAUCUCUGAAAGACCAGUUAGGGUUUAUGUCGCACCCUAAAAAAUCCAAUGCGGCAUCGGAUGGCGAUUUUUCGUUUUUGUUUUGCUGAUUUGGUUCUUUGGAGUCGCCACCUAGUAUUUUGGUCACUAGGAACCCUAACUGGUCUUUCAGAGGUAUUGUUUCUGACAAUAUUGGACUAAGCUUUGUAUAUUUGAUGUGUUUAAGUUUUUGUUUUUUUGUCUACUUUUUGUUAAUGUAUUUUCCAAGCAUUUUAUAGAAUUGUUUCAUGCAUCACUUGUUUUUAUUUUUGAAAGCACACACAACGUUGGAUCCUACUGCUCAACAGGACCCAAUAGUAUUGGGUUUAGCUCAGCCAGACCCAAAAUACUUCUAAAGGGAUGUGGGUCUAGCUACCCAGUAAGACCCAACGAUCUUGAGUCUAGGUGGGGAGCUGGACCCAAUAUCCUUGGGUCUGGCUAUGCACCCAUACCCAAAGAUAUUAUUAUUUGUAUUAUAAAUAUUAAAAAAUUUAUUAUUUGUAUUAUAAAUUUUUUGUAUAUAAUUAAAAGCAUUAAUGUAAAAAAUUGUAUUAUUGGUAUUAUAAAUAAUAUUAUAAUUAACAGUAUUAAAAUUAAAAAAUAGUAUUAUUCAUGUUAUAAAUAUUAUUAUUUUUACUAUAAUGAAUAGUAUUACUAUUAAAAAUAGUAUUAUUUUGUUAUAAAUACUGUAGAGCCCUGGGAGGCAUUCCUCUGCUAUGUUUUUUUGUCAAGAAUUUCGGUUGGGGGCGUUGCCUCCUCAACUAUGAUUUUUGUAAGAAUUACAGCUAGAGGCAUUGCCUCUUCUGUUAAAAGCUAUGGGGCUGGCUUGGCAGCUAGAGUCAACGCUCUUGGGUCUGGCCAAAAACACUUCGAAAAUAAGCCAUUAGUGUUGGGUUCUGUUGCCCAGCAUGGCCCAAUAAUGUUUGGUUUGGCUAAGUUAGACCCAAAACACUUUAAAACGGGGCUAGAUCUGGCUGGGCAAUAGGAUUCAAUGUCCUUAGGUCUGGUUGUGCAGCCAUAUCUAAGAAUAUUAUUAUUUGUAUUAUAAAUAUUUUAAAUUUUAUUAUAAUUAAUAUUAAAAUAUUAUUAUUUGUAUUAUAAAUAUUGUUUUUUAUUAUAAUUAAAAGUAUUAAUUUUUAAAAAUAGUAUUAUUUGGGUUAUAAAUAUUAUUUUUAUUUUUAUAAUAAUUAACAGUAUUAAUAUCAAAAAUAUUGUUACUUGUGUUAUAAAUAAUAUUAUUUUUAUUAUAAUUAAUAGUAUUAAUAUUAAAAAUAGUAUUAUCUAUGUUAUAAAUAUCAUAAGAACUUAAGUCAAAUGAGUUUAAUAUUAUUUUUAAUAUUAUAAAUAAUUAACAGUAUUAAUAUCAAAAAUAUUAUGGUCCCAGCUGGGACAUGGUAUAUCCUCCAAUGGUACAGUCGGAGGAUGGCAUGUGCGGUGGUAUAAGCGGUGUCACCGGACAUAAACGCAGAUUCUCCGAUAUGAUGCUCUGAAGGUAAUUUAGUUUUGCAAAAUCUGACUCUUCUAUCAAGCGGUCUCCAACUUGAGCGUCCAGUUCUGUUUUAGCUUUCCUUAGCACGUCUGGAUGGUUGAGUAGAUUGGCUAAUGCCCAUUCCAUAGAUGUAGCAGCAGUCUCUGUUCCCCCAAGCAACAACACCUACACAAAAUAUUUAGUGAAUUAAACUCAAGCCAGCUCCGACCCGAAAGCUAAGAUGAGAAGGGUUUACCUGCACAAAAUACUCAUAUUUCUUUGAAGUAUUUAGUGAGACUUGCAAGUAUGCUAGUAGUUGUUGCACCAAAUUCAUCAUAUAGAAAACGUAGAUUCAUCUACAUUAUACAAAGGCUUAAAUCAAGAGAAAGAUGCCCACCUGCGAUGAACAAGUUUGUUAUCUGAAAAUGGCUUGGAAUCUCCAUGGCAAUAUUUUUUUUGUCUUUUUUUCCCAUUAUUUGGCAUGCCAAUAUUUUUUUUCUCCUUUUUUCUCCAUUAUCUCCAUGCCAAUAUUUUUUUUCUCCCAUUAUUUGGCGCAUGCCAAUAAUGUUUUUCUCUUUUUCUCCCAUUUUUUGUCCUUAUCUUUCUCUUUCCUUAAUUUGGCUAAUUUAAAAACUGAAAUGAAAAAACACAAGGAAAACUAUCUAUCACGUGUUUGCACACGUGUCUUCAUCUAAUGGCGAUGCAUGUCAUGUCAUGCUACCAUCGAUGAUGAUCUUUAUUUUGUUGAUUUUAUCUUGUCAAAAAAAAUUUAUUAGUUUAAUACGUUGGAUUAGGUCGGGUUGAGAAAAAUACAUGAUGAAUUGUUUAAUACGUUGACACAAAAUUUGAUGAAGCGGUGGAGAGAAAAACAGGUGGCUUUAGGCAUAAUUUGUGGUUUUGUUUCCCUUUUUAGUGAAUGAAACUCUAAGAAAUUGAAAGGGGAGAUGAUACCAAAAGAUCAAACCGUAAGAAAAAUUGAGUGAAUCAAAACAAAAACAUCAUUUUUCCUUAACAAGUUAUGAUUGAAUCAACAUAAAAAGCGUUAGGUUUGACUAACCAGAACAUGGCCUUUGAUUAUGUCAUCAGUGUAGUAUUCAGGCUGUUCUUCUUGCAAAGCGAGAAACCGGUUUAUCAUAGUGUUUCUGUCCCUGUCAUCUCGAUGCUCAUCAACCAGUCCCUGUAAGAACACAUCCAUCUUCUUACUUAGUCUAUCCAACUUCUUCAAGUGGCCCCUAAUAUCAACCCACUGCAACAUUGGAAUCAGAUGCCCCACAUUUAUCAUGGAAAUAUAUGCAAAAAACACUUCCAAGAUCUCCCUCAAAAUCCUGGCCUCUUCAAUUUCCUUAACAUCUACGCAGAGGGAUGCAAAUACAGGGAAUAAGAUGGUUUAUGAACUCCAUCCUGUGAUGACACUCACAUCCAGUAAUCCUACUUGCAUGCAGGGAUUAUGAUGGGAAAGUUACUCCUGAGGAGGUGGCAGCUGCUGCGAUGUACUUGAAGGAUACAUCAGGCAAGGAAGGCAUCCAAGAACUCAUCAGCUGCUGCGAUGUACUUGAAGGAUGUAUCAUUUUGAAUGUGUCUGCAUGUUUCAACAUUCAUCACUUCUUAUUAGAGGAUUAAUGCAUUUGUUCUCUUGAGCUCAGCUCCUACAUGCAAACUGGUUUUGGUUCUAAGAAGCCACAUCUUAUUUUGCUGAAUUAUAGAAGACAUCUUAUCAUCUUUCCUCUUUUUACCAUGCCACAUGAAAAAAUAUUUCUUCGCCGCUAAAGCAAACAAGUCAUACCUCUUAUUUACCAAGAACCUAGUCAACAGAUAAUUUUCUCAAUCCAAUUGGGUGUUUUGAGUUGCUUAUGAAAAUCUAUCAAGGGUCAGAAAAUUAACAUGAUGCUUUUCUUCUACCUUGUAGUUUUUCUCUGCUUCUUGUCAUUUUGUUGAGCAUUUGCUAAAUUUAGUAUUUUCUUCUUUUUUACCUUGUAUAACUGAUGCCUAGAUCAUUUUGAAUCGAACAGAUGGAAAGAUUCUUGUAGAAGACAAUGUCAAAUUAGGCAGUUGGACGGAAGAUGCCAAAGCAACUGAAGAGAGGGAGAUGUAAAACAAUUUUCCUUCAAAUUCUUUCCUGCUGUUGUCUGGAUAGUACCCUACCUAACGAAUAGUUUAUUUAACGAUAAAAUGGCAUGCCAUCUAAUGUGAUUAGGACCCAUAUCUGUUAGGGUCAUAUAUAUACAAGUAACCUUGGUUUUCCCAGCUCAUUGAUAAAGCUGGACAUGCUUGCUAGUGCUGUAAAAGUGAAUUCUGAUGAAUAUAUAAAUGAUAUAGGUACACAGUACAGAACAAGAAAUCGAUAUAUCUCGUGCCUUUGGAAAUAAAAUGCUCUGUCAAGUUUAUUCUUCAGAUUGAGAAAUCAUGCUUUUGCAUAUGGUGUUGAUCUAGUUGAAUUAGGUGGAUGUGUAAUCAAGUUUAUGAUUGAGGCAAACCACAUCAGCUAAAUAAGAUGCAUUUUCAAGUUUUAAGGCCAUGCAUAUGUAGGCUUUCACACCUUUGAAUCUUUGGUUUCAUGGAACUUCAUUGCAAGUUCUGCUGCAAAUUCCGUAAUAUUCUUAUCAGAGCUUCCGCCUUCAUCCACUGCUGUUUUGGCCAGUUUCAUCCAUUUCUCAGAGUUCCUUCUCAUCUCAUUCCCUCUUAAUUUCACCUUCCAUGACUUCCCUUAUACACCCUUCUACCUCUUCUUUAGUGACAAUCCCCUUUUCAUUUUCAUUCACUCUAUAUAACCCCUAGAUGCCAAACAUCGGCAAUGCACUUUGCAUUUGUUGGUUGAUCAGUCCACUCUGGCAUUGCCACCAUUGGCACUCCUAAGCUCAACGCCUCGAGUGUUGAGUUCCACCCACAAUGAGUCAUGAAGCAACCAACGACGGACUUGUGAGCCAGAACCUCUAGCUGCGGGCUCCAGGUCACAAGCAGAGAUUUCUUUGAUGACUCCUCCACAAAGUUGCUUGGAAGUUUUUUCCUUUCCGAUUCUCUGACUACCUACAGGAAGCAGCAGGAACUCCUCUUUAGGCCCCAAGCAAUUUCUGCCAUUUGCUCCUCUCCAAGUGCAGCCAUGCUUCCAAAUGACACAUAAACCACUAAGCCAGUUUCCUUUGAAUAUAGCCACUCAUUGCACCCGUCCGGAUUGGGAUUGAAGAGGCUGAGACCGUACUCUUUAUCGUCCUCCAGCUGCUUGUCCAAGUAAAAUGAUGGGAUCAUUGGUCCUAUUGGCUUUAUUGACCUUUGGCUUGCCAACCAGUUUACCGCCUGAUGGAAAUCAACAAAAUUUUGAGUGCCACUGAAGUAAAAGGAGCAUACUUUGAAAUAUGGUAUCGUCUUGUGAGCAAAGAAAAGAGAUUGUAAGUAGGAAUUUGAAGCAUUGCUGCUCUCGUUUAUGUUGCUUUGCUUGUCAAUCAUUUGUUGACUGCUUGCUUGUUUGAUCGCACUUAUUUUCAAGUAUUAUUUGUCAUAAUACUGGAAAACUUUGUGGACUUUUGUUGAAACUCAAGGUAACUGCUGAGCCACUUUAUGUGAGGUUUGCUCAAUAAGUAAGCAUAGAGGCCCAUUCCUCCUCGUGUCUGGUCUUCUUUGUCCAGCUCUCAAUUAUGUACUCAUAUUUGACUAGAAAUAGAAUCACUACAAGGCUGCUGGCAUGGUAUCUUCAUAUUUACACGAAAACAUUGUUUUUCAUGGGCUUUUCUACCCAGUUCUCAGUAAACUUUGUGGACUUUUGUUGAAACUCAAGGAAAUAGCUAUUUUCAAGGUUUACAUGGAAAUAGCUUGACUCAUAGCUUGAUCUGGGCUAGUUUUCAAGUUGAAUUGAAACGAACUUUAGCAUAAAUGGCUCGGUUGAAUUCACACGCGAUAAUCUAAUGAUCCAAACUAGAUUUGACAAUUAUACUUCUCGUGCUAUUAUAUCUAGUUCGAUCUCCAGGGGGGGAAAAUGCUAACUUUAAAAGAUUAUAGUAUGAUGGUUAUUAAGAAUGUUUACUAUAUUUUUGGAUUUAAACUUUAGCAACAACGUCCAAAAAAACAAUUAGAUCUGUUAAUAUAUGUAUUAAGGCUGGCAUGGGAGUGCGAUGUAAAUACUACAAAAACACCUUGGAUCAAAGGGGAAUUCUUUAAUAGCAGCUUGUUAUCACAUGCUUAGCAAGAUUGCGAGCUACGAAAAACAAGUAGUAGAUUUUUCUCAGCCUUAAUUCACACCAUUGAGAUCAAGUAGAAGCAUGAAUUUCUCCUCGUUUUUUUUCUUAAAGCAGAUAAUCAUAUUUGAUUUAUUGAUAAGAAAAGAAGAUAUAUUUUUCUAUUAUUGUUAUAUAUUUUAUAUUUUAUUUUGAAAUUAAAUAUACAAGAUGGAAACUUGUGACAAAAUCUUAAGAUAAUUCUUAGAUGUAACAACGUCAUGUACUUAUCUUUGUUUUAUAUUUUUAUUUUUAUAAAUAUUUUUUAUGUUUUAAAAUCUAUUUUUAUAUUCCAAGAUAUAUAUAUUUAAUCACAUUUCUAAUAAUAUUGAUUUUUUUUUUUGAAAUAAUAAUGACAACCCUUGCAUACUUGAGUUCGUGACACUUUGAUAUUAUGGUAAAAGUCUUUUCGGUGCGUUUUAAUUUUUAUCAAGAAGGAUAGAUUGGAAGUAUCCAUUAAUUUUGUGUAUUGUAAUAGAAUCGUCUGUUAAGCUUGGCUUAACAAAAUUAAUGAAGCAGAAGGAAAACAGAGAAAUGAGAGAAGAAAUAUGACUCUUACAUAUUAAUGCCAGAAAUAAAAAUAUACUUUAUUUGAACAAAAGGAAAUGCCAGAAGAUGUCCGUUGUAGAACAACACCCAAAAUAAGUUCUGAAACUUGGAAAAAAAGUGAGCAUCAAACUAGAUUCUAAAAUCAACGCUUAAUCACAUCUUUGACUUGUCAUUAGUUUAAAACAAAUACAAAUAAUUUCUUAACAUCACUUGUAAUAAUAAGUUUGGAAUUUUUAAUAAUUUAUUACUUGAAUUGGUUCAAAUAAUUCUGAGUGAACUGGGUUUUUCAAAAUAGUGUUCAUCCAUAGUAAUUUUCGUCAUGUGAGGCCAUUCUGAAGGAGAAUGGCAUUGGAUCUAAUGUAGCAUACACGGCGGGCGGAAACGCUUCGACAAUGGGGUGGUUGAGUAUUUACGGAGGUGGUUGGGUAUUUACGGAGGUGGUUGGGGGGUUCUUUGAAUUUGUUUUUAUUAGCUGGUAAAUACCCUCUCUGACCCGUGGCCCAUCGCCGGUGGACUUGCUUGGCAAAUAAUGAUGAUAUUAAUAAAAACUACAUCUUGAGAAAACACGGCUCCACGUGCUCACCAACUUCUGUCAUAGUCAUUAAAUUCAAUUACAAAUCGAUAAAGGACGACAGCUAAAUUAAUCUAAUUUUUUCUUUAAAAAAAUUUAAUGACUUUUUUAACCUGAUUUUCAUCCGGUCGCAUGUUAAUUCAGGUUUUUUUUAUUGAUUCUUAUUAAGUCAACUUUCUAUGUGGAGUUGGAAAAUGCCCUACGUUUAUGAGAUGAGAUGAGAUGAUAUUCUAUAUGUUUCCAUAUUUCUUUCAAUUAAGUAUCUUUAUUUAUUUUCAUUCAAGUCUAUAUUUCUCAAUUCUAGUAUAUUAAUUUCUAUUUUAUUUGUAAUUUUUUAAAAAAUGUAAGUUGAUAUUUUUCCAACUGAUAAUGCCAGAAAAAUGAUUUUGUUAUUUCUUGCGUGACUCUUACAUAAUCCUCCUACGUACCAUUAUAUACUUACACGAUUUAUUAUAUUGUAAACUAACUCUAACCGACCCCUACCCUAAUUAAUCUGCACUAACAAUGCUCCAACUUGUUGUGUAAACUACUUUGCUUUUUCUUCAUAGACAUGCAUUAACUUGUUGUGUUCAUUUGAUAUUGUGAAAUAAAAAAGUUUCUUCCUUGACUUUUUUAAUGGAUUGAAGUGAUUUGCCGACAAUUUCAUCAUCCACUUGCACUUCUUUUUCUUCGUAGACUUGUGAAGUCAAGAUUCCCAAAGAUCAAUAUCAUCAAUUAAUUGUUGCUAAUUUGGUUGAAGAAAGAAAUAUUUGUUAAGCUGAUUUACUUCCAUAUUAAUUAUUGUUGGAUUCUUAAUCUGAAUUUUAGAGUGGUUCUAACUUCUUAAUCUGAAUUGAUGGAAACAAUUUACUUUCUUAAUUAUUGUUAAUAUGUUGGAUAUGUAAUUACCAGUGUACUUAUAUACUUUUUUUCUCAACCAAACCCUUCAACUCCAUAAUAUUUGAAAAAAAUAAAAAUAAAACCCAUUAAUUCUCUAUGAAUUAUAAAGAAGUAUAAUUUCUAGAAGCAAACAAUCAUAAUUUAUCUUUGACAUUUCAAACAAUUUGUUGUCUAUCAUCUUUUCAUGGGCCCUACAAUUAUUUUCAUUAGUAUAUUAUUUGUUUGUUGUUGUUUUUCUUCAAGCUUGUGGAACGAGGUGUCCACGAACUUGUUGUUUAAGCUAUUUUGCUUCUUUUUUUUUUCAUAGACUUGGAAAGUCAUUCCGACAAGUCUCUUAAUCUCAUCAUCCACUAGCACUUGUUUUUCUUCUUCGUAGACCUGUGAGCUCAAGAUUCCCAAUCAUCCACUUCAUCAAUCUCUAUCCCGUCAAAAUGAAUUUGGGGCAAGAAAACAAUAUCAUUCAAUAAAUUAGAAAGUGUAAAUUGUAAAACCCAACCCAUAAGAUAAGAUAUAUCUUCAUAGUAGUUUUUGUUUUUUUUUUUUUUUUUUCUUAUCAUAUUUACUAUCGCAAUAAUACAUCAUUGCAACAUUUAUUUUUAGAUUUAUUUAAAUCCUAGAUAAUAAUAUAUGAAAGAGAAAACCAUUUACUACUUAUGAUCGUCAUCAACUCAAGAAUUAUAAUCUCUUAUCAUUUGUUUUUUAUUAGGCCCUAAUAACAUUAAGAUAUAUUCCAGUUUUGAUCAUUUUUUAGGGAAUAGGUUAAAAAAAAUACCCUAAAAUUUGGAUCAAUAUGAAAUUAGAAAUUUAGAUAAAACAUGGAUGUGUUUGAAUGAUGAAAUUUAGGGCAGAAAUGGCGUGUACAGACAGAGUAUGCCAAGAACCAGUAAGUUACUAUUUUUUUAUUUUUCACCAGUAAGUUAUCCUAGUGCUUGCUAGGACUAGCACAACAAACAGAUUAAAAGAAUGAAGUUUCACCAAUCUGUCAUCAGAGUCUGUAAAUAUUGUUACAAAUGAUUUAAGUUUGUUUGCCAAAUUUUUCAAGAACAUGUUUGUCUUUGAUGGCUUAUUGUCAUAGCUGUGAACUCUGAAGAAAAGUGAUCUUAGAAACCAAAGUCCUGCAAUGUCAUCAGAGUCUGUGAACAUGUUGUUCUCUUUUUUAGCUAAUCUUUCUGGGUAGGUUCUCUGGUUUGAGGCUGGUGCUGAAGAAAGGGGAAGCCGACGCUGCUACUUUUUAGUUUUCUCUGCUUCUUGGAUAUUCCUGGGCUGGGUUCCUUUAAUUUUGUAAUUGCUGCAAAGUCGUAAAAGCUGCCUUCACUUUCAUUGGUGGGACCCUUCUGUGCAUUUUUAUAAAAUUCAAAGUUGGCUUCCCCUUUUCUUUGGUGGGAACUCCUCUUGUAAUUUCCUAAUGCUUCAGUGGGAACCAUGUCAUAAUUAAUUCGUAGACUUGACCCAUGAUCGGUCACUUUCGUAUUGAAUGAGGAUGGACCCUGUUUAUAUAAAUAUCCAGUUUAAUAAAUUCAUAUAGUUAAUUACUGUUUUUUAUAAAUAAAAUUACUGAGAUUAAAAAGUUGUUAGUGUUAUUUAAUGAUUUUUUAAAAAAUUUAAAUUAAAUAUUAUAUACGGAAUGAUUACCACAUUAAAAAAUUAAAAAGUGAUCGUUGAUAUUUUGUAAUUGCUUUCACUUUCGUUGGUACGAACUCCUCAUGUAAUUUCCUAAUGCUUUAGUAGUAAACAUGCAAUUAUUAAUUCGUCGACUUGACCCAUGAUCGACGCCACGGGCUUAUGAUAUGCUUUUGUAUUAUUGUGGAUUUGUGAAAAAAAUUAUAUAAAAAAAACUGUUAUCAUCAACACUAUUUUAAAGAAAAAAUCUACGAAGUUAUAUUCUUAACCAAUUUAAUAUUAAAAAAACAAAAUCGACAAAAAUAAUUAUGAAAACAAAAAACACAAAAAAAGAUGAAAAAAAAAAGAUGAUAAUUUUGAAAGAAAAAAAAGCAAAAAAUAAAAAUAAAAAAAUGAAAAAAAAAAACAUGUGGGGAAAGUUAAAGUUAAAUUUUCAACUAGCUCAAUGUUAAAAUCAUUUAAGAAAACACUGUAGCAAUCUAUAGUGUUUUGCGAGGAAAUAUACAAUUAUAAUUCUCAAUCAGCUUAAUAUUAAAAAAAAUCAACAAAUAUAAUUUUGACAAAUAUAAAAAAAAAAAAAAAAAAAAUAUGUCGGGAAACACUAUAAUAAUCUAUAGUGUUUCAUGAAAAAUUAAACUAAUUCCAUGAAGUGAUUUAAGUUUCACCAAUCUGUGCUCCCUUCGUGUUCUAAGCUCUCUCCCCGUUUUUUCCCCCUGUUUAAGCUUUCUUGUACUGCUCGCUCUGCCUCUCUGUUUUCUCCUUCCCUCGGUUCUGCUUUUUUUCUCCUCUCUGUUCUGUUUCUUUCUCUGGCUUUAUAGCCAGUGAAUGCCCCCCUUACCCAGGUAAUAAAGUGACUGUUAUUGCAGGAUUAAUGGCGAUGCAUCGUUGGGCAUCCGUUUUUUUCGGUCAGGCAAAGAAGAUGAACAGUGUUGAUGGCCAUUUGCGUUUUGGUCCUUGACGUUUUGAAAGUUCUGCAACCAAGCUCCCUGGAUAAACUUUAAUUGGACCCCUGUCUUUUAUCACCAUUUACAGAAUUGUCCUUAGACUUCAAUUUCCUGCAGUUUUAACCUAAAUCAGCCCCAAGCUUUAGUAUUUCUUCAAUUAAACCCCUGAUUUCAUAAAUUAAACUAAUUCCAAGUUCAAUUAAUUCCAAAACUUGUCAAUUCUUCAAUUAAGCUUUUAAUUUGGUUAAUAAAACUAAUUCAAAGUUUAAUUAAAUCCCCAAACUUCUAACCAUGUUGUCCUUACCCAAAAUUUAAUUAAUUCUUUAUUUAUUUCAUCAUUUUUUUAUUGUUUUUUUCUUUUUUCAUCAUCAUUUUUUUAUUAUCAUUUUUAGGAAAUAAAAUAAUAAUAAUAAUAAUUUUUAUUACAACAAUAAUAAAAAUUAUUGAUAAAAGAUUCGCUGGCGGAGAAUUUCUGUCGGUGAUUUUGUUGGUAAAUUAAUUACCAACGGAAUGAUAGUGUAAACACCGAUGGAAAAAUCCGUCAGUAAAAUGUAAAGAUUGUGGUAGUGACAAGAUUCCUCAAAAGAAGUAAUGGAUGCUUGUUUGUUUAGUUAGUAAGUUAUUUUUAGACUUAAGAUAAUUAAAAUAUUUUAUAAAUAGAGUGUUGUGUUUUUAUCCUACUACAUGUUGUCCUAAUUAAGGGUAACAAAUGGGUAAAUAUUGGGUAUAACAUCAAUUAUAUGAAGAUAUUUUAGUAAUCAAAAGAAGACUCAUCACUAUAGGUGAAUUAGAGAAAAUAUUUCAUAUAUUCACAAAUAAUAUUAAUUGUGAAAGGUAGAAUGAGAUUUGAAAAGAGUUUUAAAUCUUAUUUUAUAACAUAGUAUAAAAAUGGGACAACAUUACAAUUACUAUAGUGAAACAUCAUUUCCUUUUAUUAUUUGUAUAAUAUUUUUUUAAAAAACAAGUGUAAGGGAAAAAAUAUAAAAAAAAUUACAAAAUAAUGAAGAUAAAAACACAAAGAAAUGUUUAUAAAUUAAAUAGGCCAAAUUUAAAGUGUUAAAUAUGCCAAGUAUAAAGAGGGAAAAAUCUAACAAAAAUAUGUCUAAAAAACCCAAAAAAAUAUAUAUUUGUCAUCACUACAAUACCCUAUUUUUGGAUUAAAAUAAAAAUUGUCAUAAAUUGAAAAAAAGGUUAAAAUAACUCAAAAAUACUCAUAAAUUGAUUAUUAUUUUGUUCUCUUUAUUUUUUUUUAUGCGACUUUCUUUCUUCUCUCAAAUACAAUAACUCAAAAAUAAAUAAAAUAAAUUUUUGGAUUAAAAUAAAAAUUGUCAUAAAUUUUGUGUGAGGCAAGUAAUUAUUUUUCUAGUUUUACUUUUCAGUCCUCUUUCUUUAAGUUUUGUUUUUUAUGAUAAUUUAAACCUAAUUCAAUUUAAUUGGUGUGAAAUUAAAAGGAAAAAAAGGUUAAAAUAAAACAACAAUCAAAAUUAAACUGACCCAUGUCUUUGAUAAUAUUAAAGUACUAUGCUCUUCAGUGUUUAAUUUAUAAUUUUAUAUAGGUCAAAGUCUGUUCAUAUAUUAAUUGACUGAACGGUCCAAGACGACCACUACCUUAAUUUUGUAAUUGCUGUAAAAUCGUAAUGCUCUUCUGUGCAUUUUUAUAAAAUUCAAAGUUGGCGUCCCCUUUUCUUUGGUGGGAACUCCUCUUGUAAUUUCCUAAUGCUUCAGUAGGAACCAUGCCAUAAUUAAUUCGUAGACUUGACCCAUGAUCGGUCACUUUCGUAUUGAAUGAGGAUGGACCCUGUUUAUAUAAAUAUCCAGUUUAAUUAAUUCGUAUGGUUAAUUACUGUUUUUUAUAAAUAAAAUUACUAAGAUUAACAUGUUAUUUGAUGAUUUUAAAAAAAAAUUAAAAAAAAUUAAAAAUUUAAAUUAAAUAUUAUAAACGGAAUGGUUACCAAAUUAAAAAAUUAAAAAAUCAUUGUUGAUAAUUUGUAAUUGCUUUCACUUUCGUUGGUGCGAACUCCUCAUGUAAUUUCCUAAUGCUUCAGUAGUAACCAUGCAAUUAUUAAUUUGUUGACUUGACCCAUGAUCGAUCCCCUUUUAUAUUGAAUGAGGAUGGACCCUGUUUAUAAAAGAGUAUUGUUCUCAUGACCACAUAAUAUAUAUAUAUAUAUAUAUAUAUAUAUGCAGGCAGAGUAACAAAACAAAACCAUUAUUUUAUUUCCCUGCAAGUUUUCUCUCGAUGUUGAGUGGAAUAUCAAAGCACCUUUCCGGUGCAUACCCAGCCCUUCUUCUUCUAGUCAUCCUAGCCGGUCACCAGAGUUGCAGUGCUAGAAAGAACAGUGUUUACUGCGCUCCAUCUUCUUGUGGCAACAUCCAUAAUAUUAGCUACCCUUUUCGACUAAGCACCGAUCCCAAUAGCUGCGGCGACAAAAAAUAUGAACUUACUUGUGAAAACAACCGCCCAGCUUUAUACUUGAAGAAGAAGACGGUAAAAUAUUACGUUCAGGCAAUCCAUUACAGCAACUUGACGAUUCGAGUUGUGGAUGCUGAUGUUCAGAAGGAUGAUUGCUUCCCUAUCCCUGGUCAUUCUUUAAGCAUAGAUGACAACAGGGAUUAUCUUCCAUAUGAUCUUGGCAUGUUCGGUAAAGAUAUUUCGUACUUUGUAAGUUUUAUUUUUAUAAGUUGCCCAAAGCCAAUACCGAGUCCUUCAGACUUUAUUGUGGAUGCUUCUUCAUGCAAAAAUGGUAGUACUCUUUUUAAUUCCCACAAUAUGGAGGGUUAUUCCAGCUAUGUCUUUAUUGGUGAUUCCAGCUAUGAUUCCUUUGGGGACAUACCGAACUCGUGCCAUGUAAAUUUGACGUAUCAAGCGCCUUUCACUUUUCAGCCGAAAAAAGGGACCAAUAUUUCCUAUAUAGAAGUCCGCGAUUGUAUUCUAUAUGGGUUUGAUCUUUCAUGGUCUCGGUACUGUUGUCAUUUUCGGAAAGAGAACCCCUGCAACCUUGAUGAAGCCUACAUAAGCAGUUAUUGCUGUACGUUACUCUCUCUCUCUCUCUCUCACACACACAAACGCACGCACAUAAAUAUCUCAACGACACAGGUCGCUGAUAAAAAGAGGAAAAUAAUGCGUUACCGUUUGUCUUAAGCUCUUCUUAGCUCUUUCAUUCAUAUCAGUUGCAUAAUUAUUCUCUUAAAAGGAUUUUAAUUAAUUUCAUUAAUUUAACUCUUUCUUUUUUAUAUAGAUAUGUAUGUACCGAUUAAGCGGUUCUCCAAUCCAAAAUGCAAUAAGUAAGUACCUCUCUUUCACAUCACAGUUAUAUUUUUUAUAUCAAUAUGCGAAUAUAAACAUGAUUGUCAUAUUUAUUUUAUUUUAUAAUGUGUUUGUUUUAUUUGAAAUAAUAAUAAUAAUAAUUAAUUGUUAUUAUUAUUACCGAUAUACGGAACAUUAACAUAUAUUAUCCAAUGGGCAAUGAACAGAGUACUUGGCUUGAUUUUUAAACACCCCCUCCACAGUUAUAUAUAAAAUUAUCUCUCUAGCUCUCUCUCAAAUUUUAAAAUCAUAUACCUCUUUCUUACAGCCUUAUUAAUUUUUUAAAAAACAAAUAUUUUCUCUAUCAUAAUUUUAAUUUUACACCCCAUAUAUUAUAUAAAACUGACUUUCACCUUGUAAUGAUAAUUUAAAAUAUUAUAUACAAUUCCUCAACCUUUUUAAAUCAAAAUGCAUAAUUAUUUUAUAUUCCCCAAUAAAAAGUAAUAUCGGUGUUACUUAGUCUCUUUAUUAUUUGUUUGUUUUCCUUGCAGGUUUUCUGACUAAUCAUAUACUGCGUUACCUUGGUAAGAACUUUUCUAUUUAUCUAAAUUCUUGAACAUAAAACCUAAAUAAGGUUCAAGAAUUGGAGAGAGAGAUCUUUAGAAACUUUGCUAUUACGUAAACUCUCUAACUUUACUACCUAAAAUCUUGAAAAAUUGCAUGAAAGAUGGUGAAAGGUCGAGUAUGAAGUAAGGAUAUCCACUAUAGAUGCCUAUUUCUAGCUAAGUUUAAAGUAAAUUUAAGAAGUUUUGCCGUUAAAAAUAUAUGAAUUUGUUGAAAUGAUUAGCUCUCAGAAUGAUAAUCCACUCUGUUAAUAAUGAAUUCAAUUCGAUAAUUUUUUAGUACAUUUCUUCUUAAUUUUGCUUUAAACUCUCCAAGUCUAUUUCUAGCUAUCAGGUUAUUUGAAUACCAAAACACACUUGCAUGCUCUUUCCUUCAAUUAAAUUUAUGAAUUAUAAGAUUCUUAAUAUUGACGCAAUGUUUUCUUUUCCUUGAAAUGUAGUCGUAUGGCCGCUCAACAGAUAUUUACCAAGUGAGGAGUCUUUAUUUAUUAUGGUUCAAUUUUGCAAAAAGAAUAUACGAAUUAGAUUUGAUACAUUUAUCUCAAAGGCAUUUUCUUUAUUUUUUUGUAUACCAAAAUCUUAGACACUGACAAAUGACAAUACCUUUUCUUCUUCUUUAUUUUUUUGAUGAAUAUAGCUAACGACUGGAUAUAUUAUCACAGCUCGGGUGAGUUAAUUUAUUUUAUCUUAUUAUAACACUUUCUAAGAAGAGUAGUACUAAUAAAUUUAUUUGUGAAUUGUGAUAUAUGAAAACGAAACAUAUAUAUAUAUAUAUAUAUAUAUCCUAAAGGAUUUAAAUAAUGCCCUUUUCGUUCAUGCUAGCCUUUUCAUUUACAUAUUUAUAUAUAUAUUUCACAUAUUUACUUUGCUCUUUUUCAGUUAUUAUAGGGCAACCGCGAUUGGAAUUGAACUUUUAUAAAAAUGGUGAGGAUUAAUUAGCUCAUGCAUGUCUUAUUUAGGCUAAAUUACAAUCUUUCUCUUACAAAAAUGGAUGAGAAAGUUUUCUUUUAUUCGGUUCAAAGAGUUAAUCUAAAUAUUUGGUGUUAGUUUAGAUAAUUAUACUUAAUUAUAUAUUAUUUUAAUUAGAAGUAUCAUAAAAUUAUUACAAAAACCAUACAAAAGUUUAAAAUUAUUACAAUUCAAAAUUCCUUAAUAAUUUUUCUUGAAGGGAUGGUUUUAAAAACUUUUAAUGCAUAUAUAUUGGGUAUAAAUAGAAUUUUUUUUUUAAUAUUUUAUUUUCCUUAUAAGAGGUUAUUAUAAUUUAAUUAAGAAUCUUACAAUUGCUAAAAUAUGAUGUAUAAACUAUGUACAUUUUCAUAUGAUUAUACAUGCAUUGUUUAGAGCAUGAGAGUAUCGAGAUAGAAGUUUUUUUGAAUUUAACAGAGAUUAUUAGUAAGUUUAUCCAUAUAAUCUUAUUUUAGUCCUUAUCUAUUCUUGGUUAUAAUUAUUACAAUUUUAGUUUCUGUCUUCAAAUUAGGAUUUUGUUGAAACUUUCUUGGAUUUUGUGUGUCCAAGGCAACUAUUCAAAGUGACUGUCAAAAGCAUUGCCUUUAUGUAAUAUUGCUUGUGUUUCUUAGUUUCUAUUUGUUUUCAUUCCCUUCAUGUAUUUAUUUGGCAGGACCUAAUUCUUAUCCUUAUACAACGAAGACCAUCACUUCGGAUGCACUAAGCAUUUUCAUAGUUUUGCUCUUUACCCUACCUGUGCUCAUCGGUAAGUGUUUUCUUUUGCUAUCUUGGAAUAACUGUGAACCAUUAAAUGUAUGUAUAUAUUAAGAUACAAAAUCUUUAAAAGAUAAUAUCAAUUUUAGAGAUACAUAUUUAAUGGUUUCAUCCAUGCAUUACCUUUUGCUCAUUUUCAUCAUUUAAAUUGUUAAAAAUAAGUCUUUCAAAUUUAAAUUCCUCAAUUCAAUUCUAAUUACUUAUUUUCUUGCAACCAAUGUCAAUUUUUCAAUUAAAUAUGGAGAAGUGUCAAAAAUUUAGAAAUGCAAAGUUACCAAAAAUAAAAGAAAGAUAAUACAAAUUAUAAAAAAUAACAAAUGGGAAACAUUAGGGAAAAAAAUCAAACUUAAAAUCUCUAAAACUCUUAGAGACAAAUUAAAUACUAGAUUAAAAUGGAAAAAAUAAAUUGUAACCCUUCAUUGAAAUUUUAAAAUGGACAAUGAAUGUAUAUUAAGAUUCGAAACCAUUAAGUGCGAUAUUAUCUCUAAGUAUUGGUACUUCAAUGGUUUCAUCCAUUAUCUUUUGCAUAUCUAAACAAUUAUCAAUUAAAAAUAGAAAAAAUAAAUUGCAAAGCAUCUAGUAAAAAAAGAAGAAAUGGAGUAUUUAAUUAUUUUUUUAAAUAUUAAAAAAUAAAAAAUGUAAAUAGAAAAGAAUGACUUAACAUAUUUUAUUUUUCUUAUUUUCUCUGUUAUGAAAAAAUAAUAUUUACAAUACUCCAUGGUUUUUUUUUCUAAUGGUUUGUCAAUUUCAUUUUUCAAUAUAAUUUUUUUAUUCAAAUUUAUCUCAAUUUUCAAAUUUUGAAAUGUUUUUCUAAUAUUUCUCAAUUCUUGAUUUUAUAAAAAAUUUUAAUUAUUCUUUUUUUUAAAACAAUUAUAGGUGUAAAAUUCUAUAUUAUUGGCAUGCGUUGACAUUUAAUGGAAGCAUUGAUCAAAUCACAAUAGAGAGAUCACAUUAAAAAAUAUCUAGAGUAAAGGGACUGAACAAAUAAAAAAAAAAAUUAAAAAUAUCAAGAAUGGAGCUGUGAAAUAUACAAUUAUUUCAUUGUUUAUUAGAGCUCUGAGUUUAAAAUUAAUUAGAGGAUUAGGAUGGAAUUAAAAAAAUGAAUUAAAGUUUGAGGACUCAUUUUAGUUACUGUUCUAAGAAAUAAAGAGAGAUAUUUUAUAAGUUAAUGAAUAAAAUUACAAAAUUUAAAAACAACAUAUAUUUGCAAGAAAAACUUGAUAUAACUUGAUAUAUAUAUAUAUAUAUAUAUAUAUAUAUAUAUAUAUAUAUAUAUUAAUGUUUUUAUGUUUUGAUUUUUCCCUCAAAUCAAUGAAAUCUUAAUUAAAUUUUAUUUGGUGAUAAGAAUUUCAAAUUAAAAAAAAUCGAUGCUUUUGUGGAUACAUGUUUGAAUUAAGAUUUCAUUUAGAAAAAAAAUUUACAUGGCAAUCUAAUAACAAAUAAUAUGUUUCCAUAAUUGAUUAAUGUUCUUAUAAUGUCUAUAUGCAGGGAUAUAUCAUACAUUAUUAUUCAUUUGUGGGCUUCCAUGUCUCAUAACCUUAUUGGUCUACAAAUGGCGAAGAAGGCAUUUAUCAAUGUAUUGUAAGAUUGAAGAAUUCUUGCAAAGUCAGGAUCAUAAUCUCACACUUAUAAGGUACUCUUACUCGGAGAUUAAGAAGAUAACUCACGGAUUCAAUGACAAGUUAGGUGAAGGUGGUUAUGGCUCGGUGUACAAAGGAAAGCUUCGUAGUGGCUGUUUUGCGGCUGUAAAAAUUUUGCGCAAAGAAAAAGGUAAUGGGCAAGAAUUUAUCAAUGAAGUUGCAACCAUUGGAAGAAUUCACCAUUGCAAUGUGGUGCAGCUUAUAGGCUUUACUGUUGAGGGCUCAAAGCGUGCCCUUAUAUAUGAGUUCAUGCCUAAUGGAUCUCUUGAAAAGUAUAUUUUUUCUAGGCAAGGUACCAUACCGCUGAGCAACCAGAAAAUAUAUAAAAUUUCUCUUGGGGUGGCUCGUGGCAUUGAAUAUCUACAUGAAGGUUGUGACAUGCAGAUUUUGCAUUUUGACAUCAAGCCUCACAACAUUCUUCUCGAUGAAAAUUUCACUCCAAAAGUCUCAGAUUUCGGACUUGCAAAAUUAUAUCCAACUAAUAAUAGCAAUGUGUCCCUUACUAUGGCUAGAGGAACGAUGGGAUACAUGGCUCCUGAGUUAUUUUACAAAAGUAUUGGAGGUGUCUCUUACAAAGCUGAUGUCUAUAGUUUUGGGAUGUUGUUGAUGGAAAUGGUUGGUAGAAGAAAAAAUCUGAAUGCAUUGGCAGAUCAUUCAAGUCAGAUGUACUUCCCUUCAUGGAUUUAUGACCAGGUUAAUGAAGGAAAGGAUAUACUUGAAGAUCAAGCGACAGAGCAGGAAAAGAACACAAUAAAAAAGAUGACUAUAGUGGCAUUAUGGUGCAUACAAUUGAAGCCUAUUGAUCGUCCAUCGAUGCAUAGAGUUGUACAGAUGCUUGAAGCAGAUAUUGAAUCUCUACAAAUGCCUCCUAAGCCUUUUCUCGUUCCACAACAGACAUCAAAUGAUGAUAGGAUUAAUAUGGCUAAUCCAACAAGUUUAAGAGAUUCAUCGAAUGUUUGUAGCGUUGAUUCUUCAUAUCAAUUUGGUCGUUGAUAGAAUUAAGUAAUAUGUUAAUUUUGUAUGCCUUAACUAUCUGAAUUUUGAUGAUAGUCAUGUUUGUUGUCGCACGCGUGCAGCGUCGCGGCGAUCGCCCACCACCCCCCAUCAUCGAGUGUGGUAAGUCUAUCUAUUGUGGAAAAUAUGGUGAGACAAGGAAUUCUUUGUCUCUUAGCGGUGAAAAAUGGAGUAGGAGUCGCCACCUAGUAUUUUGGUUACUAAGAACCCUAACUGGUCUCAGAGAUUGGGUACGGAGACUGGUUGCGUAAAGGAAAUGUAUUAGCUCCCCAAAUACACCCUACCUAAGGUAAGCUGCAUUGUUUUAUUAUCUAAACAAUUCUAAGGUCUUAUCAUGUUGGUCCGUCUAGGGUUCAAGAAAAGCCCUUCUCAAUAAGGAGGUUCUUAUCUUUUGGGGUAAAAAUCUAACCGGUCUAAUAUCUAUAAAGGACUACCUUUUUAAUAUCGGGAAUACAUUUUACGUAUAAAUUUGUAAUCCCAGACAUUAAAACAAAACAAAAUAUUUUUUUGAAAUAUUGGUCACGUUCUCAUGACUUUAAUAAACUGGUUAUUAAAGCCAAAAUGCAUGCUAAAAUAAUAUAUUUUUUUGAAGUUUUCUUUGUUGUAUAAAAAAUAAAAUUUGAGUUUUUCUUUUAGCUUUAAGAGACUUGGCUGUAUGCCUAAAGACAAAAGUUUUUUUUUUGAAAACCGGGUAUUUUUAAUACUGGAUUUGUAUUUUUAUAAUAUAAAAAUACAGACCAAUCUUAGUCGAAAUGACGUAGAAAAAUCCUUGGAAAAAUCACAAUUUAAAUAUAUAUAUAAAACACACAAGAACAAAAAAAAGAAAAAAAAUAAUAAAUAAAAUAAAAUGGACUGGGCUAGGCCUGUUGAUUAGUACUUAAAAGUGCAUAUUUAUCAAGGUUUUAUAUCAUCAUUUUGCACUUAAAGUAUCAAUAACUCCUUAACUAAAGCAUGUUUUAUAAUAACAAGUCUAAUACUAUAAAAUGCCUUAAUAUAUGGUAAAUGUUCAUCUUAAAUGCAGGCCAAUCACAUAAAUCAAAGGAUUGAUUGAUGAGUUCAAGUAUGGAAAUUGAAAGGACACAGAGACGGCCAAACUUAGAAAAGAGAUGUUGGUGCAGUCCAAACUGGAACAUUGUUCGGUAAUUGGGUCAUAUUUCGAGUUCUAGAUGUCCAAAUGACAUCAAAUGUUAACACAGAUUCAGUAAGACAUAGUCCUACAACUUUCAUGUUUUCAUCAAGAUCUAAGAAGGCCGUUUUCAAGUCCAUAUUAUAGCAACAACGGAGAAGUUCGAAUCUGUCCUGCAGCCCAAACACCGUUCAGUGUUUAGCCCAUAUCUAGAGUUCUAGAAGUCCAAAUAACCUCCAUUUUUUUUUUCCUGGAAAACUGAUUCAAUUUCCUACAACUUUCAUGUUUUCCAGUGGACCCAGUUCGAAUGGUAGCAUUUUGUUUUUAUUCAGACAAGAAGAUAAGAAUUUUCACCAAGUUAAAAGUUGGCCACCCACUCAACAAUUAGUCAUCAAAUCAAUAAUUCUGAAUUUUGGCCUAUAAAAGGAGGCAUUUGCCAUGUAUUUGGGGGCUUGGUUGUUCAGAUCAUUCAUGCUCUUUAUUUCUCUCUUUAUAGUUUUUGUAAUUUUUAAGUUUUGCUUUCAUUAAUAUCUUGUUUAUGCUUUUCAUUUUCUUAGUUAACUUGUAUCUUAUUUAUGUUCUUGUUUUUUUUAUUUAUGUUUCUCUUCUUCAUUAUGUUUAGCUAAGUUUAUUAUGUCAAGGUAAAAAGGUUACACUAAUGGUGUAAGAAUAAGUAUGGUGUAAACUCAACAUGGACCUUAAUGUUUAAUAUUAACAUGUCUUAUCUUUUUAUCUUACUAAUUCUUAAUACCUUGCUUGUUAAAUGGUUAAUCUAGAUUUGUGUUGUAUAACACUUGAUACAACAAAUGCUUGGCACUCUCAUAGCUCAAUCGUAUGGUAUUAUCUACACCUGAGCUAUGAUGAUUUGUUGUUAACAUCAGUUAACAUCAUGAAUUCCUGACAAUAUUUAAAAGUUUGGUGUUAUGUAAAUAAGAUAAUUAAUAUGAUCAUGUUAAUAAUUUAUAAUGAGCUAUUAAUGAGAAAUCAUCCGAUUGGAACCUCCUUUGUGUGUGGUUUCCAAUUGAAUAACAAGAGUUUAUACUAUACUUGUUUGUAAUACCAUUAGUGGAUCCUCUAACCUUGACAUUUGUUUUUAUCAUUGUUUAAUCCUUACAUUAAUCUUUCAUCUCAAAGUUCUCAUUAAUUUCUUCAUAUUCUUCUUUUAUUAUUAUUAUUAUUAUUACUAUUAGUAUUAGUAUUAGUAUUAUUACUAUUAUUAUUAUUAUUAUUAUUAUUAUUAUUUUGUUUAUAUUAUAUAAUAUAUCUCUUUGAUCUUUUCAUAAACUCAGUAUAUAGGCUGGAAACCUGUGACCCGAUCUUUUAGAUCAUUCUCAGGUAUAACAACACCACGUACUGAGUAUUAUUAUUAUUAUUAUUACUACUACUAUUAAUAUUAUUGUUAUUAUUAUUGUUGUUAUUGUUGUUGUUGUUGUCUUGUUAUUUAUAAUUUAUACAAUUAACCUCUCUGUGGUUCGACGCCGGUCUUGCUGGGUUAUUUAUUACUUCGACACUCCUGCACUUGGGAGAAGACAUCAAUCUUUUGGUCGUGUCACCUGUAUUGGUUCAGCCAUAAGGCUGGACUCAACCCAGCCGUGUGGGCUGGGCUGAUGUUCCAGCCUUUAGUUAACAGGGCUAGACUCAACCCAGCCGCGUGGGCUGGGCUGAUGUUCCAGUCCGUAUAAAACAGGGCUGGACUCAGCCCAGCCGCAUAGGCUGGGCUGAUGUUCCAGCCCGAAGCAAAAAGAGCUGGACUCAGCCCAGCCAUGUGGGCUGGGCUGAUGUUCCAGCACGUUGUAGAAGGAAAAAAACACCAUGACUGGUUUAAUUAGCCGGUUAUUAUGCGCAUGCAUGGUAACCGGCUAAUUAUUUUCUUCUUGCAUGUAGAACGGGCACAGUGCACGUUCUAUAGGCAAGAAGAUGAUUAAUGACCGACGUGAGGAGGGGAAGGCAAUUUACCUGAGGCGAUGAUCUUGAAUGGCUGAGCUGAUGGUGGUGCUGGUCAUAGUUAUUAAACCCGGUUCAGGAGUUGACCCGGCCAAAGGACCGGGUCCCGGGUUAUAUGGGUCCAUCCGGUUAACCCGGGUCAACCCAUAAAACCCAGGUUAUUUACUUAUUUAUGGGGUCAGGUGGUUAAAGAGAGAAAUGGAAAAGGAAAGCAAUUAUAAAGAGGUGAAGUGGGACCCAAUGUGGCGAGAAAACAUCUUUUCCCUGCAAAUUCCUCUGGUUUCUACAUGCUUGAAAACAUUAGCGAGAGAGAGAGAGAGAUGUUAAAGACUUGAUGAUGAUAAUAAAGCCUCUGGUGCUGGUACUGUACCUAUUGCCUCUCUCUCUCUCUUGAAAUUGCGAGUUUGGUCCCAUUUAACCUUCAAUUUUUUUGAAGUUACAAUCAUCAAUCGUCAGGCUAGAAGAAAAAAAUGGAACCCAACGCCAACCCUCAAGAUCUCCAAACCCAGAUCGACCUGCAAUCGUCUCAAGCGAACCACCUCCAAAACGCCGGGUCUCGCCCGGGUCCGUCCCGGUCGGCCAGGUUCCGGGUCGACCCUCCGGGUCGGCCGGGUUUUGCCGGGUUUUGCACUGGCCGGUCUUUUGACAAACCCAGACCGGUCUAGCCACCGGGUUGGACGGGUCCCGGGUCGACCCGCCAGGCCGGGUCGGGUUUGAUAACUAUGGUGCUGGUUACUGUUCUCGGUGGCGCUGCGGUGGCGGUGACGAUGAAACCUAGUGACAGCAGCGACGCUUCUUCUCCACUGUGCAAAGGCACCAAUCGGUGUUUUCUUCCCCGCCGGUUUAUCCCUUCUAUUCCUUUUCUUCCUUCUCCCCGUUUGUCUCUCUCAGUUUCCCAGUUGAUAUCCUCUGUUUUUGUGUUUCUCAGUUUCGGUUGUUUCUCUCUCAACACUAUCGGUUUCUCUCUCUCUUGGUUCCCCUCCCGUUUUCUAUCAUUUUUCCUCUUUUCCUCUUCCUUUUUUCCCCCUAGUUUGGGUGGUAUUUAUAGGGGUAGGAGGAGCGAGGUUGACCCUGCCCCGUACCAUCGCUGCCAGUGCAUGGUGCGCACGUUGCCUACUCUUCCCUAGCGCUGACAGCGGUGGCCAAUAGAGGCGUUGCUUGCGGGGCACGGUUGCUCUAGCAUCUCAUCAUGAGAUGGGUGGCGUCUGACUUCGGCUCUAAAGCAUGUGGGAGGAAGAGACAAGAGGAGGAAAACAAAACUUCUCUUCCCCUGCUGCACGUCCAGGGGAAGAAGAAGAAGAAACAGUGCCGUCUCAAAAUGGCACCAUUUCGUCUCUUUUUUUUAUGCAUGAAAUGACGUCGUUUUGCUUAAAAUGUACCAUUUUAUUUAAAUGAAAACUGGCACCAAAGCGCCAGAUUUCACAUCAAUCCUUCAAUUUGUGUACGUUUUGCAUUUUGGUCCUUGGUCUAUCAAAACAUAUAUUUUUUUGCAAUCAACCCUCCAUAAAUUCAAUUAAAUCCUAAAAUAAAAUUUAAUUGAGUUUAUCAACAUUUGAUUUUGUAUUUUUCUUCCUCAAAUAAAAUUUUCUUAAUCAAUAGGGUUCUCAUCGGUCAAUGAUAUACUGUCAAAUUUUAAUAUUUGUAUUAUGAACCUCCUAAACCAAUUUUUGACCAUUUUUUGGGUGCUUUGGCAUCCUCUUUUCAUUGAUAUCUUUUUGUAUUAUUUAUUUAUUAUCUUUAUAUAUUUAUUUUUAUUUUCUCUUUUCUUGUGUGGGGACCCAAAAAUGAGUUACAACAUUUGUUAAAACUUGCAAUUAACUGGCUUACAAAGCAUCCAAUAUACACUAGUCAUGUAUCAUUCUCACAUUAAAAUUUGAAUUUCUAAAAUUACUUAAUGUUUGUUCCAUUAUGACAUUGUUUCUUUUUAUUUUAUUUUAUUUUAUUAAAAAUAACUUGUUAACUCUCUUAUAGUUAUUCAAAACUUUAACUGGUCUUUAGAGAUCUAUGAUAAGGGACAUGUUAAGUCUAAGAAAAGAUAAUAUCAUCCUUGAAACAUCCAACCUGAAAUAGAUUGCAUUGUCAGUCUUGUCUUCAUUGCUAAUAGUUUGUUAUGCUAUACUAUUAUGAUUUAUUUACAAGGUGAUGGUGAGUUCAUCACAAUAUAUUAAACUUUUUAUUGAGGGUUCAAACCUAACCAUUUUAAAGUCCAGUUGGUUAAUUUUGUCACUCUCAAUUACUUAGUGAAUUACCAAUUCUAAGUUGAUCAAUCCAAAUCACAACUCAAAUUAUAUCUAUGAAUAUACUAGUGAGCUUAUAUUAAGCUUAGUGAACCCAACUCAGAUCAACACUUCCAACUCUAAUGUAAUGUCUUAUACUUCUCUUAACAUUCAAAGUAACGGUUUGUUGUGAGUAUAUUUAUUUUAAGCAUAAAAAAUAAAGAACAAAAAACAUUUUUUUAUUUGAGAAAAAAAAAAAGACAAAUAAACUUGUCAUUAAGUUCAAAUAUGCAUGCAUAAUUUUUUUUUAAAUAACAUAAGAACAUUUUUAUUCAGAUGCGAAUGCAAAUUUUUUUUUAAAAAAUUAUAUUUUUAUACUAAAACAAGUAUUUUUAUAGAAUGCUAAAAUAUAUAAAAAAAUAUUUUCUUGCCUUUUUUUUUUUAACAAACAAACUAGGAAGACAAAUGCUUUAUUUUUUUUUAACAAUGAUAGAAUAUACAAAAAUGAUUAUUUUUGGAAGACUAAGUAAAGAACAAAAAACUUUUUUUUUUUAUUUGAGAAAAAAAAAGACCAAAGUUUGUUUUGUUAAAAUUUAGGUAUGUCGGUCUAAUGAGCCUUUUGAUUUUAACAAAAACUUAAUAUGACUAAUAAACUUGUCAUUAAGUUCAAAUAUAAAUGCACUAAUAUUUGUUUUUUUUAAAUAACAUACAAACAUUUUUAUUUAAAUGCGAAAACAAUUUUUUUAAAAAAUUUAUAUUUUUAUACUAAAACAAGUAUUUUUAUAGAAUGCUAAAAUAUGAAAAAUAUUGUUUUGCCUUUUUUUUUUUUAACUUAUAAACUAGGAAGACAAAUGCUUUUUUUUUUCUACAAUGAUAGAAUAUACAAAAAUGAUUAUUUUUGGAAAAUAAAAAACUUAACAUAAAACUUGAUGUUUUCCCCCCCUCUUGAACAUGAGUAUGCUUGACCCUAACCUAUCAAACCCUUGAAUGCAGCCCAAAACAAACCGGACCAAAUAAUAAAAACCAUGGCCGAAAACUCAUCAAUAUUUAUCAAGGAAAGUCUAUGCCCAGCCUAUUGUACAUUUUGAAACCUAAAAACACUAACCCACAGCCCCGUUACCUGGCCCAUAGCCCAUCACACACGGCCCAAAUUAGAAGCCGAACGAUCCAAAAAGAAGACGCACAUUAGCCCAUUGUCAUACAAAACCCCUAAAGCUCAUCUCUUUUACUGACCCUAAUAACAUAAACACGAAUUCACGCAGCAACCAGAGGCGUGGAAGGAAAGAAGGAAGAGCAAAGAAACUACUGCAACUUGAAACAAACAGGAUGCAAGCUUAGAUUAAUCAAAUUGGAACUUUUUCUAAAAAUCUCUUCAAAAAUCAUUGCAAUAGCAAAAUGAAAUCAACUCCAUUCUCUCGUCAUUCUUCUAUUUAUACAAACAAAAACACCCAUAAGCGGAAUGAAUUCAUGGAAGCAAGCUGAAGUGUUAAGAACAAAAAAAAAAAAAGGAACAUACCUGGAAAGAUGAUGGUACUACUUGUUGUAACUCAUUUUUGGAUCCCCGGACAAAAAAUAAUAAAAUAAAAAAAAAUAAUAAUAAAUCAAAAAAUAUUAUCAAAAAAAUAUGACAGUGAAAAAGGAUUUCAAAACACUCAAAAAAUGGUCAAAAAUUGGUUGAGGAGGUUUAAAAAUACAAAGAUUAAAAUUUGGCAGUAUUUUAUUGAUUGAUGAGAGCCCUGUUGACAAAAAAAAUUCAAUUUGAGAAAGAAAAGUCCAAAAUCAGAUGUUUAUGGACUUAAUUAAAUUUUAUUGAAGGUUUAAUUGAAUUUAUGGAGAGUUUGAUUGCAAGAAAAAUUGAUUUUUGGAGUUAAUUUGGGUUUUAAUUUGAAGAAAUUAAAGUUCUGGGGUCAAAUUAAAGUUCUUGGUCAAAUCAGGGGCUUAAUUUCAUAAAUAUUGAAGUUUUAUGGCCAAUUAAGGACUUAAUUGAAGAAAUCCGAGACCAAGGACCAAAAUGCAAAACACGCGCAAAUUGAAGGCCUGAUUUUGAAUAUGAUGCUUUUUGGCGCCAAAAUCCAUUUAAAUAAAACAACAUGUUUUGGGAAAAACAUCGUCGUUUCAUGCACUGUUCACAAAAAAAAAAAACUUGAAACGAUGUCGUUUUGAAUAGCACCCAUGUCUUCUUCUUCCCCUGACACGCGAAGUAGGGGAGGAAGAACAAGAUUUUUUCCUCUGUUCCACCGCCAACUCUCUCUCAAAAAGACGCCGACAACCCACUUGCUUACCACGUGGUGGAAGAAUGGAUGGGACGUACCCCUUAGGCGGUUCGGGGCGGCGACAUAAUGGCCGCCCCAGCCACUUCUCCUUCCCCUGUUUUUGCCUAUAAAAACAGGGGAAGGGGAAGACUAAAAAAAGGAGAGUGUACAGAAAGGGAAGAAGAAAACAAAAAAAAAAACUAACCUUUCUUUUUUCUCCUGCUUCUUCUCCUUUGCUGCCAUGCCUCUACUGUUCACGUAGCAUGUGAAUAGUGGAGGGCACUGUUCACACAUGUAGAUGGGCCAGGUUCGGCCUAGCCCAUGCAUUUGGACCUCGUUUGGCCCAUUUCAAAUAUAUAUAUAUAUAUAUAUAUAUAUAUAUGUUGUGAUUUGCUCACCUUUUGAUUUAUGUCUUUUUACUUAAUAUCAAUCUGUAUUUUAUGUUGUUAAAAAUACAAAAUCCGAUAUUAAAAUACCAGGUUUUCGUCAAAACUUCCAGAAAUACAAAAAAAUUUGAAAAAAGAGAAAAAUGUUUUUGUGCAUAUGGCCAAGUGUCUCAAAGCUAAAAAUCAUAUUGUAUUUUUCAUACAUAAAAAAAAAAAACAAUGUUUUAGCAUGCAUUUUGACUUUAAAAACCAGUUUAUUAAGGUCAAGAGAACAUUGGCCAAAAUUUCAAAAACAACAAAAAUUUUAUUUUGUUUUGUUUUGUUUUAAUAUCAGGGUUUAUGAAUUUAUACGUAAAACGUAUUCCUCAUAUUAAAAAGGUAUUUUAUUUUGACGACUUAAAACAAUUAGGUUUUUUACCUAAUAAGAUAAGGAUCUCCUUACAAAGAAGAAUUUUUCUUGAACUGGAGACAGAUCAACAAAUAGAAACCACAAUAAGAUCUUAGAUUUUAUCAGACAUUAAAGCAAUGCAUCCUACCUUAGGUAAAAUGUAUUUGGGGUGCUAAUACAUUUCAUUUACGCAACCAGUCUCCAUACGUAAUCUCUAAGACUAGUUAGGGUUCUUAGUGACCAAAAUACUAGGUGGCGAUUCCCAUUCAAAUUUUUCACUGAUAGGAGACAAGAAUUCCUUGUCUCUACACAUUUGCCAGGUAGACCCUUACAUUUUUUCCUUGAGGAUGGAUGAUCUUCGCGACGCCGCACAUGACACGACUAAAAGAUUGAUGUCUUCUCCCAAGUGCAGGAGUGUCGAAGUAAUAAAUAACUCGGCAAGACCGUGGUCGAACCAUAGAGAUAUUAAUUGUAUAAAUUAUAAAUAACAAUACAACAACAAUAAUAACAAUAACAUUAAUAGUAAUAAUAAUGAUAAUAAUAAUAAUAAUAAUAAUAAUAAUAAUAAUAAUACUCAGUACGUGGCGUUGUUAUACCUGAGAAUGAUCUAAAAGAUCGGUUCAUAGGUUUCCAACCUAUAUACUGAUUUUAUGAUAAUAAUAGUAAUAAAAAUAAUAGUAAUAUUAAUAGUAAUAGUAAUAAUAGUAUUAGUAGUAUUAGUAGUAGUAGUAAUAAUAAUAAUAGUAAUAAUAAAAAGAAGAGGAGGAAGAAAUUAAUGAGAACUUUGAGAUGGAAGAUUAAUGUAAGGAUUAAACAAUGAUAAAAACAAAUGUCAAGGUUAGAGGAUCCACUAAUGGUAUUUCAAACAAGUAUAGUAUAAACUCUUAUUACUCAAUUUGGAAACCACACACGAAAGAGGUUUCAAUCGGAUGAUUUGUCAUUAAUAGCUCAUUAUAAAUUAUUAAGAUGAUCAUAUUAAUUAUCUUAUUUACAUAACACCAAACUUUUAAAUAUUGUCAGGAAUUCAUGAUGUUAACAACAAAUCAAGUUCCUUUCAUAGCCUAGGUGUAGGUAAUACCAUACGGUUGGGCUAUGAGAGUGCCAAACAUUUGUUGUACCAAGUGUUAUACAACACAAAUCUAGACUAACCAUUUAACAAGCAAGGUAUUAAGAAUUAGUAAGAUAAAAAGAUAAGACAUGUUAAUAUUACACAUUAAGGUCCAUGUUGAGUUUACACCAUACUUAUUCUUACACCAUUAAUGUAACCUUUUCACCUUGACAUAAUAAACUUAGCUAAACAUAAUGAAGAAGAGAAACAUACAUAAACAAAACAAGAACAUAAAUAAGAUACAAGUUAACUAAGAAAAGGAAAGGAAAUGAAAAGCAUAAACAAGAUAUUAAUAAAAGCAAAACUUAAGAAUUACAAAAAAAUAAAAAGAGAGAGAGGAAGAGCAAGGUCUUGAUCUGAACAACCAAGCCCCUAAAUACAUGGCAAAUACCCCCUUUUAUAGGCCAAAAUUCGGAAUUAUUGAUUUGAUGACUAAUUGUUGAGUGGGUGGCCAACUUUUGACUUUGUGAAAAUCCUUAUCUUCUUGUCUGAAUAAAACAAAAAUGCUAGUAUCAGAACUGGGUCCAUUGGAAAACAUGAUAGUUGUAGGAAAUUGACUUACUGAUUUUGUGUAAAAAUAUGAGGUCAUUUUGACAUCUAGAACUCGAGAUAUGACCCAAUUACCGAACAGUGUUUCAGUUUGGACUGCACCAAUAUCUCUUUUCUAAGUUUGGCCCUCUCUGUCCUUUCAAUUUCCAUACUUGAACUCAUCAAUCAAUCCUUUGAUUUAUGUGAUAUGCCUGUAUUUAAGAUGAACAUUUACCAUAUAUUAAGGCAUUUUAUAGUAUUAGACUUGUUAUUAUAAAGCAUGCUUUAGUUAAGGAGUUAUUGAUACUUUAAGUGCAAAAUGAUGAUAUAAAACCUUGAUAAAUAUGCAUUUUUAAGUACUAAUCAGCACACGUGCGACAUUACUCUUGAAAAACAGGAAAAAUAUUUGUUUCAUUAAGAAAAGUAUGUCAAUAAUAUUUUUUUUUAUUUUUUAAAAAUUAUUUUUGAGAUCAACACAUUAAAAUGAUUUGAAAACAUCAAAAACAUAUUAAUCUAAAAUAAAAAUUUAAAUUUAAAUUUUUUCAAAAGCACUUUUGAAAAGCAAUGCCAAACAUGUCUAAGCUGUGAUUGGAGCAACACAUGGGUAAAAAAUCACCCUUUCCAUAUAUGUUUGCAAACCCAGAUUUUAUGCUAAUUUAAUAUGAAAGGUACCAAUUUUAGUCGAAAGAAGAAAGUAGUCUGUUUUAUGCCAACGUUUUGAUUUUGUAGAUUUUAUCUCAACAAAUCAAAAUAGAUUUGAUACAAUAAAAACUUAUUUUAAAACAUCAUCACUAAUGGAAUAAGGGUUGAAUAAGACCACAAAAGUAGGUUAAUUUUUUAUACAGAUUCAAUUUGUUCAAGAAUAAAAAAAAUACAAAAAUCUCUCACACGUUAAAAUUAAAAAAUUCAGAAGUAUUAUUCAUCAAUGGCUGCCAAAAUUUAAGUUACAUAUGUUUAAAUAGUUUUGAGAAAUUAACCCUAAUUGAUUUAUUAUUAUAUGCUGAAUUGAUCCACUUAUAAAAAUUAACUAAAAACUUUUACUAAGAAACUCAAACUCUAAUUCAAACAAGCCUUAGGCUAUAGCAAACAAAAAUAAAAAUAAAACUCAUAAAUCAUAGUCUUUAUCUGCCCAAUGAUCCUAAAAAUCAAUAUGUUAUUAAAUACCACCCAUUUUGUUUCCUUGUGUAAUUAGGAUGAAUAAAAAUUCCUUGUAAGAAAAUGAUUUUAGAACAUUAAUAAAUUCUAACCAUACUUAGAAAUUAUGUUGUAACUCAUUAAAGAUCUUCAUAGAAAAAAGAUUUUUACCAAAUAGAAAGUCUAUAAGUCAAAAAGAAAAUAAAUAAUAAAAUUUAGAUAGUCUGUUCUGACAUAUAUUAGAAGCCCGUACCGAACACCGAUUCACCUGAAAGUUUGCCUCAAUAUAAAAAAUUAUCUUUAAAAUUUUAUCAUAAAAUUUUAAUUCAAUUCAAUAAUUUAGUUUAAAAUUAUAUUUAAUAACGUAUAAUUAUACCGUAAUUUUACUAUAUAAUUCGAAUCUACCUUCCAUAAAUAAAUAAAAUAUUGAAGAGAGACUUUGGGACGCCUCACAUCACGGGUGACCACAGGAGAGGUGGAUGCAUUGGAAUUUUGAAUGCCAAGUCUGUCAGUAUUUUUUUAAAAAAACAACUAUAUAUGCACGUCGUUUAAGGACCACCCACAAGUUGGCCUACUGGUAUUUCCAUUUACAAUUUUGGGGACCAAGAACUAGCUACCUACUGAUUACUCCUUUCAAUGUUGACAACUGUCCAACUAUAGAUAUUUAAUCGGCUUAUUUAUUGUUAUAUUUUUAUUAAUAUAUGUGUUCAAAUAUGUGUUCAAGUAAGCUUGUGUGCACCUCGACUAAUUAUACGAGCUUUGAAAUUAACGACCAUAUAAACCUCUACUGACCAUCAAUAUUAGCAACCACAAGGCUCGAACCUGAAACCUCAGGAGGAGCAAACAUUUUAGUCCCAAGCUCUUACUAUUGGGUCAACUACUAGAUAAUUGGCUUAUUUUAUACCAUAUUGCAUGUGGCAAAGGCCAAAAAAGCAACGACUUUUGCUCAUAGAAAUGGAUAUAUAUAUACUUAAGGGGUAUAAUUCAAUAAGUUAAAUCUUAAGUUUGCUCUAUAAAAAUUAUUAAUUUAAGUUUCACAAACCUCAAAACUAAUAGAGAUUUAAGUUUGCUCUAUAAAAAUUAUUAAUUUAAGUUUCACAAACCUCAAAACUAAUAGAGAUUUAUAUGGUUAUUAACUCUAGAAUCUUAAUAAUAUGCGUAAAAGUUCCGGACACCUACAAUUAAAAAAGAUUGAUAUAUAUGAAACACCCGAUGCAAUGGGCUGCGUUCAAUUUUAUUUUCUCCCAUUUAGGAUUUUUGUCUAAUAAACACACUCAAAAUGCAAUCAUUUAGUGUUUGUUCGGUAAUAUAGUAAUUUCUGUGGUUAUAAUUGAAAAAAUAAAUAUAAAUUAUAAUUUAAAAAUUAUCCUGUGCUUUGCUUAUUCAAAUGAUUUUAGUAGGAUAACAUGUUUAAUAAAUAAGCAUGCAAUUGGGUAGUGUGAAACCAUUAAAUUACAAACAAGCAUACGAUCGCUUGCUAGUCAACAAUCGCUAGCUAGUCAAGCUUGAGACAACCUUGAAACUUCAAGAUUAUGUCAACUUGAUGUUUGUCAAGUUAGAGAUAAGUUCAUUGAUGUUGGAAUUUGAAGUCUCCUCCACUGAUCCUUGAAAUGAAAAUCACUUCUUCUUUCGAAAAAGCAAUCUCUUCUGUUUUCACACUUCCAUGUUCAUUAUCUUUUUAGCUGUAGAUUGCCACCUUCCACUACAUGGGCGGCAGGUUACUAAUUCUAAACAAAAGACCGUGUGUCUCUUGGCUUUCCGCGAGCAGUGAUUUUCCAUAUCCAAAAGCCAAGCCCUGUGGACUGCAAUUCAAUGUUCAAAUUUGAUGGCAAAAAGUAAUUUAAAUGAACCGGCAAAUAAUUCAGAUCUAGAUGCCAUCUUCAUUACUUUAGAUUCGUGUAAAGUCAAAUCAUGCCAAAACAAGAAGCUCAAUCAUGUCGACUAGCUUGACUUUACUAACUGGAAGCCAUAAAGAAGCUGCCCACCCCUUCUUAAUUUGGUAGGAGCUCUUCAUGUAAUUUACUAAAACAUAUGCUAUAAAACUCAUGUCCAAAGUGUAACAAAACGAUUGGUGUCCUGAUGUUCAGUGGAACAUUAAGGCACCUCUUUGGUGCAUAUGCAGCCCUUCUUUUUCUACAGAUCAUAGCCAUCCACCAUAGCUGCAGUGCUAGAAAGAACAGCAAUUACUGCUCUCCUUCUUCCUGUGGAAACAUCCAUAAUAUCAGCUACCCUUUUCGAUUAAACACCGAUCCCAAAAGCUGCGGCCACAAAAGUUAUGAACUUGUUUGUGAAAACCAUCGUCCAACUUUAUACUUGAAGACGGUGAAAUAUUAUGUUCAGGCGAUCGAAUACAGUAACUUCACUGUUCGACUUGUGGAAGCUGCUGUUCAGAAGGAUGAUUGCUUCUCCAUACCUCAUCGAUCUCUCAUCGCAUAUGAUAAUUGCAUCAGCUACAGGAACUAUCUUCCAUAUAACUUUGGGUUCGAUAACCUUCGCACCGACUUUAUGACCUUUAGAUUAACUUUUAUAACUUGCGAAAAUCCUGUACUGAGUCCUCCAGACUAUAUAGUGGAUGCUUCUUCUUGCAAAAAUGGAAAUUCUACUGCAUUAAAUUCUACGUUCAGCUCCCGCAAUAAGGAAGGUUACUCCGAUGUCAUGGUUGCUGCCGACUUGGUGAAGGUACCGGACUUAUGCCGUAUAAAUUUGAUCAAUUCUGCCCCUGGAUCUGUUAUGCCAGAAAACAUGACCAAUAUUUCCUACAGAGAUGUCCAUGAUAUUUUGUUAUAUGGAUUUGAGCUUUCCUGGUACUCAGCUUGUUGUGAUUCUGUCAAUGAUAUCCAGUACUGCAACUAUGAUAGUACAUAUUGUGAUUCAUACGGUGCGUUUUCUUCUCUCUAUCUCUCUCUCAGCUUACCUUAAUUUGAAUAUAGAUUUCAUAACAGCACAAAUCUCUCUAUUUUAUACUUGAUAAAAGAAGGUGUUUUAUGCAAAUCCAUGACCAUUGUCUUGUUGUUGUGACAUUGCUUAAAGCUUUAUCUUGUUCUGGGUUUAUUAUAAGUUAAUUGGCCUAGAUAUAUAUCUUCCCAUUGAUCAUACAUAUUUUCUUCUUCUUGUUAGCUCUUGGUGGCUUUGAACUAUUUUUGUUUUUUUUUCUUUCAAACUACUAGAGGUAGUGUAGCACAUGUGCGGCGUCGCGGCGAAAAACUAGUGUUUAUUUCCAUUUUCUUAAUCUACAAUGUAAAUCUAUCUAUAUCUAUGGGGAUACCAGCAAAUACUGUCUUUUAUUGGUAGAAAAUGGAAUGGGAGUCGCCACCUAGUAUUUUGGUCACUAGGAACCCUAACUGGUCUCAGAGAUUGGGUACGGGGACUGGUUGCGAAAAAGGAAGGUAUUAGCACCCCAAAUACGCCCUACCUAAGGUAAGCUGCAUUGUUUUAUUGUCUGAUAAAAACUAAGGCGUUAUUGUGUUUUCCUAGUUGUUGAUCUGUCUAUGGUUCAAGAAAAAUCCUCCUCGGUAAGAAGGUCUUUAUCUUAUCAGGUAAAAUCCUAAUCGUUCUAACGUCCAUACCAAAAUUUUAUUAAUAAUAUUUAGGAAUACGUUUUACGUAUAAAUUUGUAAUCCCAAAUAAUAAAAGAAAACAAAAAGAUUUUUUUUAGAAUUUUUGAAAUAUUGGCCUAGUUCUCAUGGCUUGAAUAAACUGGCUAUUAAAGCCAAAAUGCAUGCUAAUACAUAUAUUGUUUUGAAAAUUUUCUUUGUUGUGUGAAAAUAUGAUGUUAUAAUAUUUAUAUAUAUAUAUAUAUAUAUUGGAGAGACUAGGCCGUAUUUUAAAACAAAAAAAACAAUUUUUGGAAAAUAUUAUUUUUUUUUAUGCUUUGACGAAAAUCGGGUAUUUUAAUACUGGGUUUGUAUCCUUACGGUAUAAAAAUACAGCCCAAUAUUAAUCCACUUUAAUAAAAAUAUGCAGAAAAAUCAACAACAUUUUUAGGGAUUUUUUUGAAAGCAAAAACAUUUUUUAUUCUAAAAAUCUUUGAUGUUUUGACGAAAACCGGGUCUUUUUAACACUGGUUUUGUAUCUUUACGGUAUAAAAAUACAAACCAACAUUAAACUAUUUUGACAAAAAUAUGCAAGAAAAUCAACAAUAUUUUUUAAGAUUUUUCAAAAUAUUUUUUUUUAAUAUAAAUAUUUUUUAUAUAUAUAUAACAUAUAUACACACAUAUAUACUAUAAUUUAUAAUAAUAUAUAAUAUAUUAUAUUAUGGGGCUGGGCCGGCCCAAAUUAAUGGGCCAGGCUCAGCCCAAAAAAAAGGGUCGGGCCGACCUCGGCCCAAAAUGGAUUUGGGACGAAAUCGGCCCAACAAAACUUCAAAACGGCACCGUUCGGUCUUCUUCUUUUUUUUUUUUUUUUUUUUUUUAUUUUAUGUAUGAAACGGCGUCGUUUUCUCCAAAACGCGCCGUUUCAUUUUAAAAAAAGGCGCCAGAAAUAUGUUUUUUCAAAUCAGUCCUUAAUUUGUCCUCUCUUCUAUUAAGUCCUCAAAUCUAAUCCUGAUUUUUGAAAAACACUUCAAUCGUGUCCUUGCCAAUUUCGGUCCCCGCCCCCAUAGUUGGCCGCGUUUUUCACUUUGGUCCUUGGCCUCUGAUUUAUGCAAUUUAGCCCUUAAUUGAUUAAUAAACUUUCAAUUUCUUCAAUUAGGCCCCUGAACCGAAUAAUUGCAGCCCCUCCAUUUACGCGCCUCUUCCAAUUUGGUCCCUGGUUUCGGAUUUUCUUAAUUAAGUCCCUAAUUGGCCAUUAAACUUCAAUAUUUAUGCAAUUAAACCCCUGAUUUGACCCAAUAAAUUCCUAAAACAUAUAUUUUGGCCCUAGAACUUAAAUUUCUUCUAAUUAAAGCCCAAAUUGACUUAAAAAUCAAAUUUUCUUGCACUCAAAUCCUCUAUAAAUUCAAUUAAAAAUCCAAUUAAGUCCAUAAACCUCCAAAUUUGGACUUUUCUCCUCAAAAAUCAAAUUGUUUUAUCCACCAGGGCUCUUAUCAUUCAAGAAUAUAUUGUCAAAAAUCCAUCUUUGUAUUUUUAACCUCCUUGACCAAUUUUUCUGAUCAUUUUCUGAGCACUUCUGCCUCCUGUUAUUUUUCUAACCUCCUUUGGCUAUUUAUUUUAUUUAUUUUUAUGGGGACCCGAAAAUGGGUUACAACAGAUGCCCCCUCUUUAUAAAGCUUACGGAGUAGAGGUUUUGCGCAGUAAGAUUUAUAAAGAUAAACCAAAUCUGAACUCCCGAAACUGAUCUGGUUGGAGCUUGAUCGCUCUGAAACUUUGUCUUUACAGCAAUCCUCCUCAGCCAAAAAAACUAUGAUCAAAAUUUAGUCAUCUCGAGAUCCCUCCUGGCGAUCUCCUUUAACCAAAAAAACUUGGAAUCCUAUCUGGCGUUUCCUUUUAACCAAGGCUGAAAAAUGAAGUCCCUUCUAGCGACCUCCUUUGACCAAUAUCGAAAUGCGAGAUCCCUUCUGGCGAUCUCAAUCAACUUGGAAUCUCAUCUGGUGAUUCCUUUACCCACAACCAAAUACAAAAAUGCAUGUGUGGUCUCAUUAUGAUGGGUGACCUCCCGAGUGGAAAAGGGAAAGAGUGGUCUCAUUCUUAUGGGUGACCUACCCAGGGGGAAGAAUGGCCUCAUUAUUAUGGGUGACCUACCCAGGUAAAAAAAGAUGAAGAAUGGUCUCAUUCUUAUGGGUAACCUACCCAGAAAAAUAAUGGUCUUAUUGUAUGGGUGACCUACCCAAGAAAAAUAAUGGUCUCAUUGUAUGGGUGACCUACCCAAGUGGAAAAAGGAAGAGUGGUCUCAUUCUUAUGGGUGACCUACCCAGAAAAAUAAUGGUCUCAUUGUAUGGGUGACCUACCCAAGUGGAAAAAAAAAGAGUGGUCUCAUUCUUACGGGUGACCUACCUAGGGGGAAGAAAUGGUUUCAAUAUGAGGUCCCUUCUGGCGACCUUCCUUAAUGAAUGUCGAAGUACGAGAUCCCUUCUGGCGAUCUCAAAUAACUUGGAAUCCCAUCUGGCGAUUCUUUUUAUACAAAAGCUGAAAUUUAAAGGUCCCUUCUGGCGACCUCCAUCGAAAUACGAGAUCCCUUCUGGCGAUCUCAACAACUUGGAAUCCCAUUUGGUGAUUCCUUUUUACCGAAUGCUAUCGAUGUCCUUCCUGCUGGCAGGGUUUGAAAACCAUUAUCUUCUCUUCUUGUUGUUCUAGAAUCAACUCAAUGAUUCUUUCUUCAUCCAUAAUCUUGUUGGAAUGUGCUAAGAUCUCCUCCUGUAACGAUCCAUAAAAACAUAUAUGCAAAUGAUUUAUGAUUAGAUGCAAUGCAUGCAUUUGUACCUGGUUUUGAAACAUAGGCCCCAUCCUCUUCUUCUAGUUCAUGAGACUCCCUCUUAACAUGAACUUGCUUUUGAAGUCGUAUGCUGGAUUCAUCUCUCGUGUUGCCUAUCAUAUGAAGUCUUUGACUUUCUUCAAGUAGUCCUUUUCUUAAAAUGUAUGACUUGUAUUUGCCUCUUUGUCAUGCUUUUGUCAAAUGCUUUAGCUUGGUUUUCAAAUCUAUAGGCUUCCAACCAAUUUUAAACACGUAAAACUUUUCAUAAAACAUCUCGUCUUGCCCCUAGUGUAGGGGUGUGAUCCUAGUUCGGGUUUUUAUAUAGAGAAGAAAUUCAUUUAGCCAGUGAUAAACUUUUUUAGUGAGUGAAGAGAUAAUGAUUUUUUUUUUCAUUUCAAAAUGCACAUUGUUAUGGUUGAUAAACUCUAUUCUUUAAAAGACAAUUACAGAUGAUUAUAAAGUGACCACUUAAUCAUUUAUCCAUGCAAUUCAUUAUGCUAUCAAUGAUAGGGUUGUACUUUAGGGUUAGCUUUUCUUAAAUUUCAUAUUAAACCAUUUUAUGAUACUUUAUUUGUAACCACUCAAACUUGUUCAAAAAGUGCAUAAACUCAUCAUUUAUUUAAAGAAAAGGUAGGCUCAAAGACAAACACAAAAUCUGGCUGACAUCAUGAGCCCUGAUUGCCCACUAGAGAAAAUAAAAGCAAUGACAAAAGCAAAUGACAAAAACAUGCUAAGGCAAAUAAAGUUGUUUUACAUUUUGAAAACUACGAGAAGUUCUUGGGUCAACCCGUUCUGAAACUUCUUCUAGUGUGUGGAAAGUCAACCGAGGCAAUGCUUCAUCUUCCUUCCCCACUUGCGUUUCCUUGUCUUCUCCUUCGAUCUCGCCUUCUUAUUGACGAUUCUUUGACCAAGGUUUUCCAACCUUUAUCCCCUAUCACUUUUGUCAUGACCAGGCAAUGGAUUUGAUGAUAUUGGGUGUGUCUUCAAAUGACACCCAUCCUAUCUUGAUGAGCUUCAACAACUUGUUCUUGAAACGUAGCACGUUUCAAGACAAUGCCCGGGAAUACCAGCAUGGUACUCGCAAGUCAACUCGGGCUUAUACCAGAUGGGGAAUGGUGGUUAGUGGUAAUGUAGGGAUAGGAGCUAUUUGUCCAAUGCUCAGUAGUUUGGCAUAUAUGUCCUUCAGAGGCAUGGGUAAUGGCGGUAGUUGUUCUGAAAUGUAUCUUGUGUUUGGUCUUUGGUGGUUGUUUUGGGUGUUUGACUGGAUUUGCUCGAUUAAGGGAAAAAGGUUUGUUAAAGUUUAUGUGGGCCACAUGAGAGGUAGGUAUUUGUGGGUUAUAUGAAUCCGUUAUCUUGUCAUUGGACCCACCUUCGAAGUUGUUAACGGGACCUUUCAUUUUUCUUCCGAAAAAACCCUUUGUCUCCAAUGGCUCAAUUAUGCGUCCAGCUUUAAUCCCUUGCUCUAUUCUUUCCGCUAUGCGUACAACAUCAUAGAAAUGUUGAGAUGAGCUACCCAUUAAAUGCUCAUAGUAGGGUGCCUUGAAUGUAUUGGCGAACAAAGUCACCAUCUCCGUUUCUAUCAAAGGGGGUUGCACAUGCAUGGCCUCGUCCCUCCAUCUUUGCGCAUAAGCCCUUACUGAUUCUUGGCUUCUCUUUUCCAUUGACAUAAGGCUCGUUCGAUCUGGAGCAAUUUCCAAAUUGAACUUGUAUUGCUUAAGGAAAGCCUCAACUAAAUCCUUCCAUUUCUUGAUCUUGGCAUUAUCCAGCCUCAUGUACCAACUUAGCGCCGACCCCGAUAGACUGUCUUGGAAAAAGUAGAUCAGUAACUUAUCGUCAUGAAUCACCUCAGCCAUCUUAUUGCAAUAAGAUCGAAGGUGAGUGUUUGGGCAUUCCAACCCAGUGUACCUUAUAAACUCCGGUAUCCUAAAAUCUUUUGGUACCGUGAUGUUUGGUACCAAGCAUAUUUCAGACGCUCGCAUGGGGUCAAACCAGUCAUUUCCCUCGACUGCUCUUAACCUUUCUUCCAAGGCUGAUAUCUUGUCAUCGUUCAUAAAUCCAGUGGACCUAUUAUCGGAAGGCCCAUCUGCAAUAAUGUGAGCUUGAGGGGGCUGAAUGGGAAUGGCAGGCAAAGUGCUGCCCCGUCACUGAAUCUGCCCCCAAGUUCUGAGAUACCCCCGGGACAUGAACUGACGGUGCUCCUAUAGGUGGUUGGGUAGACGUUCCCUCCCCGUUCUUGGCUCUUAAAAGUUGCUCAAGCAGAUUGGUCAGUCGAGAAACUUCAUUUUUCACAGAUUCCAACUCGGUCUGGUAGUGCUACUCUAAGUGAGCUCUUUCUUCAUUUUCCAUUCUUGAUCUGGUCCGGGUUUGGUGGACUCUGGAUGUGGGACCUAUGUUUCACGAUCUGGAAUGCAUGUGAUAAUUUAAAAAAAUAAAAUGCGUGAUGAAAAUGUGAUGCGCGAUGAGUAUAAUAUUGCAAAAAAGAUACAUAACCUAAGGACAAGCUCUAUUUAUUAAGUGAGAGUGGGUAGAUUUUCUAUCCAGUCUUGAAGGUUCUCAUAUCUGCCCAGUGACGUUCUUCGUAAAGACAGUAUGAGGGCGUUGCAAGGAACAAUUAAGACACGUAUGCCCACCAUUACCAAGCAGGCACUCAGAUAUGAGUUGGGUGUUUCACGCAUUUAAACCCUGACCAAUAGUCUUAGGGUAAAUCGCUAAAUCCCCACUUAACUUAAAGCUUGUGUGUGCUUUUCAAAAUAAAAGCAAGUGAUGCAUGAGACAAUUUUAUACAAUGCAUAAAUAAUACGCGUAAAAUAAAAAACAAAUAUGCAAAUAAACGGAAAGGCAUAUUAACAAUAAACACAUGAAAACACAAACAAAUCAGACAAAAACAAAGCUUAGUCUACAAGGUCCCCAGUGGAGUCGCCAUUCUGUCGCACGUGUGCGGCGUCGCGGCGAAAAUAAUAGUUUUUCCAUUUUCUUAAUCUACAAUGUAAAUCUAUCUAUAUCUAUGGGGAUACACAAAAUAUCUUUUAUUGGUAGAAAAUGGAAUGGGAGUCGCCACCUAGUAUUUUGGUCACUAGGAACCCUAACUGGUCUCAGAGAUCGGGUACGGGGACUGGUUGCGUAAAGGGAAGGUAUUAGCACCCCAAAUACGCCCUACCUAAGGUAAGCUGCAUUGUUUUAUUGUCUGAUAAAAACUAAGGUAUUGUGUUUUCCUAGUUGUUGGUCUGUCUAUGGUUCAAGAAAAAUCCUCCUCGGUAAGAAAGGCUUUAUCUUAUCGGGUAAAAUCCUAACCGUUCUAACGUCCAUACCAAAAUUUCAUUAAUAAUAUUUAGGAAUACGUUUUACGUAUAAAUUCGUAAUCCCAAAUACUAAAAGAAAACAAAAAAAGAUUUUUUGAAUUUUUGAAAUAUUGGCCUAGUUCUCAUGGCUUGAAAAACUGGUUAUUAAAGCCAAAAUGCAUGCUAAUACAUAUAUUGUUUUGAAAAUUUUCUUUGUUGUGUGAAAAUAUGAUGUUAUAAUAUUAUAUAUAUAUAUUGGAGAGACUAGGCCGUAUUUUAAAACAAAAAAAAACCUUUUUUGGAAAAUAUUAUUAUUUUUUAUGUUUUACAAAAUCGGGUAUUUUAAUACUGGGUUUGUAUCUUACGGUAUAAAAAUACAACCCAAUAUUAAUCCACUUUGAUAAAAAUAUGCAGAAAAAUCAACAACAUUUUUAGGGACUUUUUAGAAUUUUUUUGAAAGCAAAAACAUUUUUUAUUCUGAAAAUCUUUGAUAUUUUGACGAAAACCGGGUAUUUUUAACACUGGUUUUGUAUCUUUACGGUAUAAAAAUACAAACCAACAUUAAACCACUUUGACAAAAAAUGCAGAAAAUCAACAAUAUUUUUUAAGAUUUUUCAAAAUAUUUUUUUUAAAGAAAUAUAUAUAUAUAUAUAACAUAUAUACACACAUAUAUAUUAUAAUUUAUAAUAAUAUAUAAUAUAUUAUAUUAUGGGGCUGGGCCGGCCCAAAUUAAUGGGCCAGGCUUAGCCCAAAAAAAGGGUCGGGCCGACCUCGGCCCAAAAUGGAUUUGGGACGAAAUCGGCCCAACAAAACUUCUCCAGUCUGGGCCAGGACCGGCCCAGACUUGCAAGGCUGGGCCAGCGUCGGGCUGGCCCAGCAGCCCCAGGCCCAGCGGGGGAAGAAUUAAUUUUCUCCCCCCCGCCUCCUGCAUGCAGAAUGCAUGCAGGAGACAAACCUGCAGAAGACAAAGAAAAUAGGGGGAGAAGAAAAUGUACCUGGCGUGGAGGAGGCGGUCGCUGGAGGUGCUGCGGUGGCGUGGCUCGCGGACGGCGGCUCCGGGCGGUGUUACUGUCGUUCCUAACGGCGGCGAGAAACUUCUUCCUCUUCCUCUUUCCCCCGUUUAUUUUCUGUGGCUUUCUCAGUGGCUUUCUCUGCCUCGGUUUGUUUUUGGUUUUCGGUUUCGGUUUCUUUGUUUUCGGUUUGUUACUGCUCUCCUCUCUAUUUCGUUCGUUCUUUCUCUUCUCCCUCUCCUCUCUCUCUCUCUCUAUUCCUCUCGGAUUUUUCCUUUCUUUUUCCCUCUGCUUCUGCUUCUUUUUUUUCGUCCGUCCCUGUUUCCUUCGGGUCACCUGCUUUUAUAGGGGGAGAAGGAGCCUUGGGAGCGAACCAAUGCGGAGGCUGGUCGGCCAUUGGGCGCGACUGCCAAGGCGCAGCUCCCUUGAUUCUGGUGGGGUGCGCGGCGGGUGGUCAGCCAGUGUCUUCGGUCGGUGGUCCAACGGCGUGUGGGCUUCGGUCUGGUCGGUAGGAGAGGGGGACAUGCACCAUUAAAAAAAACUUUCUUUUUCCUUCUUCCCCGCUGCCUGUUCGGGGGGGGAAGAAGAAAGGGGAACAGUGCCGUUCAAAACGGCACCGUUCGGUCUUCUUUUUCUUUUUUUUUCUUUUUUAUUUUAUGUAUGAAACGGCGUCGUUUUCUCCAAAACGCGCCGUUUCAUUUUAAAAAAAAGGCGCCAGAAAUAUGUUUUUUCAAAUCAGUCCUUAAUUUGUCCUCUCUUCUAUUAAGUCCUCAAAUCUAAUCCUGAUUUUUGAAAAAAACUUCAAUCGCGUCCCUACCAAUUUCGGUCCCCGCCCCCAUAGUUGGCCGCGUUUUUCACUUUGGUCCUUGGCCUCUGAUUUAUGCAAUUUAGCCCUUAAUUGAUUAAUAAACUUUCAAUUUCUUCAAUUAGGCCCCUGAACCGAAUAAUUGCAGCCCCUCCAUUUACACGCCUCUUCCAAUUUGGUCCCUGGUUUCGGAUUUUCUUAAUUAAGUCCCUAAUUGGCCAUUAAACUUCAAUAUUUAUGCAAUUAAACCCCUGAUUUGACCCAAUAAAUUCCUAAAAAAUAUAUUUUGGCCCUAGAACUUAAAUUUCUUCUAAUUAAAGCCCAAAUUGACUUAAAAAUCAAAUUUUCUUGCACUCAAAUCCUCUAUAAAUUCAAUUAAAAAUCCAAUUAAGUCCAUAAACCUCCAAAUUUGGACUUUUCUCCUCAAAAAUCAAAUUGUUUUAUCCACCAGGGCUCUUAUCAUUCAAGAAUAUAUUGUCAAAAAUCCAUCUUUGUAUUUUUAACCUCCUUGACCAAUUUUUCUGACCAUUUUCUGAGCACUUCUGCCUCCUAUUAUUUUUCUAACCUCCUUUGGCUAUUUAUUUUAUUUAUUUUUGUGGGGACCCGAAAAUGGGUUACAACAAGUAGUAUAAUCAAUCUUAACAGUACAUUGUAAUGACAAAAAAAGGGGAAAAAAACGAAAAGAAAGAAAAUUGAUUCUACUGAAAGUGUUAAUGUUUGUGUCUUCAAGCUCUUGCUAUAUACAUAUUUCCUUCAUAUCCCAACUAAACACAACUUCGAAUCUUCAUUUCCUUCCUGGCUGCUGGAGUGUGGUACUGUUUUGGUUAUCAAGCUAGUUUUUUAUUUCAGCUGGGCCAGAGAUUUGUUCAUGUCCUGUGGUUUUUCCUUUUCCGUUGUUUGUUGCAGCUUUUUUCGUUUGCUUGACUGUUGCUUUCCUUGGCAGUCCUUUAUAUUUGUUACUAUCUCCAUGUUAGCCUAUUUGAUCUUACGGUUCUUUAUUUCAAUCAAUUAGGUAUUCAAUGACAACGCAAACCUUCAAAACUCAAGUAAUUUGAUGAUUUCUUCUUUUAUAUGAACGCAGGCCUCAAUGGUGCUCCUAUCAGAGUGGCAAUAGGUGACACCUCUUGUCUUUGUCUGUGAUAAGGGAAUUUUUAGCAUUUAUAUUUUCUACUAUUAAUGCUUGAUUUUAAAAUAUUUUGGGUAUGUUGCACAAGAAAAUUAGAAUUUUGAAUCUCUUUUUGAACUAUUGACCUCGUGGGAAAUUAAUGUGUUUUCAGAUCUUAGGUUACUGAACAGGCAGAGCCCGACAGUAAAACUGAACAGUGAUUCAUUAUGUGCUGCAAAAGAAACUAUACAAUUUAGUUCCAGAUGUUCAUCACCAUUUUCAAAUAGCUGAGAUGAAGGUCUACAAAACAUAUGAAGGGCAUAUAACUCAGUUUUGUUGUUUCGAAGCCCAAAAAGUGAGUUGAAAAACAAGGAUUGAACCAGCCCGAAAUUCCUGCACUGCAAAGACUGUUUCGGUUUAUGGCCCUUAUCUCAACGCUCAGACGUCCAAAAAUUGCAAGAUCAGUUUCGUUGGAAAGAAAAUUUGAUUCUCUACAAUUCCUCCAGAAAUAUAAAUCUUUUAAUUCGCACGUUUUCUACCUCAAAUCUGGUCCGCAAUGUCUGAGUAGGAAGGAAUUCAAUGCAGAAAAGGAAACUUUCCUCAUUACUGCAGGGGUAGAAAAGCCACAAUAUAAAAGAAGGUAAGGGGAUCUGAAAACAGGGGAAUUUUAAGACACGUAGAAACCCUAUAACAUAGAAAAGAAAAAGAGGGGAGGCGGCACCAAGAGGAAAAAAAGAACAAAGGCAAAAAUAUUGAAGACAAUUCUGUGCUUUUGAGUGAUGUUCAUCGUAUCAAGUUUGUUUCUCUUUAAUUUAACUAUGGAGUAGACUUUGAUUCUGAGAUUUUUGAUGUAACCUUACUAUGAAUAUGUGAACAAUUUCUUCGAUUGAAUUAUUACAUUAAGAUGUUGAGUAUUUCAUUCUAUUUGUAAUGUUUGCGUGUGUUUGGCCAACAUUUACAUGAUUUAGAAUUCAAUUUGAAACUGAGAAGUAAUAAUUGUUUUAGCUAUUGUUUGAAAUACCUUAAGAAAUCUAUAGGAUAGAGAUAUCCUAGGAACUUUUGUAAUCAUUACAGGUUUUACAGUACUUAAUAAAUUUCGACAAGUUCAGAACUUUCGUAGAGUAUAUGAAAUUUGUUUGUCGAAAUAAUUUAUUGAUGCUCAAGAGAGAUUAAUAUUUACAUUAGUUAGAAUUAAUUGAGAGAUAGUUUUGUGUUUAAUUGUGUUGGAUGCUUAAGAGUAGCAGCCAUCCUUUGUAUUUAUACUUGUAGGGUUGUGUACAAUAUAAUGGUGGGAUGUAUUACAUACUAUAACUAUUACUAUGUAGGAGUGUUUACAUUGUAUUCAAACUCUUUCCUUAAUACACCCCGUCAAGCUGAAGGUGGAGAUUCCACCCGAAGCUUGGAUCGAAAGUAAGCAAACGAGACUGGAGGAAGAGGCUUGGUAAGGACAUCAGCUAGUUGAUCUUUGGAAGAUAUAAACCGUACCUGAAUUUCUUGCUUAGUAACACGAUCACGGACAAAGUGAUAAUCAACUUCAACAUGUUUAGUACGAGCGUGAAAUACUGGAUUUGCAGAUAAGAAGGUGGCCCCUAAAUUAUCACACCAUAACGUGGUCACAGUCGAAGAAGGAAUCCGAAGUUCUGUCAAUAAUGAGCGAAUCCACAAAAUCUCAGCAGUACCAUCAGCUAAGGCUUUCUAUUCCGCUUCAGUAGAGGAUCUCGCAACAGUGCGUUGUUUCCCGGAUUUCCAUGAGAUAGGGGUAGAGCCAAGAUACACAAGGUAACCACCUAUGGAUUUUCGAUCAUCAAUACUACCACCCCAAUCAGCAUCUGUGAAACCAUGAAGAGACAGGGGAGAAUCCCUAGUGAUGUGCAGACCAUAAGUUGCUGUAGCCUGGAGGUAACGCAGGAUGCGUUUAAUAGCAGACCAAUGAUCCUCAGUGGGGGCAUGCAUAAAUUGACAGACCUUGUUGAUUGCAUAGCAGAUAUCAGGUCUAGUGAAGGUAAGAUAUUGUAAUGUCCCAACAAUUUGUCGAUACCGUAUGGGAUCAGAGUAGAGAGUACCUGGUAUGAGUCCUAAUUUGGAGGAGGCAGAUAGAGGAGUAUCAACUGGUUUGCACGAAGUCAUACCUGCUUGUUGGAUGAUAUCGAGAGCAUACUUAUGUUGGCUUAAUAAGACACCCAUAGCAGUAGGUUUAACUUCAAUGCCCAAGAAGAAAUGAACAGAACCCAAAUCCCGAAGCUUAAAUUCUGAUUGCAGCAAAGUAAUCAAUCUAUGAAGCAUAGUUGAAUUACUUCCGGUUAAUAAAAUAUCAUCAAUAUACACAAGCAGGUAAAUCAUGGCACCAUUAUGAGAGAGAAUAAACAGAGAAGUAUCACCCUUGGAUGCCUGCAAUCCAAUGGAUAGUAAGAACUCACUCAACCGGUUGUACCAAGCACGAGGGGCUUGUUUCAAACCAUACAGAGAUUUAUGGAGACGACACACAUGAGACGGGAGUGCUGGAUCAACAAACCCAGGCGGUUGCGCCAUGUAAACCUCUUCCUGAAGAAUGCCAUUUAGGAAAGCAUUAUGAACAUCCAACUGAUGAAUGGUCCAUCCAUAUGAAACAGCAAUAGUGAGCACAAGGCAAACCAUUGUAGGCUUGAUCACUGGACUGAACAUCUCCAAAUAAUCAAUCCCUUCUUGCUGAGUGAAGCCACGGGCAGCUAACCGUGCUUUAUAUCGGGCGACCUGACCAUCAGCAUGUCUUUUUAUCUUGUAAACCCAUCUACUGCCAAUCACAUUCAUAGUUGGAUGGGGAGGCACCAACGUCCAAGUCUGAUUAGAGUGAAGUGCCCGAAGUUCCUCUUGCAUGGCAGUGUCCCAAGUCACAUACCUGUUUGCGUCCUUAAAUGACAAUGGCUCAUGCUGAGGUAAGGUCAUGACUCGUGAGACAGCCGCAAUGCUAAGAUUAGCAUUUCUUUCAGGCUGUGGGCGAAGCACCAUAGGAUGGGUGCGAGCCCGCUGAGAUGGAGAGGAGACCAGUGGCAGGGACGUGCUGAAGAUUGAACUUAGAUAGAUCAACACAUAUGUUAAUUCCAGGAGGGGAAAGAGAGGAAGAACCUAUGGGUGAAGACCUCAAUAGAAGCGCAGACCGUGGUGGAGACCUAACAGAAAAAGCACCCACAACAGGGGAGCGAAUAGGGGAGAAACCAGGGGAGCUAGCAGCAGCAUCGGACGAUGCCUGUGAGUGUGAGGAAUCUGAACCUACAAUUAAAGAAUGAUCAUAAUAACAUGCAGAUAAUGGUAAAUGAGCCGAAGGAGGUGUAGGCAGUCUAUUGGGCAGUGGUGAAGGAACUAACGAGGGUUGCAUGAGAGGAAGUAAAGUGACGGGUAUAGAGGGAGUUGAGGGUUGUUUGGGUGUUGCUGCAAUCUGUUCAGUUUUAUCAAAAGGAAAAACAGUUUCAUGAAACUGGACAUGACGUGUAAGAUAAAUUCGUUUGGAUGACAAAUCAAGACAUCGAUAACCGACAUGCGAGGUACUAUAUCCUAGGAAAAAACAAGGUGUGGACCGAAAAUCUAAUUUGUGAGCAUUGUAUGGACGAAGAAAAGGAAAGCAGAGACACCCGAAAGUACGAAGAAACGCAUAAUCAGGAGUCGAUUUUAACAGACAUUCAAAUGGUGUCUUAUUAUUAAGGACUGGAGUGGGCAUGCGAUUAAUUAAAUAAACAGAACUUUCAAAAGCAUAACUCCAAUAUUUAAGGGGAGCAUGACACUGACCAAGGAGAGUGAGUCCAGUUUCAACAAUAUGUCUAUGACGGCGUUCAACCAUGCCAUUUUGUUCAUGAGUGUGCGGGCAGAUCACACGAUGAUGAAUACCAAUCGUUUUAAAAUAUGUAUUUAGUUUUUGAUAUUCACCACCCCAAUCGGUUUGAACAGACUUAAUUUUUAAGGAGAAUUGGUGCUCCACAAGCGCCUGAAACUGAUGAAAAAUUGCAAAAACAUCAGACUUAGCAACCAAGGGAUAAAACCAUAUGAAUUUUGUAUGAGCAUCCACAAAAAUAACAAAAUAGCGAAAACCAUCAGAUGAAAACAUAGGGGAUGGACCCCAAACAUCACUAAAAAUCAAGUCAAGAGGAGCUCGAGUUUGAUGACCCGUAGGUUUUAGAGUCAGACGCGAUGACUUGCCUAGAGGGCACGUAGGACACUGAAAAUUAAACUUAGUGGACGUACAUGACACUUUUUUAUUUUUCACUAGCAAAUGCAGAAUACGUGGACUAGGAUGUCCAAGUCGACGAUGCCAGACAUCAGCUGAAGUAGAUAGACAGUAGAGGAAAAAGCUUGAGGCAACGACGUUGCGGACGACGCGGACAAAACAUAUAGACCAUCUUUACUCUGACCGGAAAGAAGAACUGCCUUUGUCAUGAGAUCCUUAACAUAAAAUAGAGAGGAAUGAAAUUCAAAAAACACGUUAUUCUCAAGACAAAAUUUUUGAACAGAUAGCAGAGGUUUUUUAAUGGUAGGAACAUGUAAGAUAUUGGAUAACGUAAAAUGCGGUUUGGUGAGCGAAUUUUGGAGUGAGCAAUAUUUGAGAUAACAAGGCCCUUACCAUCACCAACAUGCAGAUGAUCAUUUCCAAGAUAAGGUUCUGAACUCGUCAUACUUACAAGAUCUGGCGUGACAUGAUGAUUUGCACCUGUAUCAGGAAACCAAGUAACAGGAGUGGUGGAAGGGCAGUAUUAAAUGCAAGAUUAGCAUUAGCUUGCAUAUGAUGAGUAGCCAACUGAGAACACUGUUGAGCAGUAUGCCCAUAUUCAUAACAUAGCUGACAUUUUAUAUUGCGAGGAUAGCCACCAAACGAUUUCCUUGCUGCCCAAAAUACCUGUUGGCCGUGAAGAAGCCAGAUGAGAACCGGUUCCAUGUGAGCUGUAUUGUUGUCCUGAAGUAUAAACUUUUGCUGGUCCAUUGCCACGAUAAAAGCUUCGAUUAUUAGGUCUCCAGCCCCCACGAAAAUGAUCCCGUCUGCUAGAUUGAUGUUGCACAAAGAACCCAGCUGGCUGUUGCAUUGGAGUUGGUAACAGAAGGGCUGUUACAGAUGGCUGAAGAGAGGCUUUGUGAAGGAACUCAUGUGUAAGAAGGCUGCUAUAAAGAUCAGUAUAGCUGAUGGGGGCAUCCUUAGUGGACAAGCUGGUGACAAGAUCCUUAAACUCACUGUAUAAUCCACGAAAAACAUACAAGUUAAAUUCUGUCAGGGAGAUUGGUCUGCCAACGGCAGCUAGUUCAUCAAACAAGGCCUUUGCCUUCUGCAAGUAAAUGCUGGCAGUAUCAUCAUUCUGUCAUAAUUCCUAGAAUGAGUCGUGGAGCUGCAUAAUCCUGGAAUUGGAGGGGGAGGCAAGAGUUGUUUCCAGUGUUGUCCAGAUGGCAUGGGAAUUGGUACAAUCUACAACCAGGUGCAGAACUUCCACCAAGAGAGAAGAUAGGAGGGCACUCAUGAUUAGGUGAUCUUGCUGCUUCCAUGACAAAUAUGCAGGGUUGAUAGAGAGUGUAAAUGUCUCAGCCGAUGCCAAAUGUGAAGGAGGACAUGGUGAUGUGCCAUCAACAAAAGAAUAAACGCCUUGGCCCAAAAGAAAGGGUUUCAUUUGCAUCCUCCAAUAUAGGAAAUUAUGGUUAGAGAGUUUUAAAGAGACUACCUGGUGUGUGUUAGGAAGAGGAAUAAUGGAGGCAGUAGGCGCUGCCCCAUACAUAACUGAUUGCGCCACAGGGGAAAAAGAAGAUUGAAGAACUGAUGCAGCGCCAGCAGACUGUUGGAGUUCUUGAUUGUCCAUGUUGCUAGGGAGGAGAAGUUGCAGUUUUUACUUCGUGAGAAGUGGCAGAUGAAGAAGAUGAGUGAUCUCUGCUAAGGAGAAACUGCUGCUUGUGACUCUUAAUAGAGGAAGAACAGCUGCUAAGAAUUAAGGAGGGCUGCUGGUUGAAACAGCUACGCAGGAGAAUUACAGCUGUUGUGGAAGAAGGCUGCUAAACAAUAACCGCAGCUCUGAUACCAAGUUAGAAUUAAUUGAGAGAUAGUUUUGUGUUUAAUUGUGUUGGAUGCUUAAGAGUAGCAGCCAUCCUUUGUAUUUAUACUUGUAGGGUUGUGUACAAUAUAAUGGUGGGAUGUAUUACAUACUAUAACUAUUACUAUGUAGGAGUGUUUACAUUGUAUUCAAACUCUUUCCUUAAUAACAUUAGAAAAACCUGAUUAUCAACAUUAGGAGUAAUUAAUUUAAUCGAGAAAGUUCACAUAGGCAUAGUUACGGUAAGUCAGAAAUCCUAGAACCAGUACAAUUGAAUUCUUUAAUAUUUAAUCAAUUACUUGUUACUUUUUAAUCAUUAAUUUUUGUUUCAUAAAUUAUCUCAUUCAAUUCCUCAAAUAGAUCAUAAUUUAAAAGACUUUGGUAAUUAGUAGUAAUUUUUACAAAUCCUCGUGGGACGAUACUCUACUCAUCACUUUAUUACUUGUUACGAUUUGUGCACUUGCGAAAUUAACCAACAGUCUGCCAAUAAAUAUUACCAAUUAUUGAGAUCACUAGUUUCUUUAAAAAUUAUUUGUUUUUUCUUGCAGACUUUUCUGACUAAUCGCAUACUCAGUUAUCUCAGUACGAACCUGUCUUUUUCUUUAUUCAAACAUGAAGUCUAAACUGCAUGCAUGGAAAACAAUUUUAAUUACAUGAAUUGGUUCUGCAAAGGCUGAACACUGACAUGACCUUCUCUUUUCUUCGCGAUGAAGUCUUUGGGCCGAUAACCAAGUAUUUUCCAAGUAUUUCCAAGUGGAACAUGGAUAUACUAUUCAAGAAGAGGGGGUGAGUUAAUUUAGAGUUCUUUUUUUGGUAAUCUAGAAUUGUUUCAUUAAUGAUAGACAAUAUGUGCAGAAAAACCAUUUAAAAGCAUUAUAUAGGGAAUAAGUUAUGAUUAAUUACUUUAUUUCUUUCUUGUACAUGAUUGCCACUUGUUUACUAUCUAUAAGAUUUCCCCAUAUUGAUUUUUCUCCUUUUCUAUAAAUCUUGUAGGACAACCGCAUCUGGGAUUCUGAAUUUACAAAGGUAAAUUACAAUAACUCUCGAGUUAUCAUGUAAAUAUUGAGAUUAUCGAGUUCAUCUAAAAAACCUUUUUAAUAGUAUUUAUUUAUUUUCAAAUGUCUUCAUGUUUUCAUAUGGCAUAAUACUAUACGUAUGUUGGGACCAAGACCAUAUCUUCAGAUUUUCUCAGAAUAAUCAUCGUUUUGCUCAUAGAACUACUUAUUUUCACUGGUAAGUACUUUCCUAUGCUUCUUUGGAUUCGUUGUAGAACAUGAAAUGCGUGCAUUGUAAGAUCAAAACAUAAGAUUAAAAGAAAAAUGGAAAAGCGCAAGAAAGUAUCUUCAAUGACUUUGGUUUCAUGGAAAUAAGCCCUUCAACUUUUUAGUUUUUCUAAUUGAGUCUAAUUCUUUAAUUUUAUUAGCAAAUUUAAUGACUUAAAAAAAUCCAAAGCUAAGAUGGAUAAAAUCAAAAUUCACUAAGAUGCUCCGUGAAAAAUUCUUUUUUUCUUGCAUUUUUGUAAGAAGUUUUUACCUUUUGGUGCAAUGGAUUUGGGAUUUGAAAAAAGUUGAUGCUUCCAUCGAUACAUAGUAAGCUUGUAAGGAUUUAUCAGGAGGCAAACACAACGGAAAUCACAUUUCAUUUAUAAAAUAAUUUUGAUGCGACAAUCUAUCAAAUUAGCACUAUUUCAUUUUGUCAUUGAUUGUUCUUGUUGUUUCUCUGCACAAUGAUAUUUCGUGCAAUAUUAUUCCUUUUUGGGCUUUCAUGCCUCGUGACCUAUUUAUUCUACACAUGGCGAAGAAGGCACUUAUCAAUGUAUGACAUCAUUGAAGAGUUCUUGUAGAGUAAUGGACAAGACUUUACCAAUGAAAUUGACACCAUCGGAAGAAUUUACCAUGUCAAUGUGGUGUAGCUUAUAGGCUUUACCGCCGAGGGAUCAAAGCAUGGUCUUAUAUAUGAGUUCAUGCCUAAUGGUUCUCUUGAUAAGUAUAUUUUUCCUAAACAAGGUAGCGUCACAUUAAGUAAAGAGAAAAUGUUUGACAUUUCUCUUGGGAUUGCUCGUGGCAUUGAUUAUCUGCAUCAAGGUUGUGAUAUGCAAAUCUUGCAUUUUGAUAUCAAGCCUCACAAUAUUCUUCUCGAUGAGAAGUUUGUUCCAAAGAUUUCAGAUUUUGGAUUAGCAAAAUUGUACCAACAAAUAAUGGCACUGUGGCCCUCACUGCGGCUAGAGGAACAAUGGGAUACAUAGCUCCUGAAUUGUUCUACAAAAAUAUUGGAGGCGUGUCUUACAAAGCAGAUGAUUAUAGUGGCAUCAUGGUAUAUACAAUUAAAACCCGAGGAUCAUCCCUCAAUGCAUGAAGUUGUAAAGAUGCUCGAAGCUAAUGUUGAAUCCCUGCAAAUGUCUCCUAAACCUUUUCUCACCACCUUACAACAAAUGCCAAAACAUGAUGAUGUGGCCAAUCAAUCAGAUAUGUCAAGUUAUUGUAUAAAUUCCUCAUAUCAGUUUGGUCGUUAAUAAAUAUAUAAUUGUUUGUUUAUAGAUUUCAAUAAUGGAUUAAUGAAGUGUUCGAGAUGUAUUUAUUAUAUCAAUCAAGCUCUUCAUGCUUUUAUUGAAUCCAAGUAACAGCCAGAGCAUCACACGCCAGCAUUAAAACAUGAAUUUUCUAAAAUUAUAUCAUUAAUCUUAGUACCUAUAUAUUCAUGAAUGAUUUAAUUUGAUUUGCUCUCAAGUAAAACUAAACAUCUUCUUCUUUUUUAUAUAGUUUGAUUGAUGCAAUAUCUGAAAUCAACUUUCUUGACCAAGAAAUAUCUAACAUUAUCAAGAUUUAAUGCGAGACAUAACCUGUCGAAGCAUCACUGUAGUGAAAACCAUAGCAACCAAUUAACAACAUUAUAAAUAAAGGUAGAGUAAUGUCUUAAUUUAAUGAUUAUCUAUUAGAGCACGUCCGCACAAAAAAACUUUUGUUUAAAAAACGAAAAAGAAGUCCAUUCUUCAUAAAUCAAGUGGUCUCGAGCAUGAGAGGGCCUUUAUUCCAUAAAAUCAUUUCCUAUCGCAAUAAUGGUGAUUACUUGUGGGUCGCAACCAAAAAGUAUAUUGUGUGGCUGAAGAAGCAGCAUGUUUUAUUCUCUUUAUGUUCAUCUUGCAUAUGUCCAAAUGACUUCAAUACAGAUGUCUCAACUGCUAGUACAUGAACUUGCAUAUUCAAAUUUUGUUUGCAGGGAAAAGUGCUACAUUCAAGCACCAAUAAGCAGUAAUAUUGUUGAUUCAUGAGGUAUUCUGAUCAAAUGUAAUGAUUCACAAUCACCCCAUGAAGAUGCAUUGAUGUCUACAAAAUAUUUUACAAGAACAGAAUGAAAAGCUCAUAAAAUGUAGAAAUGAAUGUAUUGAUAUAUGCCUAUAACAUCUUAUAGUAGCAGAUCAAGGCAGCAAGGGCCUCACUCUAUGAUACCUUACGAACUCCUCAAUAUUCUUAUCAGAGCUUCCACCUACAUCUACUGCCAGAACUCCCUCUUAUCGCAUUGCUUCUUUCACUUUCCAGGACUUCCCUUAUGCACCUUUCUACCUCUUCUUUGGUGACAAUCCCCUUUUCAUUUACAUUUACUCUAACUCCUACAUGCCAAACAUCAGUGAUAUACUUAGCAUUGGUUGGUUGAUCAGUCCACUGUGGCAUUGCCACCAUUGGCACUCCUAAGCUCAAUGCCUCGAGUGUUGAGUUCCACCCACAAUGAGUAAUGAAGCAUCCAACUGAUUUGUGAGCCAGAACUUGUAGUUGAGGACACCAUUUUAUGAUUAGGCUUAUGUCUGAUGUCUCCUUCACAAAGUCCCAUGGAAGUUUACUCUCUUCUAACUCUCUUACUAUCCAUAGGAAGCACCUAUUACUUCGUUUAAGACCCCAGGCCAGCUCUGCCAUUUGUUCUUCUCCGACGGUAGCCAGGCUUCCUAAUGAGACAUACAAAACUGACCCUGGUUCCUUCAAGUCCAGCCACUUCAUGCAAACAUCUGAAUUGGGCUUGAAAAGGUUUAAGUCAUAAUCUUUGUCAUCUCCCAACUGUUUGUCCAAGAACAUUGAUGGAAUCAUUGGUCCUAUUGGUUUGAUUGGCCAUUUAUUGAUUCUCAUCCAGUUCACUACCUGGUACAGAAAUAGCAAAAUGUCAAGCAGUAUUCAACAUCCUAUGAAUGAACAAAAGAAAUGACUAUGUUAUGAAGGAAUAGGAGUUCACACUUCAACUUCAAGCUUAUUAAAGCUGUUCCAUAUCAGCCAUCUUGCUUCAAGAAAAUUUGAGAACUGACCAAGGAGGAGUUCUCGUAUAGCUGGAUAUGAACCUACAUCACUAACAAAUGAUGGUAGAUCACUGAACUCCAAUUUUUCCAACGAAGGCAAGGACACUGCUGCCUGAUCAAAGAUUGGUUCCAAAUUGAUGGAAUAGUUUAAUAAAAUAUCACUCUGCAAUGAUGGAUACUUGCUAUUUCUGUCCUUCUCAUCAAAUUGUUUUUUUCUGAACAUAUGGAGGUCCAUCUGGGUCUUUUCUCAUUUAUAUUCACAUAAACCAUAGAUUACUAGACCCUACCAUAAUCAAUGUGACAGGACUUGAGGAUACAAAUAUUUUAGUGAAACAUGUGAUUUCAAAUUCCAACUCUGUGCAGAACGUGGAUUGAACUAGAUAAAUGUCUUCAAAAUACAUGCCCAAGCAAAUCAUAGGGCAAUACAUGUGCAUUAUUGUGGAGAGAUUAAAAUCAAAAGUAUCUUCCAUCGUGGGUGAUAAAUCACCUCAUCAGUUAUGUAAUUUGCUUUAUUUGGAUUAACGAGUUUCAAUUAUUAUUAUUUUCUAAAUCUAAUUUCCUAGAAAAAAAUAAAAUACAAAUGCCAGCUCUUUCCAUUUCUUGGAAUUCAUUUUCAUUUCUCUGCCUCUAUCUCCCUCCAUCACUUCUUUUAUGCAAAUGGCAAUCUCUUCUCUUGUCACAAUCUCUUCCUUAGCUCUGACUCCCACCUUCCAAGCAUCUUCAACGAGUUUAGAAUUCGUUUGUUGAUCACUCCAUCCUGGCAUUGUCACCAUUGGCACACCCAAGCUCAAUGCCUCGAUUGUUGAGUUCCAACCGCAAUGUGUGAAAAAACAUCCCACAGCCUUAUUUGCUAGCAUUUUCACUUGAGGACUCCAAUUCACUAGCAAUCCCUUAUUCUCCACUUCUUCAACAAACCCUUCUGGGAUCUUCCCUUUCUCAGAAUCCAUCACCACCCACAAGAAGGGAAAAUUACUCCUCUUUAAGCUCAUGCAAUUUCCUCCAUUUGCUUGUUGCUUAGAGUAGCACAGCUACCAAAGGACAUAUAUACAACUGAUGUAGUGGGCUUAGUGCUGAGCCAAUUGAUAGAAAGAGAUGGGAUUGUUGGUCCAAUUGUCAAUAACGGCCAAACUUUUGACAUUGUAUCCACUACCUGAAGGAACAACAAAAUAUUUGUGGAGAUUUGGACCCUUAAUUUACAUAACAUAAAAACACAACAAGUUCAAAUUAUUUAUCUCUAAAUAUUCAUGAUUCUGUUACCUUUACUGCUAAGAGUUUCAAAUUUUAAUCAUUUACAAUUCACAAUUAUUUGGGAUGGAAUUGAUGAAAUUAAUUGGUUUGGGAUGGAAAUUGAAAGAGAAUGAGAUUUUACCAGAAACCGUAAAAGAAGUGCAAAUAGUUUUAAAGUCCAAUUAUGCGGUACAAAAUUGCCUACCUCACACUCCAGCUUGAAAAAUUGUUCUAAAAUAUGUAGUGGACGUACUGGAAAACUUAGGAAAAAAGGGAGCACAAAGGGAGAUAUUAUAUCAUGAUCUUCAGGAUUAAAAAUUGAAAGGAAGUAAGGGCCUUGGUUAAAUAUAAAUAGGUUUAUCACUAGGGAGAUAUGAUAUCAUGAUAUCCUAGCAUGAUCUUUAAAUUCAUAGGAUAUCCUAGAAUGAUCUUCAAGCUAAUGGUGAGAGAAUGAACCAUAAGCUUUAAGAACCAAAAGCUUGUCAUUGGUAGAAAUAUAAUGAGCUUAAAUGUUUUCAUUAAAAAAUUUCUUCCAGAUAAAGUUAUAAUCCACUUCAACUAGAUUGGAAGAUAAGGAAAGGGCUCCAAAGUUAUUAACAUAUAGGCAGGCAAGGUGUUGUGUUGAGAGUGACAUGUCAUUCUUUAAGAAGUAUAUAAACCAAUAAAGUUCUCUACCUAUGAAUGUCAUUGCUUAGUGUCAUAAUUUAAUUUUGAACCCUUUAAAUUUAUUUUAUAAAAAAAUAUGUAUUUAAAAAAUUCCAAAAAAAUAUAAAAUAAAAAAUCCAAAAAUAUUUUUUUUUAGACACGAGAAGAUAGUUUUCGAGCUGCAAAAAAUCAAGAUACCAAAAAAACAACUAGAUUAUGAUAUUUUGACAAGAUAUGAUGGAAAAAUAAAGAAAAUUGAGGUUAAAAUCCAAACUUGACCAAAAUUGGAAAGAAAUAUUGAGGUUGAAAUCCAAACUUCUAACAAGUUUAAUCGACUUAUUUAAGGACUUAAUUAAAGAAAAAAUAAGUUUAAAAGUCUAUUGGACAAAAAUUGAAAGAAUUAAUUAAAUUCAAGGACAUAAUUAAACUUCUAAUGAGUUUUGUGGAUUUAAUCAAUGACUCAAUUGAAAAAAAAUCAAGUUUGAAGGUCUAAUUCGAAUCAAUUCGCAAAGAUUGUAAUAUUAGAGACAAUUGAAACUUUAAAAUACUAAAUUGGUGUAAAUAGGGGCUUAAUUAAAAGAAAUUUGAAAUAUAAAUUUCAAUUGAAGACCACAUUGAAGAAAUCUAAAAUCAAGAACUACUUUGGCAUCAACACAUUUUAUAAAAAAUUAUCCAAAAAUAUUUAAAAAAUAAUUUAAAAUAAAAACAAAUCAAAUUAUAAAAAAAAAAAAAAAAAAAAAACAGGUUUAAUCUCAAUUCCAAAUGAUCACUCCCUCUAUAAGAAGUGUCAGCAUACCUUUCAAAAGCUGUUGAAUGGGAGUUUCUCCAUCAUCUUUGGCAAUUCCUUGACUCCAUCAUCAUUGGAAACUCCGUGACAAGUACAGAACAGUGGGUGAGUUUAAGAGUCCAUGUCCUAAAGAGUUUACGCAUGAAGAUGAAGAUGACAUAGAAUCCAGCUCUGUUGCAUGGGCUAGCGAUCGUGAUUUCUCCUGCAAAUAAUCUCAGAUUUUUCUGUUGAGCUGCCCCCUGAACCUGCAGCGAGUUAACUCAUAACGUGCUCAUAAGAAUUGAAGGGUUCAGCAUGCAUUCAACAGAAGUACCUAUAGGAGCAUGAAUCUCCUUUUCUGUUCUCUCCUGCUAGCAUCGUUCUUGGGCUAUACAUCAGUCACCAUUGCUAUGUUCUGAUGUUUCGAAAAGACUCCUAGAAUUUGCUUGACUUGCAUUUUUAUAGCUAAAUUCCUAGCAAGCUUCCACUUCAGCUUCUAUAAAUUAGGUAUCGAGCAUGUACAUGCCUCUAAUGUUGCGCGAUAGUGUCAUCCCUUUUUCUUUUUUCUAGUUUUUUUUUUUUUCCUUGCACACCGUUUUCAAAAGUUCACCAUGAUGGUGGAUAAGAAAUGUGGAAGAACAUGGUUUGAUUAUAUGGGCCGAAUAUUGUUUAUUUCCUUUGUUUUGUUUGGGCCGUAUUAAUUCAUGUCAUGAGCUGAGUGUAUAUAUUUUUGUUUAAAUGGGUUGCACAUUUUAUUUGGUUUUAUAUACAAACAACAAAAAAUCAUUCCUUAUAUUUUUAAUUAUAUAUGGAAACGUCUCUCAAAAAUAAAAAUAAAAAAUCAUAUUUUCAUAAAUAAUAAAAAUAAAAACAACAUACAAGGCAUGAUUUAAGGUGUAUUUGACACACCGUUUCCUCAAAUUUUGAAAACUUUUUAUUUCUUUUACGUAAAAUAAAUUAUUAUUUUUAUGUUUUUGGAUCGUUUUGAUUUGCUGAUGUCAAAAAUAGUUUUAAAAAAAUAAAAAAAAAUUAUUUUGAUUCAUUUUUAUAUGAAAAACACUUUAAACCGCCACCGUUACCACAAUCUUAAACACACUAUUAGCAUCUUUAAAUACAAAAAUUCAAGAAAAAUAGUUUUGUUGAUAUAUUUGCAAUCAUUUUUAGAUUUAAUAACUAGUUUAUGAAAUACAUUAGAACUUGGUUUGCAUUUUAAAAAAAUUAUUUUGAUUGUUUGAAUAUCAAGUAUCACAAACUUAUAUGUAAGGACAUAUUCCAGAUAUUAAAAGAAAAUUAAAAAAGAAAUUGACAUUAGAAUGGUUAAGAUUUAAAUUGAUAGGAUAAAGAUUUUUUAACUGAUAAGAACUUUUUCUAAACCUUAUAAACAUACCAAUGGUUAGAAAUACAAAACAAUAAGUUAGUUUAUAUUAGACAAACAAACAAUACAACUUACCUUAGAUAAGAUGUACUAGGGGCAAUACAUCCUUCUUAUAUACAAUUAAAUCCUUUUAUCUAGGCCCUGAAACUAGUAAAGGUUUCUAGUAAUCAAAAUAUUAAGUGGUGACUCCAUUCUUUUUUUCUUUUUUUACUAAUAAGAAAUAAGAAUUUCUUGUUCUUUUCUUCAUCACCACAAAGAUCUUGCUCUGAAAGAAAGAUCAUCGUGACGUCACAUAUGUGCAACACUUAUUAUUCUAGUUCAGUCUUGGAGCGUGCUACAAUAUCUUGCUUCUUAGUUGUACAUGAUAUUUAUUCGACUGUAAAGAGUGUUUGGUGUAAUGUAUGUUGUGGUCUAGAAUCCCCUUUAAGUAUCGAAUAACUAGGUUAACAACAACAAGAUGAUUUGUACAAAUUUAAAAUUAGAAGAGAAUGAUAUUAUUUAAUAAUUUAAUAUAUAUGAAUUAAGUUAACUCAUGUGGAGUUUCUAUAGCUACAUAGCAAGACAUAUAAAGAAAUAGAAUAAAAUAAAUUAUAUAAAAUGCUUGAUCAUCUCUUUUAAUUAGAUAAUUGAAAUAUUUUUUUUAUUUUUUUAUCUUUUUAUUAAUUAGGAAAUGAUCAAGAAUAUUUACCUUGAUUAUUUUCUUAACAUGUCACAAUUUAUUAACGCGCUCCCUCAAACUCAUGAUAAUUUUACUUUUCAUGAGUUUAACGUAUAUUAACACUAUUUAUAUUGUUGUUGUAACCUCAUCUACUUGUCAAAAUGAUCACAAUCGAUAAACAAUCUUAUUUGGUCAUUAAAUAAAAUUUUGGUUGAGGUUGUUAUAUAUGCUUGCAACAAUAAAAAAUUAGAGGGAACAAAAAAGUUCAAUAAAUCAAAUUCCAAGUCGAACUUUCAUGCUUUCUACUUGGAUGUAACAAUAAACAAUUAAUACCAUAAAGGCAUAAUGAUGGUUUUUAUAACAAUAACAAUGAGAGUAUUCAAACUAUUUAAAUAAUAGAGAUUUUAAGGAUGAUGAAUCAACAAAUCAUGAAUUGAUGUAUCAUUAAAAAAGAUAAUAAAUAAAAAAUCAUCUAGAGAAUGAAGAGGAUUGAAACAAGUUGUUUUAAAGUGGUUAAAUAAACAGCUUAAAAUAGUUUGAAAUAAAAACAGAAGCUAAUAUUUAGAGCAAUAACUUGCUUUGAUACCAAAUUAAAACUAAGAAAUGAAUAGCAUGGUUCAAAUGGAACUCAACAAUGUUAUAUUGAUCCAUAUAUAUAUCAAAAAUUAAAAUAUAGAGAUGUUAUCUAAUCAUAGUGUGAUCUUCAGGAGAUGUUAUUUAAUCCUAGCAUGAUAUUUAGAAUUAUAGAAUAUACAUACUAGCUAGCAUUAUCUUCACAAUCUUCAGCAUGAUGUUCGAUUGUUAGAUAUCAAAUCUUUAGCGUUGCAAGGUACUGUAGUCUUCUUCCAUGCUUAAGUUGCUUGAUUGUUGAUCAAGUGGCGAUUCUUUCUCACUGGUUUGUUGAGGUUCAAUGCUUGUAUGCAAGCUUUGGAAACUCAUGUCAACUCAUAUAUCAAUAUAUAAACUCUAAUAUUCUUUUUAUUAUUUUUAAUAGCAUUUUUAAAUUCUUUUACGUUGUUUUCAACGUUAAUCAGGAGGUUAUCAUGUUGACUUUGCACAUUUCAUAUGGUUUUUUUACAUACAAAUUUCAAUAACUGUACCAAUUAUUCUUAUUUCCUUCAUGAAAAUCUUUGCUAAAAACUUAUUAAAACACCAAAUAAUUAUUUUUAAUCAAUGAUUAACUUAUUCAAUAAUUAAAACACCAAAUAAUUGCACUAUUCUUCGGUAAAUGAUUAACUUAUUCAAUAAAACGGGAGAAUAAGUUGAAUAUUUUUAGUUGUCAAUGAUUUGAGAUAUUUCCUUUAUAUCACACCAGUUGUUUAAUCAACAAAAUCCCAUUUAGAUCUUCACUAUCAACAUGGAUUGCAUUACAUAAUGGGUUACGAUAAAAAAAAAAAUACCUACAUUACAAGAAAGCAUUUUAGUGGCAAAUGGGUUAAUCCUGAAACCUCCCAAUUGGUUUGCUUAGGUAGCCCAUGUUUCAAAUCAAAUAGUUUAGAGUUGUCUAGAUAUGAUGUUGUCGACUCAGCUAGUUUAAAAGCAAGUUAGAUGAGUGGUAUAAAUAUAGUUUGAUUUUUAAUAUAAAUCUUGAGGUGACAUAAUUUUUUUAAAAACUAUUUAAAACUAUUGAGACUAUUAUAGAAUGUAUAGCAUGUAUAUCUCUGAAUAGAAAAUUAAUAUAGGAUUGUUCUAAUGUUGUAAUUCCUACGGUUACUGACAUGUUAUGCCCCACAUAUAUAAAUAAAAAAGGUUGGCUAAGGCCAACCUAAGUCAUUUUAUUAUUCUCAACUUGGUAUCAGAGCUCUAAAUAAACUAAAACACCUCUUCUCCUCUCUGCAAUGGAUUCCUCCCAGCCGGCAGCCAUCUCUCCCUCUACAGCAGCGCUAGUAGUGCCAUCCUCCUCUCCUGCCGCAGCACCACCUUCUUCUUCAGCUUCGGUUCCGUAGUGGCCACAACCUACAAAUGUUGGCCAUGCUCUUUUCAACCCCAAUAAUGCUCCUCUGUUGCCGUCCUUUUCUGCAGAAGCCAUUGUCACUUCUGCUGUGGCAAUUGUGUCCCUCUCCCACACUCAUUAGGUCAUCUCUUUGAAACUGACAAACACCAAUUAUCUGUAUUGGCAAAUACAUAUGAAAUAAUAUGUUUAAGGCCAAGGAGUUUUCAGCUUUGUUGAUGGUUCAAACUCCUGCCCCUCUCCACAUAUUCGUACUAUCGAUGAUGUCUCUCUGCAGGUAUCUCAACACUUUCUUCGUUGGAAACAACAAGACCAACUCAUUCUAAGUGCCAUGCUCUCUUCGUUAUCCAUGGAAGUUCUUCAUCUUGUUGUUGAUUGUCCAACCUCAUGCUCUGUCUGGCACACACUUGAGCAAGCUCUAGCUUCCGCAUCCAAUUCUCGUAUUAUACAACUUCACGGCUCUCUUCAAGACCUUCGACAAGGUGAUGAAUCGGUAACUCAAUUUCCACAAAAAGCUAAGGCUUUAUUUGAUGAGCUAGCAGCUGCCGGCCGGCUUAUUUCGCUGGCACAUUUCAACUUAUAUGUGUUUUGUGGCCUUCACAGAGAAUUUAAGGACUUAGUGACAAGUCUUGUUAUAAGGGCAGAUCCUCUUCCAUAUGCAGAUUUUCUUAGUAAUUUGCUAACACAUGAAUUUAUUCAUAAAUCCUCCCAUUUGUCCAUGGGGUCUACUGCAAUUCAUGCACCCUUGUUGCCUACGCCGAACAUCCCUCUUUCAGCACUUAUCUCUCACUGUCAGCCUGCUGCUUAAUUUGGUCGAAAUAAGGGUCGUUUUAAUGGCAGCUAGCAUCCUUAACAGUUCAAUCACAAAGGGCCUCGCAAUUCUGGUUCCAGACCUGAAUUUCGCAGCUUCCACAACACUUCCAGCAACGACAACAAACAAAGCAACUGACAGGGAAAUUGGCAAUGCAAUAGGGGAUCCAAAUCCCGCUACCAGUUAUGUCAAGCUUUCGAACAUACUACUCCUCAGUGCUCCCAACUUCAGCAACGCGGUUAUGGUUAGUAGUAUAGUGCCAAUCUAGCCCUACACAAUCAUGCAAGUACUGCUGAAUGGUUUUCGGACACCGGUGCAAAUCAACACGUCACACCUGACCUUGCAACCUUGACUGCUUUAGAACCAUACAAUGGUAAUGAUAAUUUGCAUGUUGGUGAUGGUAAAGGACAUCCCAAAUCUCAUAUCAGUCAUACCAAACUAUAUACCCCACAUCGUUCGUUCACUUUAUCUAAUGUCCUGCAUGUUCCUGCACGUUCCUGUGGCUGCACUUUUCCUGAUUUUGUUUUAGAGGUUGUUUUUUGUAACUUUUUAAAUUGUUUAUUGUAAUUUUUGUUUAGUUUUUGAAUAUUUUAUAAUUUGUAGUGUGGAUGUAAAAAAAAGAAGAAAAGAAAAACAUAGUGAAAGUGAAUGUGUUGUUUGUAUUUUUUUAUGAAUGUUUUUUUAUGAUAAAAUCGUAAAGAAUAAAGAAGAAUUUAAUAUUUUGAUUUGUUUACGAUUAAGAAUUAUGAACUUACACGUAAGUUGUAUUUCUAAUAUCCGAUGAAAAGACAAAAACAUUUAAACUUCUUUAACACAUCAAAGCCACGAAGCAACUUACCUCAGGUAGGGUGCAUUAGGGUUGCUAAUAUCUUUCCUAACCACAACCAGUCCCUUACCCGUGAAUCUUUGACAAGAUUAGUACAUGCGAGUUUCCUAGUAGCCCUCAAUUAAAUACUAGGUGGCGACUCCAACAAACUGGAACCACAUUGAGGACAAUGUCUCAUUUUGGUUAAGGCGAAAGGGUAGUAGUUGAUAUAUAUAUAAAAAAAAAAAAAAUUUGUGUUUUCUAUUUCAUAAACCAUUUGCAAAACUGUUGUUACUAGGAUGACAGAGUAAAAGGGAUUCUUUUGUUAAAGUGACUCUUGAGACGCAUCUUAGUAAACAUUCUUAACAAGGUCUAUCAGAAUACUUCUUGAAAUAUUCAGGUUUACAAACUCUCAUUUUGUUAUCACUUGAUUCUGCUCAUAUGCUCAUUUAACAAGUAUUUUUAAAUCUUCAUUUUCACACACACACUUUAACAUAUGAUUGUGGGUUGCACAUUGGAUUAUUACAUUAUUUAUGUUCUUUUGUUAAAGGUAACAACUAAGGGAAAGUGAUAGUAUAUAAUUUGCAAAAAAAAAAAAAAAAUAUUGAUGAUAAUAAAAACGUAGAUAAGUUUGGUUUCGUAGCCUCCCUAACCUAAGCAAUUAAGCCCGAAUGGGUGUUUUAACACCUAAUACCCUAAAGUCAACUAACUUGGGAGCUAUUGGCCCAAAGCUUGUUACAUGGGUUAAGGAGAAAAGCUUAAGGGAAUCAAACAUUGCACUAUCUACGUAUCAGUAUCUGCAACCCGAGUUACUAAGCUCGUAGGGGUGUCUCAACACCUAAUGCCCAAAGACCAACUGGUCUGGGAGUCAUUAGCCAAAACUCGUUACAUGGGUUAAAGAUGCAUUGUGUUGUAUGUGUAUAUAAAUAAAUAAAUAAAAAAAUAAUAAUAAUCUCAACCCAAGGAAGUUAACCUUAACAUUAGAACAUAAUAUUGUUUUCUUCCAACAAAAACCCCAUCAUCUAUGUUUUCAUACAUUGAGCACAUAAAAAGAAGGUUUAUUAAUAUCUUGUUUAAGAUAUAUGAAGCAGAAAUAUAAAUUUAAUGAGAGUUUGUUUAUCUAGAUAGAUUAAUGGAAGUUGAAUGAUGAAUGCCUUGCUUUGUGGAACUUGCAAAUUUUUUUCUAUUUUAACGCUUUGAUUACUAGGGACUAGUAAUAAGCUGGUUGGGGGUGUGAUUAGUACUUAAAAGUGCAUUUUUAUCAAGGUUUUAUAUCAUCAUUUUGCACUUGAAGUAUCAAUAACUCCUUAACUAAAGCAUGUUUUAUAAUAACAUCUAAUAUAUAAUACUUUAAUAUAUGGUAAAUGUUCAUCUUAAAUGCAGGCCUAUCACAUAAAUCAAAGGAUUGAUUGAUGAGUUCAAGUAUUGAAAUUGAAAGGACAACGAGAGGGCCAAACUUAGAAAAGAGAUGUUGGUGCAGUCCAAACUAAAACAUUGUUCAGCAAUUGGGUCAUAUCUCGAGUUCUAUAUGUCCAAAUGAUCUCAAAUUUUUACACAGAUUCAGUAAGACAUAGGCCUAUAACUUUCAUGUGGAGGCCAAUAUCUAAGAAAGUCGUUUUCAAGUCCAAAUUAUACCAACAAUGGAGAAGUCUGAAUAUGUCCUGCAACCCAGACAUUGUUCAGUGUUCAACCCAUAUCUCGAGUUCUAGAAUUUCAUAUGACCUCAAUUUUUUUUUCUAUAAAGCUAAGACAAUUUCCUACAACUUUUAUGAAUAUAGGUGGAUCCAGUUCUGAUGCUAGCAAUGACGUUUUAUUCAGACAAGAAGAUAAGGAUUUUUACCAAGUCAAGAGUUGGCCACCCACUCAACAAUUAGUCAUCAAAUCAAUAGUUUUAAAUUUUGGCAUAUAAAAAGAGGUAUUUGCCAUGCAUUUAGGGGCUUGGUUGUUCAGAUCAAGAACUUGUUCUUGCUCUCUCUCUUUAUGUUUUUUUUUUGUAAUUCUUAAGUUUUGCUUUCAUUAAUAUCUUGUUUAUGCUUUUCAUUUCCUUUCCUUUACUUAGUUAACUUGUAUCUUAUUUAUGUUCUUGUUUUGUUUAUUUAUGUUUCUCUUCUUCAUUAUGUUUAGCUAAGUUUAUUAUGUCAAGGUGAAAAGGUUACACUAAUGGUGUAAGAAUAAGUAUAGUGUAAACUCAACAUAAACCUUAAUGUUUAAUAUUAACAUGUCUUAUCUUUUUAUCUUACUAAUUCUUAAUAAGUAAAUUAAACAUGCUCCAAGAGGGUAUAUAUCUUGGUCAUGGGUCUCACAAGUGGAGUGUACAUAGGCUUGGAAUUUUGGCUGUCAAUGUUGCCAUUAGAUUUUGUAGAGUUGAAGCCAUUUGAUAGCUAGGCCAAUAAUAAACCAUUCAGCCAUUAUCCGAUUGCAUACCCUAAAGAGGCAACCAGAGUAUAAGAAGGAAUACUUCAUCACAAGGUAAUAACAGUGAAGAAAUUUGUGGUAAAAUAUAUGUAGCAGCAGCAGCAGAAAUGGAUAUUGAAGAACAGCGGAAAACGCUCAAAGUUCUUACAAACAGAUUUAAAAUUUCAAAAUGAAUGGAUGCAAAACCAUUACAAGGCAAGUCCCUUUAUGCUUCCAUGUAAAAGUUCCAAGGAACUUACUGUUUGGGAACCAUCUGCUUGGUAAUAAACUUGAUCAUCCAAUUGCGUGGAGGACCCACUGUAGCCUGCAAAAUAGAGUUAUCCUUCUGAAAUUAAGUAUGCUGAUAACAUAUUAAUGCUCAAUUAUGAAUUCAAAUUGGAAAUCACACUGCAAGGUGGGUAAACUAAAUGAAAUUUUACUAGACAGCUUCAUUGUUAACAAAGAAACUAAAUGAUUAUAAGAAUUUUCCAUUGUACUAUUUUCAGGCAAUGCACCAGCAUGGGGAUGCUUCCAUGAUGUUUAUCACACAAGGCAAAAGAAGCCUGGAGCUAUCUCAGUUUCUUGCCCAGCUAUAUUACCCUGGCCACAGCAGUGAUCUUGUUGAGUGUACUUUUUGACAUUAAAUCCGCAUAGACCAGUAGCUACCUGAUACCACCUUAACAAUAGAAUCUCAUCGACCACUAAUGUGAUCUGGCCACUAAGACUUUUGAUUAAGCAAAAGUAGCUUGUUCACCGACACUAGAUGCUCAAAAAUCCUCACCUGUUCAUACUCAUUGAGCACACCUAACCUGAUCCCAUUAAAUUAGUACUUUAUAAGUACUACUACACUAAAUCAUAGUCUAAGCUAGGCAAAAAUCUGUUGCUGUCCCAGCUACCCAACCCAGAAAGGAAAUCGAGGACUGAUCAGGCGACUGAGUUGCUACCUCCUACCACUUUAACAAUAGAAUCUCAUCCACCACUAAAUGUGAUCUGGCCACUAAAACUUUUGAUUAAGCAAAAGUAGCAUGUUCACCGUCACCAAAUGCUCAAAAAUCCUGACCUGUUCAUACUCAGUGACCAAACCUAGGCUCAAAAAUCCAGAAAUGUUCAUACUCAUUGACCAAACCUAUGCUCAAAAAUCCUGAAAUGUUCAUACUCAUUGACCAAACCUAAGUCGGAUGUUUGUAGGGGCUAGCGGCUGCUGAAGGUAUGAUUGUUUUUGCGGCGUGUCCGUUAAUUUUUAAAAUUUUUUAAUUUUUUUAAAUUUAAUUUAAAAUAAUUUGUUAAUAUUUUUAUAUUCUUUUUACUUUUUAAGUCAUAUUUAAAAUUUUAAAAAUUAAUUUUAUUUUAAUAUAUAUAUAUAUAAACAAAAAAUAAUCUGAAAAACAACUACUGUUACAAUGUCAAAUACUAUCUAUCUAACAAGACUUCCUCUUUUUUAAACCAUAAUGAUUGGCUUGGCAGUUGACUUGAAGCUUGAACAGUUCCAAUAAAAAAAUAUAAGUAAAAAUCAUGGUAACUUGGUUAUAAAUUCGAGUUGACAUUAUAAUCUAAUCAAACAAUACCUAACUCGAUCAAAACUUGACCUACCUUUGACUUUUUUGAGUUAAGACAAUAAAAAGAUUGGGUAUACAUUGAAUAAUGUUUUACUAGGCUUGGUGUUCGUGUUUCAUUGCAAGGUAAAACUAUUUUUUAUAUAAAAACAAUAAUGUUUAGGAGAAGUAAGCAUAUUUUUUAAAACAAAAAAUUUAUGGCUCAAGUUAUAAAUCUAACUGUGUAAUAAGUCAGCUUUAUUUUAAUUUGAUAAAAAAUUAAGAAAUGACAGUAGGUGAAUCAAAUUUAAAAAAAUAAUCAGAAUAACCUAGUGAAAAAAAAUAUUUUUUAAAAGACAACAAAUGAUGCAUCUCAAUUCAUAACCCAUUAAAUACGAAAGAACAAAAUGGGAUAAAAAAGACAUAAAAAACCUAGCAUGAUAAACUUGUAAUUCUAGUAAUCAAGGUCAAGCCAACUUAUGAUAUUCCGCCAAACUAACUUGGACCCUCGAUCAUGAGAUUAGAAUAAUCCAAUAGAAAAAAUAAAAAGAAUUAUAAAGCAUAUUUAAAAAAAAACAUUAACUUCUGUUAACUUUUCAAACUCAUGAUCCAGGUCAUUAAACUUAAAGUAACUUAUUUUGACAACCAUGAAGCCCAAUUUCUAAAAACUAAUUUUAAUUAUAUAAAAACAUUAAUAAAAUAACAAUUAAAAGAAUGAUGAUCAAAAUUAAAAUACAAAAUAAAUUUUAUAUUGGAUUGAAUGGUGAAAUUGAAAAAAAAAAUCAUUUUAGUAAAACGACCAAAAAAUUAAAAGAAUGAUGAUCAAAAUCAACAAAAAAUAAAAAAGAGUGAGGACCAAAUUGAUAAAAAAAAAAUAUAUCAUAAAUUUAGAUUGAAUGAUGAAAUUAAAAAUAAAUUAUUAUUUUUUACAAAAGAGUCGAGAAAAAAAUUAGAAAUCAAAACAACAUCGACCAAAUUAAAAAAUAUAAUACCAUAAAAUUAGAUUGAAGGAAAAGAUUGAAAACCAAUAAAACUUUUACAAAAGAGCUCAGGAAAAAAAUAAAAUCAAAAGAAUAAGGAUCAACUUGAAAAAAACAAUAUAUCUCAAAUUGGAGUUGAUGAAAAAAAUUGAAAACAAAUAAUUUUUUUAUAAAAGGGUCAAGAAUAAGAAUUAAAAACUAAAAGUGUUGUAACCUAUUUUUGGUUCCCUGCACAAAAAAUAAGAGAAAUACAAAAUAAAAAUAAAAAUCAAUCAAUAAAAAUAUAUAUAAAAAAAUAUAGCAGGAAAAGAGGAUGUUAGAGCGCCCAAAAAAUGACAAAAACAAAAAUUAGAAGAGGAUGUCAAAGCGCCCAUAAAAUGGCAAAAUAAUUAGUUGAGGAGGUUAAAAAAAUAAAAAGAUUGAAAUUUAACAGUAUAUCAUUGACCGAUGAGAGCUUUGUUGAGGAAGAAAAGAAAAUUAGUUGAGGAGGUUAAAAAAAUAAAAAGAAAAUUUGAUUUGAGGAAGAAAAGUACAAAAUUAGAUGUUUAUGGACUUAAUUAAAUUUUAUUGAAUGUUUAAUUGAAUUUAUGGAGGGUUGAUUGCAAGAAAAAUUAAUUUUUAAAUCAAUUUAGACUUUAAUUGGAAGAAAUUAAAGUUCUAGGGUCAAAGUAGAAUUUUUGAGAGUUGAUUUGGUCAAAUUUGGGGCUUAAUUGCAUAGAUAUUGAUGUUUGAUGGCCAAUCAGGGACUUGAUUGAAGAAAUCCAAAACCAAGGACCAAAUUGGAAAAGAUGCAUAAAUAAAGGGAUUGAAAUUGAUUAAAUUAGGGGUCAAAUUGAAGAAAUUACAAGUUUAUUGAUCAAUUAAAGGUCAAAUUGCAUAAAUCCGAAAGUAAGGACCAUAGGGAAAAAUGCGUCGAAAUCUGAGGUUUAAAUUGAAGUUCUUCAUAGGUAAAAUUGAACAAAAUUAAAAGUUUGAAGUCAAUCAUGGGUGUAGAUAGUAAUAAAUCACAAAUUGAAUGACUAAAUCGUUAGAUAUUGUUCAUUUUCUUCUCCGGUGAGGCUGAUUGGGUGGCCACCUUCCAAAGGCAUUUGACGCCUCAUUUCUUCACAAAAUUAGAUGAAACAUGCAUGCAAACGAUCAUGUGAUACUUGAUUACACGCUAGUGUAAGCCGUUCGGGCUGAUCAAGGCUGCAGAGGAGGUGACAUCGCUCUAAAGUGGCCAACCCAACCAGCCAUUUUCCUGCAUAAAACUAACAGUUCAUCAUUCCUACUUUGAGCCGAUGGUUGGGAUACUUUCGGGUCAAAUCAAGGGCUGCGAUUUUGCACCAGAAGAGACAAAAUGUCCCUCUUCCACCGCUUAUAAAUAUAUUUUAUCUUCAUGUUCCAAGGAGGGAGGAUCGUGGGUCCAAAGUUAAGAAAAAAUCAUCUUUUAUUGUCUAAUAAACUAAAUUCACCAACUAAUCUUGAUUCACCAAGAUAGACAUGUAAGUCCCCGUUUAAGAGUUUAUUUAAAUGGAGUAACCUAUCAUAGGCCUCUUAUGAGUAACAAAAUAAUGAAACAUUAUAUUUCUCGUGCUUUUCUCUUGUCAAACAUGAGAAUAUAUUUGCCUCAAGGAAGGGAAAUUUUAUCUUCACAUAACCCAAACUCUAAUACGGUCAUAUUCAAUGUUUAACCUAGUUAGGAAAUCAUAAACACAAUACUUGUCAAUAAGUUUUGAAACUUUACUACAUCACCUAUAUAAUUGGUCUAGAAAUCUUGGUUGAAUUCUAGCUCUUGCCAUAAACUACUUAGUUAGUAAAGUAUUGGGCAACAAAUAUACCACAAUGCUUGGUUUCAUGAACCUUUAAGAUACAAACUUUUUAGAUAAAUUAAAAAAAUAAAAUAAGUUCAAAAGGGAUAUAAGAAAACUCUAGAUCAUGUUUGCGUGUGAAAAAAAUUCAAUUUUCUAAAACACAAAUAGGAAAUAAAAAACUAAAAUAAACAUAUUCUCUAAUUAGAAAUAAAAAACUUACAUAUAACUAUCAUUAUUUGAAAAAAAAAAAACAAAUAAAAUGGAAAAAUAAAACAAGUCCAAAUGAUCACCAAAAAACCAAAAACCUCUAGCCAGGGAAAAAACACUAAGGUGAUAUUUGGAUGUUGAAAUUUUUUAGUUUUUUAGCAAAAAAAAUUCAGGAAAUAGAAAACUGAAGAAAACAUAUUCACUUAUUAAAAAUAUUUUUUUAACAAAACAUAUAAUUUUUUUUUCAUUUUUAAAAAAAUUAAAAAGUACAAAAAAGUAUUUAUUUUUUAAAUUCAUUGAUCAGCCUCAUUUUCAUUUUUUCAUUCGUUUAGAUGCGUUUCUAAAAAAAAAUUCUUGUUUUAUUUAAUUUUUUUAGGAUUCAGUAAUGUCGCAUAUUGUUUUUUAAUCGUUGUUAUUUCUUUUAAAAAUAUAUAAUAUUUUUUAUCAGCUACCCGUUAAGCCCGUGAUCUAUCAUGAACCGAGCUCGGAUAAUCUAAUAGAUCUAGGCCCACGAGAUCGGAUCCAACCUAGGAUGAGCAUUUGGUGGCCACAAUAAACUUUUGAAAAGCAGAAAACCCUAACACUAGGAGCAACCAUCCAUCUAACGGACAAUAUCAACCCCAAAGCACUAAUCCAACCGUUAAAUCUUAAUAAAAAAACACUAUAAAAAUCUAGGCAAGCACUUCAGAUUUUUGUCCAUCGCCUCGCAGCCAGCCACUGCCUCUCUCAAAACUUCUCUGCUCCUACUCUCUUAUCAUUUUGCCGAGGUAGUAUCGUUCUAUUGCUUUCUCGUUUAUCCGAAAUCUCUCAUUUUUGUCUUUUUAGCCUUGUGUUGCCGAUCUAGUAGGCUUUUUUGAUCUUUUUUUCUGAUUGUUUUUGCUGUAAAACUGAAGAAGAACUAGUUUUGUCAAGCUAUAUGUUAUUCGCUAUACGUUUAUUUGAUUGGUUCGUGACUGUGAUUGUGUACAUGCGAUGGUAUUUACUACUUUACAUGGUGAUGAUUUGAAAAGAAUUUUCCCUUUAUGAAAAGUGGUGAGUAAUCAGGGCUGGAGUCUCAGAAAUGGCUCUUUUUUUGCCGAAACCCUAGAUGGGUUUUUGGAAAGAAAUACCGAUGAGCUUGAGAAUUGGCAUGAUAAUGUCUGCCAUAGGCCUUUGGUUUUUUCGGGGAAAAAUCUUUUCUUUUCAUUUGCUGGUGUUUUGUGGUUAAUACCCUUGUAAGUUUACAAUUCAAAGGGUUGUUUUAUGGAACCAAUAGUGGUCCUUUCUUUUUCUUUAUUUCAUAUUAGUAUAUCUUAAUUGUAAAAAAAAACUUUGAAAUCAUUUUUAUUCAGUUUAAGCUUAUUUGUGAUUAGUAUUUUAGUUGUUAUUAUGAUGAUUUCAACUAGAUCUAUUUAAUGAUAUUAACAGCGAUUUAAUUUUUUGUGGGUCUUUGAAAUACUAGAUAAAAUUAUUAUAUUUUGAUUGUUAUGGUCCUUAUUGGUUGGAUUUUAUAUUUAAACAUUAAUUGAAGGAGAAUCUGAUUUAUUACUAUUGAUGUUUUCUUUGGAUAUAUUAUUUUUUGUUGAUAUUUUAGUUCUUGAGGUAAAACAAUAUUGAAGCUCACGAGUCUUGCAGAGGUUAUAUCAAAAGGUUGAAGCAUGUCUCACCGCAAGUUUGAACACCCUAGACAUGGCUCUUUGGGAUUUCUCCCAAGAAAAAGAGCCUCCCGCCAUCGAGGAAAAGGUUUCUUAUGCUCUUUAACCUGAAGUUAUAAACAUUACAGUUAAAGAUAACACAUUGGAAGCAUUCUAUUUCUACAUGAUUAAUGUGUACCUUCAGGCUAUGAUUUAAUUUUUAGUUGGGUUUUGUGAGAAGGUUGUCUUUUCUCCAAUAUGUACCUUCAAGUAUCAUUGCUUUAUUGCCUAAUGUGCAGUCCCAUGUUUGGUUUUUGCAACAAAGAACAACUCUGGUAAAGGAUUUAUAUGGGUCAUUUUAAUAUAGAACGAUAUAGAAUGGGUCAAGUGAGACAGCAAAGAUUGGUCAUCUGGGCUUCCUACUAUCAUCUCCUUAAUAACCAUUAAAUUUUAUUGUCCUAUCUUGCAAAUCGGGAGUUAGAUGAACUGCCUUGCAGUAUUAUAUUGUCAUAAUCCCUGACACAGAUAAGCUUGAUAUUAUUUCUAAUUUAUUUUUGUUAGACAUAGUGGUAUUUGCAUUUAUCAAGGUUGGCUUCAUAUAACUUAUUUGUAUCAACUUGCAUUCUCUGUGUAUUGAAUUUUGUUCUUUUUGAUGAUGUUACAGCAAAGGCCUUUCCCAAGGAUGAUCCAAAAAAACCUUGCAGAUUGACUGCGUUCCUAGGUUACAAAGCUGGGAUGACUCAUAUUGUCCGAGAAGUUGAAAAGCCAGGCUCAAGUGAAUUUCUUUAGUUUUUCUCGAUUAUCCUUCUGGAUGGUAGCUCUUUUUUAUCUCUAGGUUUGGUGAAGGAACUUGUUUGAUACGCUGUUGCCUAUAAUUUAUCUAGAUCUCAUCAUGUUUGAUUGGGUUAGAAUGCAGGGAUGCGUUGUCCUUGUAGCAUGUGUUUUGGACCAAACACUAUAAUAUUAACAAUGAGAGGCCAAAACUUUUAGCCUUGUUGUUGCCAGGGCCACCCCAGACCACUUGGAAUUGUCUCUGAUAGCAUGUUUAUAUUGAAUUUGAUGAUUUUACACCUCUUUUUCCAAUAAAACAUGUCUGGGUUGCUUGGAAUUGGGGAUUGAUUGGGAGUAUUAAUUUGAAAGUGUGCACAAUUGUAAUUUGCAGCCCUGCAUUGCUGCUUUCUGUUGUGCAAUUUGUUGUUUGUAUGUCCUUUUUGUGUACCCCUUUUUGAUGUUCUGUUUCUGCACAUUUUUAAAGCAGCCGGAAGGAAGAUUAAAAUAUUCAUUGUAACACUUUGAUUCACCUCUAGCUUAUGUGCUCAUUAAUUCGUUCUUCAUUUGUCUUCCAGAGCUCCACAAGAAAGAAACAUGUGAAGCUGUUACAAUCAUAGAAACACCACCAAUGGUUGUUGUUGGGGUUGUUGGCUAUAUCAAUACUCCUGGUGGUUCUCCGGUCUCUGAGCACUGUAUGGGCCCAGCAUUUGAGUGAGGAGGUUAGAAGGAGAUUCUACAAAAACUGGUGCAAGUCAAAGAAGAAGGCUUUCACAACGUACUGUAAGAAGUACGAGUCUGAGGAUGGGAAAAAGGACAUUGAGGCUCAAUUGGAGAAACUGAAAAAAUAUUGCACUGUGAUUCGUGUGUUGGCGCAUACUCAGGUAUUCUACACUUGCAUCCUUAUUUAAUGAGUCUGUUUGAUUAUUAAUAAUCUUACUCUGAAAUUACUGAGCUAUAAUAUCUGGAAUCCAAAUACCAGACAUCAAUAGCAAACUUUUAAUUGCUGACGUCUUAAUUUUGGUGUCCAUGCUCUUGAAUAUUUUUGUUUAUCUAGGCAGUUUCUUGAUGUUCAGAUUCCCCCUUGUUUGUUAUUACUGUGGUCUGGUUUAGACUCUAGAUGAAUGUGAUUUCAAGGAUAUCUAAAGGUGGUGUUGUUGGCAUGGUUUAUGUAGAUUCGGAAAAUGAAAGGACUGAAACAGAAGAAGGCCCAUUUGAUGGAGAUCCAGGUCAACGGCGGGGAUGUUGCCAAGAAGGUUGACUUUGCUUACAGUUUCUUUGAGAAGCAGAUUCCUAUUGAUGCUAUUUUCCAGAAAGAUGAAAUGAUUGACAUUAUUGGUGUAACCAAGGGAAAGGGCUAUGAAGGUGUGGUCACUCGUUGGGGUGUGACUCGACUCCCUCGCAAGACUCAUCGUGGUCUUCGCAAGGUAGCUUGUAUUGGUGCAUGGCAUCCAGCUAGGGUCUCAUUUACUGUUGCAAGGGCUGGGCAGAAUGGUUACCAUCACCGCACAGAGCUAAACAAGAAAAUUUACAAGCUUGGGAAGUGUGGUCAAGAGUCUCAUUCUGCAGUUACUGAAUAUGACAGGUAAAUGUAUCUUUUUUGUAGUUUGUCCCUACUGUGAUUUUAGUCCUUAGCAUUCACCAAGAUUGAUUGAUGUUGAGCAUCUGCCUCUUCUCACAAUAUUAUGAUAUUUGGUCAUGAACAACAGGACUGAAAAGGGCAUUACACCAAUUGGAGGAUUCCCCCAUUAUGGUGUUGUGAAGGAGGAUUAUUUGUUGAUAAAAGGAUGCUGCGUGGGCCCCAAGAAACGUGUGGUAACACUGAGGCAGUCUCUGUUGAAGCAGACAUCUAGAGUUGCUAUGGAGGAAAUUAAACUCAAGUUCGUUGAUACAUCCUCCAAAUUUGGCCACGGACGAUUCCAGACCACUGAGGAAAAGGCCAAGUUUUACGGGCGGCUCAAGACUUGAUUUGCAAUGGAGAG
RNAcentral lists this long non-coding RNA (136586 nucleotides) under Populus tremula. RNAcentral describes it as "long non-coding RNA (PTRE_LNC002074)". The record is from RNAcentral. Lineage: Eukaryota; Viridiplantae; Streptophyta; Magnoliopsida; Malpighiales; Salicaceae.